Molecule: long non-coding RNA, 142451 nt
Filed under: Coffea arabica (coffee)
Lineage: Eukaryota; Viridiplantae; Streptophyta; Magnoliopsida; Gentianales; Rubiaceae
Source: RNAcentral
UUUUUUUUUUUUUUUUUUCUUAAAACCAAAGUUGACAUCCAGAAGACUACUGUGGUUUAAGCAAUCAUGUGGUGGAAGACAUGUCGCAUUGGUUGUUUUUGUAUACAUGCUCUGGCUCAAACGCCCUUGCAUGCGCUCAAGACAAGAUCAGACGGGUUCUUAUUAAUUUUUUUUUAAUACUUUUAGGAUCAUGGAUAAGCAUUUGAAGUCUCUUGCGCCAAGGCAUUUGGAAACAAAGUUCGUCAAAUUAGAUGCAGAGGUAAGUUUUUUCAUCUAGUCUUUAAGUGCUUAUGCAUUUGGUGCGGUAUUUGACGUGACUGACCAUGGGUCAUGACGGACUUUUGCAGAAUGCACCUUUCUUUGUUGCUAAAUUAGCUAUCAAAACUCUGCCUUGUGUAAUAUUCUUCAGGUUUGUUCCACAUUGCUUUUUCUAUUUUGAUUUCAUUUAUGUGGUCUUUUUCUCCUUUUGUUUAAAGUUUUUUUGUAGGUAGUGAUCCUCCAUUUGGUUUCUUGGAAAUUGGUUCCAGAAGUAUGUAGUAGCAUCCUUAAUUUAGGAUAACUCAUAUUACCAUAUGAAAAUAUAUGGGUCUCUAAGAAAGCAAUGUAUCAAACAAUCCAAGGACCUCUUAUGGUUCGGAUGUUUAUUUCAAGGGUCUAGCUCAUUGAAGUUUCUGCUGCGUGUAAUGGUUUCAGCAUAUUUUUAGGGAACUUCCUGACACUGUUUGUUUUUCUGAGACAGUAAUGAUUUGUCCAACCCAACAAAUUUGGUAAUUCUUAAGUUUGGGAGUCAAAGUAGAGCCUUCUAUUCUUUUGAUUAUUUCUGGGUUACCGACUUUUGCUCUGCUAAAUCAAGGUUCUGGAUGUUGACUUGGAUUUCAUGUUCCACCCUAUUUUAGGUCCCCUGUUAAGCUUGUGCUCUUGAAAAUCACAUUCAAUACAUCCCUGAAUAUCAACUCUUCUUAACUAUCUUCGAGAGUCUCAUUUCAUCAUUUUUUAUUAGCAAACCAAGAACCAAGGAAAAUGUUCAUGUUUUUCUUUGAAUUAAUCUUUUUUUCAGGAAUGGAAUUGCAAUAGACAGGUUGGUAGGGUUUCAAGACUUGGUAGGAAAAGAUGAUUUUACUACAAAGGCACUUGAAAUUCUUCUUUUAAGGAAAGGUAAUACUUUUACUCAUUGUUGGCUGCACUCAGUGAUAUGGCAGUUUCUAAUCCACUUUUUGCAGAAAUGAUCAAGGAGAACAAAUUAGAAGAAGAAGAGGAUGAUGAUUAUCACGAAAAUAGACAGAGGACAGUGAGAUCAUCUGUGAACGCUGAUUCAGAUUCAGACUGAAUGAAUUGUGAUUGCUUGAUUUCAAUGUAAUGCAUAUACUUUCGGAUGCUUGAUUUCUUCAAAUUGUUGCUAUUUAUUCAUUCCAUUAUCAAUUACUUCAUCUGAGAUUAACUUCUUCCCAUGGGAUUGCAAUAAUGAUGCUGCAUUUUUCAGAUUACUUCUGGCUGAAUCAGGAAGGUAGCCAAGAUAGCUACAAGAGUACUCAAGUCAGUUGAUCUGAAUUGGUGUUUAUACAUAAGAGCUGUGUGAUGCAAUGAAGCCACUUCUUUAGCUGACUGAGGCAAUGGAGUUUGUUCUUGAUUUGUGCUAGGCUUUCAUAGUGGUCGUCUUCUAGUCCGUUGGAGUCGUGUAGUAGAGAAUAUGUAUUUCUUCAAAUAGGUUAUCCUAUCUGCAACGAGCAGCACCAAUCUGAUUCCCACUUCUAGAAAAAUGUUUUUGUUACCUGAGGUUGCUACAAAUUUGCUGCCUGCAGGACUGAAACUUGCCUCUUUUCUAGAUUGCAGGAAUUACCAACUUUGUCAUAAGUGGGUGCCUUUGUUAUCAUAUUGAUUUCUAUCUUUAAGUCUUGUUAUUUUUAAACUUCGCAGGGGUCAAUUUUCACUAGAAAUGGGCAUUUUACGGGAUUGGCUUUGUAGUUUAGCAGCAAGGUGCCAUAUCAGUGAAUGAAAAUCAAAAUUAAAGUUGCAAGCAGAGGAAAGGACUAUGGUUAUUGAUGAUGCUUUUAGCCUCUGCUGUCUUUCACAGCUUCUCUUUCUUCAUUGGUAAAAAUUUGUCUAACAAGCAAAUGUAAGUGAAGAACAUGUACUUGGCUUCUCGCUAUAUCAGGGAAACAAUUUAAGGCGGGAAGGAGGAGGAAUUUGCAGAACGAUGAUAGCAGAAUUCUAAUAUAUCAAGCUUAUUGGUUUUCAUGCUUUUCCAACUGAAAGAAAUUGCCCUUUUAUUUUUUUAGGGUGAAAAAUCUGCCCAUCCUUCACUUUUCACAUUUCAUCCCCAAGCGGAAAAGGUUACAAGAGGCCUGAAAGAGAAGAAUACAGCAGAAUUGAUCGAUUUCAGCAGAUACCUUUUGGUCCUUUGGGAACCAUGAUUGUCUAAUUAGCUCCAUCUCCAGUAGGAUAGGACGCACAAUGACAUUACUUGAUGCGGGUUUAAGCAAUUUCUUGGAGGUGAUAUAUUAUUGUAAAAGAAAGGAUAUCUGCUUCUUCGAAGAAAUGAGAUGAUUAUAAAAAAAGAAGCCACCGGGUUGACUUGGAUGACACCUCGGUCUUUUGAUUUUCGGUAUUUCUUGGAAGCCGUGUUCCUGUUGGUCCUACCUUCCGUGUGUGAACUACCAUACUCGAAACGAAACAAUCGUUGCAUUUCUUCCGAGUCUUCCUUUGCUCGUCCACUCCGCUUUCUUGCUAUAUUUUCUCCACUAUACUGACUAUAUCUUUUCUGGCAAUAAUCACGAUCAAAGUGCAGGAUUCUCAAAGAUUGAAAUAUAUAUAUAUAUAUUUAUAUAUUGAAGCCGUCUAGGGGAGGAUUUGACCUGAAGAAGGUAUUUUGAAGAAAUAUCUUUUACUGCUCAACGGUAAGCGCAUUUUCCAUUACGUUCACGUUCUUCCUGCAUUAUAUUCGUCAAAUGAAGUUUUAUGUAAUUUGAUCAUUCUUUUGUUUUCUGUUUCUCAUUUCUGUCCCGUAUUUAGCUAUAUCCUUUCCGGUAAUACUAAUUGUUUCUAAAAUCAGAUGCAAAAAUUUUGGCCGCAAACAGCAAAAUCUUGGUAGUUUACUUAUCUUUAUGAUAUUGUCAGUACAUAAAUUAGGGGGAAAAAAGGUGUGAAGCUGAUACUUCUGAUGUCAAAGUUUAAAGAUUCUUCAGUUCAUUCUAGCUUAAUCUGCUUAAAAUCAGAUUAUCGUUCAAGCUUUAUAGGCGAGGGCUACGUUAGGUGCUCUAGAUAUGUUUCGUACCGGUCGAGAUAAACUAACAAACAACUGAGGAACUUGUACUUACUUCACACCCUAAUUACACGACGAGAUGGACUUUUCAAGUGAUAAACUAUCUUUUAAAAUUGACUUAAAAAACGAUUGAAGAAUCCUUCUUGGUCUUGGAGGUUAUUUUGACAGGAUAAGAAAUCAAAGAUAGCAUCGCAUGCUAACUUGCGACUAGUUUGACUUCUCCGAAUUUUGGAAAUUAGGAUCAAAAUUUCCUUUUUUUGACCAUGAGCGAUUGAUGUAAAGUAGAUAUUCUUGUGCAGAAGCACAAUAAAAGAUGGUGGAUGCAGUGGUUUCAGUGUUCUUGGAGAAGCUUCUUAAUGCUUUCCAGGAGGAGAGCCAAUAUCUGAGCAAGUUUAGAGAGCAAUUUGGAAGAUUGAAGAAUGAGCUGCUACUCAUGGAAAGCUUCCUAAAAGAUGCGGAUAGGCUCAAGAGGAAAAACCAGAUUCUUCGAAGGAUAAUGAUGUGUUUACGUGAUCUUAUAUAUGAAGCUGAAGAUAUACUGAUAGAUUGCCAGGCUAUACCAGUUCGCGCAAAUGCGGCUUCAAAGUUCGCUAGUCGUUUCUGUCCCUCAAAACUUCCACUUCAAUACCGAACGGGGAAGCGUCUAUGUGAGAUUAAUGAGAAAAUCAGAGACAUAAAACAAAAUAUUUCAUCCUAUCUGGGGGUGCCGCUUUUGAGUGAAACCCGUAGCAUGGAGACUCAUGACCAUCUCAUGUCCAGAUGGAGCUCACCAGUGUAUGAUCACUCCCAGGUUGUUGGUUUAAAGGAUGAUACUGAGAAGAUGAAGAAUUGGAUAUUGCAGUCAAAUGAUGGCAUCGUUUCCAUUGGAAUUGUUGGAAUGGGAGGAGUGGGGAAGACUACCAUUGCUCAAGAAGUCUUCAAUGACAGAGAGAUAGAGGACAGGUUUGAAAGAAGAAUCUGGGUCUCUGUUUCUCAAACUUUUACUGAGGAGCAGAUCAUGAGAAGCAUAUUGAGGAGCUUAGGGGAUGCAUGUGUGGGCGACAAUGAAAGUGAAUUAUUGACGAAGAUAAAGCAGUAUCUCUCAGGAAAGAGAUAUUUGAUUGUGAUGGAUGACGUCUGGAGUUUGGAUAAUACUUGGUGGCUUAGAAUAUUUGGCGGGUUGCCUCAAGGAAAUGGAAACUGCGUAAUUAUUACUACAAGAAUUGAGAAAGUUGCUCGGAAGAUGGGAGUGAGGGAAUCAAGGACUCAUUGGCCCAAAUGCCUCAAUGAGGACUAUAGUUGGUUACUGUUUCGUAAGAUAGCAUUUGCCGCAACUGGGGGUGAGUGUCGUCACUCUGAGUUAGAGGAUGUUGGGAAGGAGAUUGUUGAGAAGUGCAAAGGGCUUCCAUUAGCUAUUAAAGCAGUGGGAGGAGUGAUGCUGUGCAAACCACCUCAUUAUCAUGAAUGGAGACGAAUCUCAGAUCAUUUUCGUGAAGAAUUAGCUGAAAAUGAUAACUCUGUGAUGGCAUCACUGCAAUUGAGCUAUGAUGAACUCCCACCCUACUUGAAGUCAUGUUUCCUCUGCUUCUCAAUCUUUCCAGAGGAUUGUGUCAUCGAUAAAGAUCAAUUGGUUCAUUGGUGGAUUGGUGAGAGUUUCAUGCCUGUGAGAAACCAUAGAUUAUCAACUGAAGUUGGAGAAGACUGUUUCUCAGAGUUGACAAAUCGAUGUUUGAUAGAGGUGGUUGACAAGGCUUAUAACGGUCGGAUCCAGACUUGCAAAAUACAUGACAUGGUUCGUGACUUGGUGAUUAGAAUUGCUGAAGAUGAUGCAUUUUCCAUUCCAUCUGAUGCUAACUGCCGCCAUCUUGGUAUUAGCAGUGACAUGAGUGCACGUAACCUGGCAGCUGAUCAAAGGUUGCGAGCACUGCUCACUACAACCAAGAUUGGUGAGGUAAACAAGAUUGGUUCAAAAUUGGCAAAGAGUUUCUGCAGAUGUUGCCAUCUGCAGAUACUCGAUCUUUCCAAAUCGAUUUUUGCAGCAUCGCUUUCAAGUUUGUUGGAUGAAGUAGGAACUCUCCAGCAUUUGACCUGUCUGAGCCUAAGCAAUACUCAUCCUUUAACCCAACUCCCAAUUUCACUAUCGAAGCUCCAAAAGCUGAAGAUUUUGGAUGUCAGUUAUUGCCAGAAUUUGAACAUGCUUCCAAGUUGUAUAGUAGCAUUUGAAAAGCUCGUGGUGUUGGAUGUCAGCAAUUGCGGUUCUCUUGAGUACCUGCCCAAAGGAUUAGGGAGGCUUUCCAACCUUGAAGUGUUAUUGGGCUUCAAGCCAGCUAUGCCAGUCGAAUGUGGAGGUUGUCGCAUUGCUGAACUGAAAAGCCUGUCAAGACUGAGAAGAGUAGAUUUAAGGCUUACUCAUGGUGAUGAGAUUGGAAAUGACGAGGUUGAUGCAUUAGUAAAUCUCCAGGAACUGCAAUUCUUAACACUGAACUUCUUUGAUAGUCAUGAUGAUGAUCUUUUUUUGAAAAUCAACAAACUUCUCCCUCCUCGACAACUGCAUGAGCUGAGUUUUAAAUUUUAUCCUGGGAAAAUAAGUCCAGAGUGGCUGAACCCCAGGUCGCUUCCUAUGUUGAGGUACCUGUCCAUUGUUUCUGGAAGCCUCGCAAAAUUGAAUGAUAGCUUCUGGGGCCUUGGAAAUAUGGUAUGGAGAAUUGAGGGCUUAAAAUUUGAAGCUUUAUCAGACUUGAAUGAGGAAUGGUCAAUGAUGCAUCAAGCCAUGCCAUCCCUGAAAAUACUGAAUGUGAGCUGGUGUCCUGAGCUGGAGUCUUUCCCAAUUGAAGAUGCUGGAUUUAGAGGAGGGGUUUGGAAGAAGGAAGAGCAAAGGAGCUAGCAAGACUUAAAAGGUGCAAUACAAGUAACAACAGUUCUUAUACAGUCCCAGCACUGAUUGAAUAAGCUCUUGCAUGUCAUCAUGGUCCUUGCCAUUGAAGUGUUGCAUUUCAUCACUUUGCUUCGGGAUUGGUUCAUAGCCCAUUCCUCCAAUGUUACAAAACUCCAUGCUUCUUGGAAGGGGUGGUCGAAAUAAGCCGCAGCUGCGCCUUCCUUCGGUGGGAAAUUCUUCUCUUUUUGAGUUGGGCUCCUAAAACCGGGCUUCAACAACUCUCGCCAGUUCCCUGAGGCCCUGAUUUUGAUUUAAGGGAGUUUCUUUAUUUUUCGGCCUAGAGCUAUUCAGCCUCGUUACCUUGUUUAUCCGCAAACUAUAUAUGGAUUGGGGUGUUUCAGUCCCCCCAUCUAUGCGGCAAGCUACCCCAAUCUCCACCGUGAAAAUGUCCAACUAAUAGGAGAUUAUGUUUUGUUGUAGGCUCUUAUUUUUUCACAAGAUAGUCUGCUAAUUGCUGGAUAUAUUUAAAUUCCUACCACAUGAUUUAUCUAAUACUUUCUAAAAUAGGGUGGUCAACUUUCAUUGUAGUAAUUUUUUUCCCUCCCUAGGCAACACAUAUAUAUUACUUUAGUUGGAAAAUUAUGGUUGUACAAGGGAUUAAAUGGAAAGACCAAUAUAAAUCAAUAGUACACAUUGGAUCUUUUAAUUGCAAUCUACAAUCGGUGGUGAUUAACAAGCGGGUAGUCAACUGAGGAUUUUUUUUUUCCAUCAUGAAUCUGCAGUCCGACUUUAUGAACCUUACAGUUGGAGUCAAUUUUCUUUUCAUUAAUCAUCAAUUGUUAAAUAAAAAAAAAAGGGGGUGGUUCAAGUCUUUAAGAACCUAUUCUUGAAUCUCAAGCAGUGUAAUUCAAAGCUAUCAUAAAGCUUCAAUUUAUGCUUCGUUCGGUAAUAGCAGUGUAUCCGAGAAAAAUCUGAAUGAUUAAGGGAAGAAAUUGUUUGAACAGCGUAGUAUCCAAAACAUGAUGCUGAGUUCACUGAUUCAACUUCUUUGCCUCUUUUUUCUAACUUGUCUUCGGAUAUUGCUUGAAAGAGUUGUCGCGAAUCAUCCCAAUAAUCAACAUCACUAUGAUGAGCAAAAGAGAAAACAGCAAAUGGAAAAACUAAAGCGGCCAGGACGUCCCUUCCGCAGAAAAUGAUCAUAAUAGUUAUCCGUAAAAUACAACAAAACUUAAAAGACAAGGGAAGGUGCCUAAAAGAGAAUACAACAAAACUGUACCUUGUUGUCUUAUAACAAACAAAUCACCCAGCAAAAAAACAGACGAGGGAAGGUGCCUUUCCAUUUCAGGACGCGACAUCAAUCUAUACCCGACCGACAAGAGCUUCAUUCCUUUCAACCAAAUAAUGAGAAACGGAUGCAUGCCACCUUUCAGAAAUCCCCAUCCUUGUGAAAAAAGCAUAUGAGUUGCCCCCAUGUUCUUGUAAUUAAAAUCACUUUUACAAUCAGAUAUAUAUAUAUAUAUAUAUAAUGAGGACUAAUUUUCAGCAGUAUAUCAGCUGACAGCAGUGUUAUUGUUGUUUAUCUUUUUUGGCGGAGUUAAAACAUGGUAGCAGCCCUUUGGGGAUCAGAUACUCCCAUUGUAAGAGCAACAUACGUAUGACGUGAAAGCAAGGGGUACCAGACACAGCCCUCUACUUCUCAGAUCAUGCAUUGCCCGCUCUUCUUCAUCCUCGUCUUCUUUCAUGCUCAAAACCUCCUGCUGUUCUCAUCACCGGUAAACCAAGACAAAGUUAAUUACAAUCUCAAAUCUCGUUUUUAUGUUUCAUGAUUAUUCUGUUCUGAAGCUGCAAUAAAGAUGAUAAGCAGGAAAAGCAUUUUUCAAAGCAAGUUUUAACCACUUUUCUCUUAGGUCGAAUUACUGCGUAAAUGGAAGCUCAUUUUAUUUGUUUAUUUAUUUAUUUAUUUUUUUUAGGUGUAGACAAAAUUGCAACUCAAGUCAAAAUCUUGAUGAUAAUCGAUACUGGAAGCCGAAGACUUACUCCACGAGUUGCUCGACAGGACUUGCUGCUGCGAGAUGAUUUCAAAUACGCCAUACUCAAUGUCUGCAAAGAAUCAUCAUAUAAGUAUUUAGUGGAUGGACCAAUUUCACGAUCAUGCCAACCAAGAAUUUAUGUCUCCAUCAAGUCUGACAAAACAUUUCCAAAAGAAAGUAGUAAACUUUUUCUUUUCCUUCUUAGGAAAUCAAAUUUUGGGAUUUUUCUUUAAUUUUAUUUCCUGCGGAUUAUUAACAAUAAUAUGUAUUUCUCAGAAAACCAAAAUUAACAAACUUUUUAAGGGUUGGUGGGUUAAUUACCUGGAUUUGGUCUUGGAGGAACUGAAUGUACCCAAUGGCUUCCGUCAAAACUGAGGCUGUAUCCGUCUGCAUGUUCCCCAUUACCAGAAAGAAUUUCAUCAGGGCAUGGACAAAAAUUUAAAAUAAUACGCCAUUCUCUUCUCUCUCUCUCAGUCUUUUUGCACGAUAAUGGAUUCCGAUGAAUGAAUGACCAGACCACAUACUACCUUGCCGAAAGGCGAGACCAAUCUGUGAAGAGCUGCAAUUCUGUCUCCCAAUUUUUCCUUUCGGACCUAGGUAUAUACGUAAGUUGAACCACGAUUACUUAAUAAUAUUGAAUCCUCCCACCACCUACCACCCAAAAAAAAAAAAAAGAAAAAGAAAAACCUUGUUCUGUUAAAGAGUGAGUACGAGGAUAGUAACAUUUUUUGUUUGGCACCUUAAGGGUUGCACAUGAAGAUUGCGGUGCCAGUACUCGAGGUUUCUUGGCCAUUGCAAGGGAUGGCGUUGGUUUUUGGGUUUUCGGUCUUGAAACUUCUUUCCUGAAGGUUGAUGUCUUUGAAACCAAAGGGUAAUUAUUAAAGUUUAGCCUACUAUUGCCAAAAUUAAAUUGAUCAGGGAGCUGUGGAAAGUUAAUAAUAAGAAGCGUAAAUUAGUAACUGAGACUAAUAUUUCAAGUAUCAACUAGCUGCGCUUUGCACACAUGUACUUAUUAUACUUGAAUCAAAAUGACUAUGCACCGGAAAUUGAUAAUUACAAAAGUUGACAAGGCAUUUUCAUUAUUUUUCGUGAAUUCUAUGAUGAAUAUGAGUCAAUAUUCCAGGUGAAGAUAUCUAAGCACUAAAACUCUCGAGGAGCAUUUAACAUACACAUUCAACGUAAAGUGCAUUUCUCUAGAAAUCAAUCAAUCACUCACGUAAUCACGUAAAGAAAUGCGUAUAUACACUAAAACUCGACUAACCAAAAUACUCCAAUACAGAAAGUUGAUGAUGCAUUGCACUGGUACUGAAAAAAUUAAUUCGUCUAAAACAGUAAUUCGAUCUAACCAAUAAUAAUUAACACUAACGCAUUAACACAACCUAUUCUCAUUCCAGUUGCUUAAUUUUUAGUACUGAAUUGCUUCUUGCGAAUAUUGAAAAAUAUACUAAAUGGUCACCCACAGUAAAUGAUUGGUUUACUUCAUCAUCGAUUUAAAAAAAAAGAAAGAAGAAGAAUAGACAAGAAAAUCACUGGUGGAAGAAUAUUAAACCGAAACCAUAUGCAUUGAUCCAUGAUGAAGAUUGCACUAAUUAGAGACGUCCGUGUAUGGUGAAUGAACAGUUGUAGACUUAGGAGCAGAUGAAGAAGGAUCUAUUUGAAGACAAUAAACUUCCGGAAAGGCUGUAAAAUUGUAUGUUUCGACAGAAGAAAGAGGAAAAUACCCACUUUGUUGGAGCUGUUUGAUGGACUAUCACUUGAUUGUCGGAGGUGACAAUAAUCCGAAGACAUUCUUUCUUCGAAGGAUUCAUGAGUUCGAUGACCCUCAUCAAAGUUUCUGCAAUUCAGGAUCUCCGUGGCCAAAGGCAAGCUUUGUGAAGUGGGAAGUAAAGAAGUAGAGGCAUAAAGUUGAUGCUGAUCUGUGCUUUCUGAAGUACCGCUGGACAUAAAAUUUGGAGGAGAUGGUGGUAGACCUACAAAACUAGCAAAACCAUCCCCAUUUGAGUAGGAUUCAUUAGUUGAAAGCUUCUGGUUGAUGUGGCUGUGGGAGAAGGAACCAAUCCAAAGAUUCUCGUUUAGGUCUAUUGACACAUCUUGUUGCCCAUUUUUUAUGUAGCUGUUCUUUAAUAUGCUCCCAUUCAUGUCAUCCGAUUUGAGGAAAAGUCCUGGAUUAAUGCCACCCUUACUGGGCAAUGGAUGAUGCAGAUAGCUUCUAAAAUCACGACAAUUAGAAUCUUCAUGAUCAACUUCGAGUAGCGAUUUUUUGACAGAAGGGACUGAGUUGAUACUCCUUGGCCAAAAGUAGUCCCUCGAAUUUGGAAGGAUUUCAUUCAUGUAUCUGCUGAAGUCAUCUCCUUCCCUACAUCAUCAAAACCAAUAGUGGGUAAAUCUUCCCGAAUGAGUUUAAAAUGUUAAAAUUAAACUUCUUCUACGUAUCUUCCAUGCCCUUUCAUCUGUUUAACCAAAAUUUUAGCAUGAUGACCUAACUCGGAAGAUGAAUGUUUUUCUAGGUGAUAAGUCAAAUAAAGAAUUUUUCUCUUUUUUUUUUUUUAUUUUGACCCCUCUAAAAACUGCAAAAAUGAAAAAAGAAGUGAAUUAUUUAUCCGAAUCACAGUUGAAUCAUAAUCCUUCAGAAGUUUUCGCGAAAUCAACCGAGCUACUUGAGAAAGUUCGUUAUGUAGGACAAAUAUUCUUCUCCGCUGUAACAGUGAAGAUAAAACAAAAGCAAGAAUAUUGCCCCCAGAAAGAAAGAAAAAAAUAUAGCAAGAAUAAUAGAAGUAGGGAAAUCCUCUAAGCUUGUAUACUUACAAGACCAUGCUGGGGUUCCACUGACCAUUCACGGUUGAUACUAGUGUAGCUGAGGAAGAGGUCGACGAUGAAAAAGCAGGAUAGAUAAGCUGUUGCUGCUGCUGCUGCUGAUGCUCCUGUUGCUGUAACGGCUGAUCAUGAUGCUGAUUAAAAUUCGCUGAUUCCAUGAUGAUUUUGUUCAAGACUUGAGAAUCCCUAGAAGAAUGAUCUGGAUACAUAUUUAUGGUUCAAACGGCCCCCAAAAAAAAAAAAAAAAAUUCACCUGAAAAGUUCAAGUCACGAAUAUUGAUACAAAACCCUUUUACCCCUUAGCUUUAUACUCCACUUGAAACCGGCAUCAAGUAAUUAAUAAGAGCAGACAAUUUAUGAUUUUACUAGUAUAUAUACAAUUCAUUCAUCUUCUCUAAUUGAACUUAGCUUGACCUAGAAAGUGCAUUUGUAGCCAUGUCGUUUCCCUACUGCCCAUUGUCACAUAAUUGAUGAAUUACCCACGAGGUGAAAAUCAUUACCAAAAAGCGGCAAUUUUUCUGGCCACAUGUCUAUACUUUUCUAUCAUUGAGCAUAUUAUAAUAGGUUUCAGGUUUAAGAUUGAGGAAAAUGAGAUAAACAAGAAAAAAAAAAAGUUAGCUUAUUAGUUAGUAUUUCCAUGGACUGCAUCGAUCAUGUUAAGUGCUAUUGCAUGUGCUCUGUGUUUGUGUGCCACCCCAUGUCUCUAAUCCCUAUCUUGUAAUCAGGCCCAUGUACGCUGUACUUCUAAGCAGGAAUCAUUGAUGAACAGAGAAAAUUGGGAUUUACUGGACUUUGUAUGGCUGAGAUGGCAACCACCCACUCGUAUCUCUUAUGUUAUGGUUGGUUGAUGCAAAUAUGAUGUCAUCCUGCAAAUGCAACAUAUAAUUAAUUAAGGCAAAUUUGAGAAAAUUAGAAUACCAGUUGAUGCAAAUAUAUAUCAUCAUUACCGAAAAGUAGGGAUUUCUCUGGUUGAUGCACACCAAUGUUCAUUUUAACUACUACGAUAAAAUCGAAUUACGCUUUGAGGAUUGCACUAUUUUGUGCAAGUUUGGAUGCGAAUUACGCUUACAAUGUUUUUCUAAAAUGUAACAUUGUUUUCUAGAACAUGAUUACUGAUUGAUUUUUUUUGGUUUGGGGGGGGGGGGGGGGGGAGAAGGUAGGUAAUUCAUAUUACAGUUUCUCUACUCGAGCAAUAACAAUUUAAAAAAAAUAACAGUGACUAUCGAGCUAAUCUAUCAACUUAUCACAUAAUUAAGUCCAAGCACAUACAAGUGAUGAAAGAAGCACUAUAUAUUCUUAUACUAUAUAAGAUUCAGUUUUGGUCAAAAAAGGGAGUUAAAUUUCAACCGCAUGGGCGAGGGCAUUUUGAAAAUUUGGAAAAUGUGUUGCUUUUUUCAAUCUUUUGGUACAACUGAUUGCAGCAUGUGUUUGGGUGUUUUUAUAUUAAAACCCCCAUAUUUGUGCAUUUAAAAUUUACAUUUAUAGACACAUCUAAGUAUUUGUGAAAUGUGGGUUUAUUUGACGAUUAUUUGUGCAUUUGAUCCAAUUCAUAUAAGCGUAUAUUUUUUUGCAAUUACUGAAAUGGGAUUAUUAUGUAAUUAAAAUAGAGCCACGUUGCUGCUAACCUCAGUAAUUGCAAUAUAACUCCAUUUUAAUUGUCUGAAACACUCAUAAUUAUAUUAACACUUGCUUUCCUAUGUCUGAAGUUCAGCUGUUUGAAACAGCUUCUCUACCAGUAAUAAAAUACUAUUUACAUCCCAAUUAAACAUCCAAUAAAUGUGGGUGUGCUGCUAAGUUAUUAUAUGAGUAUCAGUUAUAACUCUUUCAAUUCUUCCUCCUUCACAUUCUUCGAUUUUUCCCCUUUCGACUUUCAGAAUUGCGUUAUUUUUUUAACCUUUUCGCUGAGCAUUUCAUAAUGGUUUUCAACAGAAGUUAUAUUUCCUUAGUAUUACUUAAUAUGUACUGUUAUUUUAUAUUUAUCUUCAUUUACUUGCUCAUCACAGACACCUAAAAAAUUCUCUUUAAUAACACGCGCCAAACACCCGCACGAUGCACAGGCAUUCCCCUCUAGUUUUGACAUAAGUUUAACGACCCUCACCUACUCAUGUUAGAUAAUUAAAUAUUCGAUACUCUUUAUCUGUUUUCCCCUAGCCGACUAAAGUCAUUAUUACCAUCUUCUCUUUGACUCUUGGUUGAUUGGGGACCAGAAUGCAGGAAUAAUCAACUUCAAACAAAUUUUAUUUUAGUACGCACAAGGGUCGCAAGGAAAACCACAAUACUAUCUUAUGCAUUCCCUUUUGUCAGACAAGAGUCCAUAGAAAUAUCAAAUCUGAGAACUUGAACUGGGAAAUCAUAAGCAAUGCCAUCUACUACAAUUCAUUUGUUUUCUUGAAAUCACGUUGACAAAUGAAUUGCACUGCAGCGUUACUUCUUCCAUCCCACUAGUUCAUUCCUUCUUCCUCCCCUUCCCGUUCUACUGGAGCUUAGUUCAUUAUUUGCAAUUAAUGGGUAAGGGUGGCUUAUGUGCCUGGUAUUUUGUCAAACUGUCAUGCAUGCAGAUUUCAGAUUAUGUGCUAACUUCUUAGUAAUGUGUUCCUUGUCCAACUCUAAUCGCCAGCAAGAGAUUCUUUUCCUUUCUCUCUCUUUUUUUUUUUUUUUGGGGCAUCACCAUUUCCCAGCUGAGAUCUUCCAGUGAUAUCCUAAACUUGAUUAUUUUAUGCUGAGGAGAGAGGAAUGUGUUCUCACCAUCCCUCAUUCUCUCUCCAUUCCAGCUUCUUCUUUCCCACUUCUCCCAUGCUAAAGUAAAAAGGUACAUGUUGAAGUACUAUUUCACUAUUUUUUAGAGAAAAGUAAGAUCGGGGGAGGUAACUGAUAAUAGCAACCCAACAAGAAGGCAAAAUGAUAUAUCAGGCGAAAAAGUGAUCAUGGAUUAAUGGAUUUCCAGGUUAUGGACAGGUUUGUCUUGAUCUCUUACUUUUUCAGCCGUACUCAAAAUUCAACUAGCCUUGCCAAUGCCAUCCACGGCCUCCUGCAACAAGCUCUCAAUCUCAUUUUCUAAAUUUUUUUCACUCUCAUUAUAUCUUAGCUUUUGCAUAGUCAAUUUUAGCAAAUUUUACCUGAACUAUUGGACACGAUUGCAACGAGUUCAUUUUCUUACGUGAUAGGGUCGUUAAUUCAAUAUCUUGUACAUGCAACACUACAUUUGUUUUUUUUUUUUUCCAUUUUAAUUGACUAUACGAGUAAUCACUCUAGAAUCUAUAUGCAUAAUGUCUUUAUGAUUUAUUUUUUAUACACAAAUAAUAUAUACACGAUCACCAUUGAAUGCAUGAUAACUGAUUUGAAUGUUAACUUGAAAUCCAAAUUUUACAUAUAUAUAAUACAUCCAAUCGUGAUAAUAUAUACACCACCAAUAUGGAUAAAAUUAAUUCAUAUUUUUAACAUCCAUGUUUUAUAUGUUUCAAAAAGAAAUUAACACCUUAUUUCAUUUAUUUGAUUGAAUAUUAGAAACCUCCCUGCUGAAAGUAAAUUGUAAGAGUGUCAAAUUUGAUGUUUGCCGUUUUUUUAAAGAUAUGAACAUUAAUAAAGAUACAUCAAUCAAAGCUACCCCCAAAAAAAAAAGCAUAUAAAGGACAAAGGGUUUUAUGGCACAGACUUGCUAAUACAUAAAUUCCUUGAUUGAGUUCAAAACUUAAUGCACUUUCACCGACAAUAUGCCAAAAAUACCCUUACUCGAAGACUUUGGAAGUUCCAAGUGUUUGAGACUAAUGGGAUGCAUAAACUAUUAUGAAUUAAUCUUUUCUACACAACACAACAGUGUAUCCAUUGUCUGCUAGUUUUUGAUGAAUGACAGUAAUUCAAUUUCAAAUUUGAAUUUGAAUUGUCUGUAAAAUUUGAACUUGAAAUUCAAUUUUUUUGCACGUAUCAUUAAUCCAAUGGUGAUAGUGUACAUAUUAUCAGUGUAUAUAAGGUUUACUCAAAUAUUUAACAUUAAUUUUUGAAUUUGACCUAAAAGAUCUGUGUCACUAAUAGCAUGAAGAUGGAACUUAAACCUAAGAACAUGAUUAAAUAACCGUUCCAAAUUUUCAUGGAUUUAAAGGACGACUUGAUUUCUCCUUCUAACUAAUUAAGUUGGUCAUGCAUGCUACGAGGGUGGCGUGAUUUUGAGGGCCGACAUAUAGAAUAACAAUGCAAUUAUUGGUACUUUGGGAUUAAUCCCAGAUGCCUUUUUCUGAAUUAGUCUUUUUAUUAUUGUAAUUACUUGGAGUUAUGUUAAAAUUCCCUAUAGCACUUUAUAGUCCACUUGCUGCUAUGGGUACCAAAUGGAAUCCUAGUUGGAUUCAUUAUGUUCCUUCGACCGUCUUCCCAUUUGAAUAUGUUUUGCGUGCACGAAACACGUCCUUGCCAAAAUGCAAUUGGCGUUGCAAUCAUUUGUCUAUUGGUGACAUUUAUCUUGAGACCAUCAACCAUUGUAUGUAUCAAUUAUCAUGUCUAGACCUGAGAUUUGUGUCCAUAAGGUAGACUUAUCAGAAUGAGUCCAAGCGAAAGUGGUGCUAAUCUAAAUUAAUACUAUGCUCUUUUCGUGUUUUGUAUUUCAUGGUAGCUUAAAUAUUUUGUUCUGCUCUAUAUGGGUAAUCUUGAGAGUAAAUUAAAACUCUGAAUAUUCUCUACAUAGUUGACCCGUAAUUUCAUGCACAAAGCUAGCUCCAAGGCCUUAUUUUUGGCCUCUAACGUCAUAUGGUUUUUCUAGCAUACGGUAGCACUACGACCUUAUGCUGUGUACUAUUUUACUUUGUAACAAAUGAUGAUAGUUCCUUCACUAAAAAUGUAAGUGGCUGUAGUUUAGUGGUAAGAAUUCCACGUUGUGGCCGUGGAGACCUGGGCUCGAAUCCCAGCAGCCACAUUUUCUGUUUUAUAUGAUUGCACUUAAAAUGCAAUAAUUGUUUUUGAAACCUUUCUCCUUUUUUUUUCUCCUGAAUUUAGCUUGUUGCCAUAUAAUGGAUUAGAAAUUUACUUAAGAUAGAAUGGCGUCUCUAACACGGCCAUUGGCCAACCUAUUACAAACUUUAAUACUUGCACAUGUUUAGGUAAGAAUGGGUAGCAAUAAAGCCUUUAGGGGAUUGCCUUUAAAAAAAAAAAAACUUUAAUACAAACUUUAAUACUUGCACAUGCUUAGGUAAAUGGGUAGCAUUGAAGCCUUUAGGGGAUUGCCUUUAUUAAAAAAAAAAAAAAAAGCCUUAAGGGGAUUAAAUGUUUUUAACUGUGUUAUUCAAAAAUCACACUGUAAAAAAUUUGUUAGGUGCACAGUGCACCUACCAUAACCACCAACCACCUCGAUCACCACUAUUCAUCUCCACUACUACUAUUGCCCUUCCUCCCUCUUUCUCUCUCCUCUUCAUCCUCCCUUCUCUUUGGUCUUGGGAAGAGGUAUCGAUAGAGGAGGGGAGGAAAGAAAGAGAGAGGGGGGAAGAGUGAGGGAGAGAAAGGAGAAAGGAAAGAAAGAGCUAAACCCAACUUCAAAAACACUUUUAUCCUAAUAUAUUAAAUAAGAACAAAGUGUCUAUUUAAUAAGUUUAGACCUUCUAAAGGAUAAAAAAUAGGUAAAGUUUAGGAAAAUUUAACGUUUUUUGUGAACACAUUUUUCAGUUUUUUUUUUUAAUUAUAAACAUCAAAUUAUUAUGGUACAUUUUUCUAUAAAAAUUAAAAAAAAAUUCAAACAACACCUUACGAGUCAAUCAUAUUUGACCUGUAACAUUUAACCAUGUCUUGUGUAUACUUGUAUUAUGUAGAUAGUUAGUAAGGUUGGGCUGUAUUGGGUACUCAUCCUGUGCAUUAUUUUGUUGAAUCAACCAACACCUUAUGGGUCAGUCAUUUUCUGACUUUUACUAAGCCCAUAUAUUAGCAAGUACUUGGUUAACGAGUACCCAUUGAGGUACGAUCGAAUCAAUAGGUACCUGUUCUACCUCGUUUAUCAUUUAUUUUUUUUAAAAAAUAAUUUAUACUAAAAUAAUUUUAUAUUUUACAUAUUCAUAUAAGAUUUAAUAAAUGUUUUCUCAAAAAAGUUUCCUACCAUGAUUAUUAGUUUCAUCGUUUAUCAUUAUUUUACUUAUUUAGCUUUAAAAAUAUUACUUUGUAGUAUGUGUAUACAAAUAAAAAUAAAAAAUAUAUAUACCAAACGGAUUGGAUAUCUAUGGGUUCUUAAUCACGUAGCACUAACCCGACCCUGUAUAUAAGCGCGGAUUUUUUUAUUUAUUUUGGCCCAACCCUAGUAUUUUUUCUUUUUUUUUUUUGUCGAUACGAUAGAUUUCUACACUAAGGAGAGGAGGAGGACUUGAAAAGGUCUAAAAGUAACCCGAAAGGGAUUGAACCACUGGACUAGAUGAAUGCACUGUACACCCGUUUGAAGUUUUUAAACAAAGCCAAUUUUUAAUAUGGCGAAUUGAUGGGAGGCAACGUUUAAUGAACCCUUGUCUCCCACCCUACAAAGAUUUAAUGCAAUGAUGGUGGCUACCGGUCCAAAGGCAGUGGUUUUGGCCCAACCCUAGUCGUAACGCUGGAGCCAUGGUUGAUUUUAAUCUAGAAUUCUACUGGCAUCCGCGACGCUGGCUGCACUUUUCACUAGCCAGCCAAUUCCCCGAUACUUUCCACGUGGACAGCCGGUCGCCGCUUGCUUAAGGAGCCGUCAACUGAAAAUGUCUCAUCCAGACGAUGAGAAGACCAAAGACUUCUAAGUUUCAAACAUGCACGUUGUCGAGUAUUAUGGUGUAGUAUGGUAUAAUUCUACUCAAAAGUUAGUUAAACAAACAAAAGGAAACCCACCAGGCCACCACCAAUCCCCCACUCUAUCCGUCUAUCAUCAUCGAAUCUCAUCAAAGACAUAUCCCUUAAGAAACCAAACUCUUUAUUGAACAUCCAACUUCCAACUUAGCCGCACGGCUCGGCUCCUCGCUCUUAUAAUACCUAAGCACUAUAAGCAAUAUAGAAAUUGAACCCUAACUACUUUGACCAAAAAAGAAAAUAAGUAAUCAUAUUCCUACCUUUUUUCUAGACACGAUUUGGUAAUUUCAAGUUCCAUGACGGAGUUGGAAAUAUUUUCUGAGCGAAGGCACAAAUUAGCAAUAAAAGUUUGUGUAAUACUUCAAAGAAAUAAAUCUUAAUAAGAGUACUCGAUAGAAAUGUGGUGGACCAAUUUGUAACUUAAAGUUUAUUUGGAAUUGCAGCGACUUAUAAAAAAAAUACUUAAUUAGUAGAGGUCUCAUCAAAGUAUUUAUUAAGUGUUUAAUCAUAUUAUUUGGAUACAUAUUUGUAUAAGUAUUUUCUCUAUUUGAUAAUAUGCAAUUUUAAUCUCUAUUCCUAAAUUAAAAGAAUGAUGCUCGCUAAAUGCGUUAAAAAUUGCUCUUGUUAGCAAAAAAACCACAACUCCAAACGAGCCCUUAAAACUUUAAGUUUAAGUAGUUCUAUUUAUUUGUUUAUUUAUUAUUCAUCAAAUUAUUAUAACAACCAUGAUCUUAAUUAUUUUCACAAUUCAGUGGGGACACAAAUUUCUUAAGAAAUUCUAAACCUAUUAUAAGCCUUUUUUUUUUAGACCUUGCCAACACGUAAUGAAGGCAAAUAUAUAUAGUAAACAAAGUACAUAAUAAAAUCAUGCAAAAAGAUAAACAGGGCUUGAUUAUUUUAAUUUUAAAAAUACAAUCUUGAUAUUUUGACACUAAAUUAUAAGGCGGAGCAACAAAAAUUUUUAGUGAGGAAAUUAAAUGUGAUUUUCACAAGCUUUUGACAUGCAUCAAUGUCUUGAAAACAAUAAUCUCAACUGAUUCCAGCUGACAUAACUGGACAUCGUGAGGUGCUCAAUUAAAUUAGGCCUUCUACUUCUACUGCCGGCAUUCCCCUCGUGGAGGCCAAAAAAAAAAAAAAAAAAAACUACGAAGCUCCGAGUCAUAUUUUAUACUUCAAGCUUGGCUUAACUGGCUUUUGAAGCCGAGAAUAAACCAUAAUUGAGCGGUAACAACAACUAAAGGGCUGUCCCCAUUUAUUUAUCAACUAAAUUGAUUUUGCCUGAUUCAGUAAUAUGGUUGAAAAAUUCAUGCAUCCGAACAAAAUUACUCGUUCAAUUUGGGAUAAGAUUUCACAUCUUUGUGGGUAUAAUCCUAAUCAUUUUUACUUUUCCAAUCUACUCUCCUCAUCUUAGAAAUGCCCAUUUUUGUCCAUUCCUCUUUGUAUAUAUCUGUCUCUGACUCUGUAUCCUUCUCAUCAAUUUCAAGCUGGUAAGGCACCGGAUAUUUUUACGAGCUGGAAUUUACUGGUUUUGAAUGUAUAUUUUUCACUUUGAGUUCUGCAGGAAUUUGUAUAUAGAUCAAAACUUUAUCUAACUUCGGCUUUACUUCUUCUCAUAAACAGGUUUUUGAUGGCCAAAGUUGAAAAAGUUGCAGUGAAUUUGUCGAAGAUUGAAGGGAAAGAAAAGGGGAAAUUCUCAAAUUAAAUUAUUCAUUUCUUGAAGAUUAAUAGAGGGCCCAAGAAGAUUGAACCGCCGAAAUGUAAGUAUCAAUCUUUUCAUACUUCCAUUUUUUAAGUUCCACUUCACGUUUGAGAAUAGUAAUUUGGCUGUUCAAUUCCUGUUACGCAUUGCUUCAACAGUGGGUUUUAGCUUUUUGGUAAUCAGUAGCUUUCUACUCUGCAAACGGAAUAAAUUUUUCUUCGAUCAAUUGGUGAAUUGUGAGUGAUGAUUUUUUUUUUCUAAAAUUGUGGGAUGAAAAAUAACAGUGAAAUGGGAACUGUAAUGGAGCCAGCCAAUGAGAUUAGACAAAGAGGAAAGCAUUACUACACAAUGGGGCAAACUUUGUUUGAGAUCGAUACAAAAUAUGUUCCAAUCAAACCCAUAGGAAGAGGGGCAUAUGGGGUUGUUUGUUCUUCAAUUGAUAUGGAGACUCAUGAGAAAGUGGCAAUCAAAAAGAUACAAAAUGUGUUUGGGAAUAGGAUUGACGCAUUGAGGACUCUCAGGGAGUUGAAGCUUCUGCGGCAUCUUAAGCAUGAGAAUGUGAUUGCCUUGAAGGAUGUCAUGAUGCCUAUGCACAGGAGUAGCUUCAAGGAUGUGUAUUUGGUGUACGAAUUGAUGGAUACUGAUCUUCAUCAUAUUAUAAAGUCAUCUCAGCCGUUAUCAAAUGAUCAUUGCAAGUUUUUUAUUUUCCAGGUGCUGAUUCAUUUUGAGCUUUAAGUACACUAGAUUAAGUUUAUCCUUUUUAGUUCCAUGAGUUUUGUUAUUUGAGAAAGUUAUGGAUUACAAUUUGCUUGUAUGAGUACUAACUGCUGUUCUCAUCCUAAUGGAAGAGGUCUUAGUCACAAUUUUCUCUCUGUUUUUUUUUUUCUUAGUCACAAUUUUCUCUCUGUUAAAAGAAGGAUAGAACCACAUUAGCUACUAUAGAUGCGGUGAUCAACAGCCUUUUUGUGUCUUAAUUUUGAUAUGAACUUCUAUUUGAAACUUUUCUGCUUUUUUUCUUGUUUAUCUCUCCUACACUUACUUUCAUUUCUGAAAUUUGGGGGUCUCUCAUUUCAAGUUCUGAAUAAACUGAAUGAAUUCCAUAUCUAGCAUAACAUAUUUUGAUAGCUUUCCUGAUGAUUAACCUUAGAGUACUCGUAUAGCUUGAAAGCUUUUGGGAAAGACCUAUGUGUUAAAAUUGGUAUUUGACUUAGAAAAUGUAAUUAGUACAUUAGAGCUAGUUCGUAGUUUUAAGGUUUCCCCUGAUGGUGAACUUUGCUACUAUGCCUGGUGUGCCAGUUGUGAUAUACAAAACUUCAUUGUGUCUGAGGACAUUGGAACUAAUUUCAAGGCUUAUGAGUUCACUGUAUCCAGAGGACCAUGUAUUCGGGACUUUAUGCUCAUAAUCAUCUUCUCUUUUUCUAAAGCAUCAAAGAGAUAAGUAGAUAAGUAUAAAUACAAGUAGCAUACGUAGCAGUUAUUUUGUAAAUCCAGCAGAAAAGGUUGUAGAGGCAUUGAUCCUCUUCUGAGUGAAGAACUAUGGUUUCAAUUACACUUGAGAAAAGCUUCAAUUUUAUAUCUUGUGCCUGCAUUUCCUGUCAAGUUGCAUGCUUUGUCUUUUCAAAAUGUUUUCCCGUGGACUAUAUCUCAAAUUUAGAUUGGGUGAAUGGUGCAAAGAAAAGGUUUAUUUGUUGCUUUCUUACAUCAUGCUUAUCAUGAUGGAAUUCAAGACAAGGCAUGAGCCUUUCUUUAGUUGGACUUUCAGGGUUUAUGUUUUAUUUUCAAUCUAAUUUUAAUAACCUUUCUGAGCUUUCACGACAUAUGCAAACAGAAAAUCUUUUCCUGUUGAAGAUUAUUAUCAAUUGUUUCAUUUAACCUUCUUUUCUUUAAAUGCUGAUACGUUGCAAGAUUACUGUUCUUGUGAUUCUUGAACGGUCGCAUUCAUGGCUGUAGCCACGCUCUCACGUGAUCUUCAAUUCAAAAUGUUAGGUAUUAGAAAAUAUGAUGCAUCAAAAGCUCUUGAGUUAUUCUCCUUAAUUUUUUUGCUGGUCUGAUUCUCUGCUCCUGUUUUUCCCUCAUCACUGAAUUGCAAUGUGCAGCUUCUUUGUGGUUUACAAUAUCUUCACUCGGCAAAUGUCCUUCAUCGGGACUUGAAACCAGGAAAUCUCCUCGUUAAUGCUAAUUGUGCACUCAAGAUAUGUGACUUUGGAUUAGCAAGAACUGGCAAUGACAGUGGACAAUUCAUGACUGAAUAUGUAGUCACAAGGUGGUAUCGUGCGCCAGAGUUGCUUCUUUGCUGUGACAAUUACGGGACCUCUAUUGACGUCUGGUCUGUAGGGUGCAUCUUUGCUGAAAUCCUUGGCAGGAAACCAAUAUUCCCAGGAACAGAGUGCCUCAAUCAGCUUAAACUUAUCAUUGAUGUCCUUGGCAGCCAAACUGAAGCCAAUCUUGCAUUCAUUGAUAAUCUGAGGGCUAAAAAAUUCAUAAUGUCACUUCCUUGUUCAAGAGGGGUUAACUUUGCUUCUCUCUACCCCCAUGCUGAUCCUUUGGCCAUAGAUUUGUUACAGCGGAUGCUAGUUUUUGAUCCAUCGAGGAGAAUCACAGUGACAGAAGCUCUUUAUCAUCCAUAUUUGUCAGGUCUCUAUGAUCCAAGUCGCAACCCUCCUGCUCAGUUUCCUCUCAGUCUUGAUGUUGAUGAGAACAUGAGCGAAACAAUGAUCCGCGAGACGAUGUUGAGAGAGAUCCUUCUUUACCAUCCGCCACAAGUUACUUACACGAACACGAACACGGUGAUAAAUUUUUAAUUUGAGAAGCAUUUCUUUGGCACUAGACCUUUGGAAAAAGCAUAAAAGUUGUGGGGAAGGAAAGAAAGAACAAAAAGUACCAAUACAUUAUUAGUACACAAGUAUUGUUUUAGAAUCAUACUUGUUCUGUACCAAGCCUUGGAUACUUCUUUUUGAUUGCAUCAAUUUAUUAUUUAAGCCCGAAGGGGAAAAGGGACAGUGCAGUGGCAGUGAUAUAGCAGUUGAAUCCGAGCAAUUUGCCUGGAGAGUGGUGACUUCAAUCGCUCGACUCUUGGGCCAACCCUUGCUCCUCUAAGCUCUGAAUAUUUUGAUUAGUCCAGAAAUUUUUGAUCUAUGCGUUCUUUUAGUUUGAGAUCACUGCAGAAGUAGCAGCAUAUCAGAACCUAUAAGAGCAGUAGCUUCACACAUCAUUCCUUGAUGGAGAAACGGUCUUAUCUCAAAAUUAGUCCAUUAAUAAUCUUAAGAGUCGGCUUUUUUCCCCCUCCCUCCCCAUUAAUAAUCACAAGUGGUGGGCAUCUUUGAGGGAAUAUUAUGAUCAUCGAAGCAUAAAGCAGCAGCAGCAGCUAUAAAAGGCGACAGAAUACGUCAGUAUUAACUCAAACUAGUGGAUCUCCACUACAGUCUGACACAACGAAAGAGAUGCAUCAAUCGAGUCUGACAGGGAAAUCACAAAUUUUAAAAAGAUACAACAAUUUGCAGGGAAGUAUCUUAUCAUUAUGCAAAGCUAUAAAUUGAUCAAGCUCUUCUCUUAUUUGCUCGGUGUGGAAUAGUCAAUGAACACAAGCUUGUAUCUUUCUCCAAAAGCCCAAUCAAGAAAAUAUACAACACACACACACACACACACAUAUAUUACAUAUAGCUAAACUAAAAGCUGGCAAGCCAUCCAUCCAUGAAGGUGAAUGAAGUUUCUAUCUUCUUUCCUCUAACGUACAUCAGGGGCCCUUCGCCCAUAAUGUACGGUUGUCCGGCACGCACGAGAAGAAAUUAGAGAGUCUAGAAACACGUUUUGCCGGAAGCCUCCGCUAAUUGUUUCCACGUUGUCAUUUGGGACUCAUAAUGGGUCUGUUUAGAUAAACUAGAUUUUUUUCUUCCAAAUAUUAUUCAACUUGUGUCGUAUUUUUUUAAAGGCACACGUUAAAAUAUAUUUCAGAUAAAUUAUUUUUUUAUUUUAUAUAUAUAUAUAUUAUAUCAUAAAAAAUACUACGUUGUCAAUCUAAAUAAUUUUUUUUUUCAAAUUAUCUUUUAUCUAAACAUACCCGUUGCUUUUGCCCCGCUCCUAGUGUUCCGCUCCUAGUGUUCAAGUGUCGCAGGAUUGAAUAAAGAUGUUUUACCUAAAACCAUGGAUGCAUGAUACAGCCACUUCAACUUUGCCCAUGUCAGCUCAAUUUUCCACUAGUUGCUUUUUUUUUUUAAACAACUUUUUUUGUUUUUCUUUUUCUUUAAUCAAGAAGUGAAGAUUGGUUUUCUUACUCUGUUGUCUCCUAUGCGUAAUACGUGUUAGGAGAAAGCAAGAGAAAAAGUAAAUUUAAAAAACGUUAAACAAUAAUAAUAAUAUUGCUUAGCUUCUUAAACAUGACUUUGAUGAAUAAUAUAUAUUUUAUUUAUCAGACGUAAAACAUUUACGUACUACAACAUUCUUAAAUGCGGUCAAAAGUAAUUAAACCUCGUGCAUGGAUAAUGUAUAUCGCGUUCCACGGGAUGGAGAAUCCCUUUAGGCUUUAACCCCUGGAAGUUAAGUCAAAAGUCAAAAAAGAUGAACGAGGAAAAAUGGCCGAGCCAGCUUUGAAGUUGAUUGACAGUUGCUAAUAGAGGCCAAGUCAGAGUGAAGGUUCCCAUUUUCUGCGAUUUCCCUGUUCAAGCUGCACGGGAUAGGCUCCAGCGCCGCCGCCCCUUAUCCAAAUAUCCACCCAUUUGAUACAAUUGAAGCUUUAGCCACCAAACAACGUGCGGAAAAAAAAAAUAGCAAAUUUUUCCUUCCAAACGGAUCAGUCUACCUAUCAUGUGUCAACUAUUCUCUCACUAUUUCAACUGCUAAAAACCAAACAAAAGUUUCUUGAUACAUUUUCUAUUGGCACCAUCCCAAAAAAAGAAAAAAUUUUUUUUUUUGUUUUUUUCUGUAUUGUGGAAUUUAGAUACUACUCCACGAUAAAAGUAUAUUUGAAGAGAGGGAAGACUAGUAAGUGAUUGACAAUUCUAAUUAAGUCGGUAUGAGUAGCGCAAUUUGCUUUUGUCUUCACUUUUUCAGGUAAAAAGUAGUGAUUGAUGGCUGAUUUCUCUAAUUCAGAAGUAAUAGUACUAAAUUGGUAGUUUAAAUCAUAGUGAGGAUGGCCAGCUGGCCUCUGAGCCGUCACUUUAUGCUUCUCAAUGGGCCUAAAAAUGUGUAUAAAUUCCACAGCCAAAUUCUCCUUCCUUCCUCCCUCCCUCCACCUCCCUUCCUUCCUCAUUUCUUUUUGCAUUUAGCUUUGUGAGGUUCGGCCUCUGCCUCUCCCUAAUUUUCUGUUCCUCCAGGUUCUGAAACUCCCAGCUUCCACAAAGCCCGAAUAUUUCUUUUUCCCCUUGAUCCUCUACCCGAACAUUCAUGCGGCAACAGGCGUUUAUUCUCUAACCUUUGACAUUCAUGUCUCCUGUACUCAGCGAAGUCCUCCUCUCCGGUUUCACAAUCAGCUCCACCCUCCGCCGUACCCACUUGAUGCAAUCUUUCUCUGUUGUAUUCCUCUACUGGUUCUAUGUUUUCUCAUGAACUCAUAAAACCAUCAUAUUUACAUUAUUUUCAUUGACCAAAAGACUUCUUUGUCGUAAGUUCAUUAUCCAUAUAAUACUCCUACCCUUUAUUAUUUGCUUAUCUAAAAGACUGCAGAGUAGUAUUUUGCAAGAGAUUUUGUACUUUUUGGCAUAUAUUUUGCGCCAUGUCUUGUACCAGCGGAAAUUCAUCAGGGCCAAGCCAGAUUCAGAAUUCGGGGUCCGAUGAAGAUCCCCAACAAAUUAUGGACCUAAGAAAACGCAAAAGAAUGAUAUCCAACCGGGAAUCUGCUAGGCGAUCAAGGAUGAAGAAACAGAAGCACUUGGAUGAUAUGAUGGCCCAGGUGAAUCAAGUGAAGAACGAGAAUAAUCAAAUUCUCACCAAUAUCAACCUUACAAAUCAGCUUUAUCUGAACAUUGAAUCUGAAAAUUCUGUCCUAAGAGCUCAGCUGGCUGAACUCAGCCACAGGCUACAGUCCCUCAAUGAUAUCAUUAACUGCUUGAAUGCUACAACGAAUUCACCAGUUCUUGAAACACAGGACUCUGCUUUUGAUUAUCAGAUGAUGAGUGCUUUUGAUCAUGAUUUCUUCAACCCCUGGAAUUUACUCAGUGUAAAUCAGCCCAUCAUGGCUUCUCCAGAUGUUCUCAUGUACUGAUUCCUUCGGAGAAGUGAUCCAUUGCUUCGGUGUUUGGCUUGCUGAUGAUCGGGGUUGUAGACUUCUGGGUGCUUAGUGAAAUUGAACUAGAAUGUUGUCCUUGGUUUGUAAUUGAAACGAUUAUGUAUAUUAUGGUUGAUGUACUGCCAUUGCGAAUGCAAGUAAUUUUCUAAAUAUUAGAACAAAAUUCAAAGUCCAUUAUUGAGUGGAUUAGUUCAUUACCUAAUUACGUUGUUUUCGGUGUACAUCUUCAAGAAUGAUGCAAGGUUCGCACUCAUAAUAUAAUUUGUACUCCCAUCUUUUAAUCCUUUCAUAUAUGGUUCACAGAAAUUGUUCACUGAGUGCGAUGUGGAGAAUUUACAAUUAGUACUUUAGCAGCAAAAAAAAGGGUAUAUAUAUUGGAAGCUAAAAUAAAAGGAGUAUAUGUCAAAGGCGAUUUGUGUUGCUGAGGACGCCAAUGAGAAAAUUUUAAUUAUUUGAUGAUGACAUAUGUUUUAUCUACACAUUCAACUACCACUUUAGGUAAGGAUUAAGAUUAGUGGACAAACUGAUGUACCAAUAAACUACUGGCAGAAUUAGUGGGCGGACCAACAUAUAUUUCCAUUCAUGAACUAUACAUAUAUGGGCUGUUUGGCCGGGGCAGAAAAGAUUUGUUUAAAAAAAAUACUACCUCAAAUGAUGACAUCAUCUUGUAUUGUUUGGUAAUCACAAACCGACAGAUGCAUUUGACCUAACAAGUAGAAUUAUUAGUAUUAUACAAUUGUUGAAAGGAAGACAUCUUAAUCGCAUUAUGCGUGGAAAGUUAAUACAAGACUCGCAUAAUGCUCUGCCUCUAAUUGUUAAUAUUUUAGUUAAGCCAUGACCUCAAGGCUAAGGACAAAAUCUAUGAGUUUUCGUUAAUGUUUUGAAAAAUAACUAAAAUAUAAAAAGAGGUUAACAAAUCAAUAAUGUCAUCUCUUCUACACGAAAGAGAUGAAUACAAACCGCCUCGGUCGGAUGCUUAUUCAUUCUUUAAUCCGUUCUCCGUUCCACAGGACUCAAAUCAAUCUAAGAUUCCUUGAGAAAAUUAUUGAGCGCCCCCCCCCCCCCCCAACACACAACACAAACAGAACUUAAAAAGAAAUCGAUCAGAAGUUUCUUGAUUAAAGAACUUAAAGAGUAGAAUUAUUAGUAGUGAAAGAGAAGAAACACGUUGAGGUCGCAAUCCGACGUCUCUGUUAUUCUUAUCAGUUCCAUGUUGUUUUCACCUGUCUUUGAAAGAACAAAUAAAUGAACUGCAAGGCGCACCGAAUCAGCAAAAUCACUUUCUAGCCCAGAUUAAAGAAACCCCCAUUAGACUCUCAGACUCACUGUUGCAUGCAUGCCAGAUCGAGCAUAUCCACCUAUUGAAUUGAACCCUUUUAAGAGUUGUUCUGAUGUCACAAUUUUAUGUAGAAAGUAGGAUUCCACUCUUCAAGAUUCAAUGAAAAUCUCAAUUUCACAAUAGACGGACGAGAUUCAUAAAUUUUCAAGUCUUAAAAGGUUGAACAGAGAUGCUUCUGGUGCUUGUCUACUAACUAAAGAAUGCUAGAUCAACUCUACAGAACAAAAUGCAGUUACACGCUAUCUGUUCUGCACAGACAUUUGAUCUCUAUGUGAUUCAUAUUAAACCAGUCGAAUCCUUUUCUCUGGCUAUUGAAUAAAAUGAUGAUAUACGUACAAAAUUACUGGCAUUGAUUUUGCCAGCUGUUGGGCUUCAUCAGUUGAGUUAAUCUGGUAUCGACUUGACCAAACUUUGCCAGCAGUAUGAGCAGCUCAGCAUCAGGACCUUCUUGAUUUGUUUUCUAUUGAUUAGUGCAUCAGCACUAGGACCAGGGGGAAAAAGUAUGUUGGAGAGAUGCACGGAAAGAAAAAAUUAUUUGCAUGUUGUUUUACUUUGGCAUAGCCGUACGUGGUUUAAUUUUGCAGCCUGUUUUUUUUUUUUUUUUUAAAAAAAGAGUUAGGUCGACAAGUUUUCAAACUUCAACCAGACAUUGCUGUACCAUGUGGCCAACCCUUUUCGAGAGGACGCCCACAUGAUUUGAUCAGAAGAAAGAAAAACAAAAGUUGGUUUGUCUGUGGAGUCCUUGAGUGGGAAGUUAAUGGGUUUCGACUAAGCCAACCGACGCCAAAAAUUGGCUUGCUUAGGCUGCUCACUAUUGUAACUCCAUGGCUUUAUAUUAUUCAUGGAGAAUUGGCACGAGGAGUGGAAUUUUCUCCAUUUCCUUCCACCUACAGAAAUCUGGCAAACAGUUUUUCCCAUCAUAUUAAAUCUUUCCGUUCAACCCAAAGACCAAAAGAGCAAAACAAGUACUCUACAACCAAUCAAUAGUCGGUGUGGAGUGGAGUGGGACUUCCUCUCCCGCGCCGUAGGGAUUAGUCGGAUCCCGUAAGAAUUGAUCCGAACACCCCUGUGUCGACAAAAAAAAAAAAAAGUACUCUACAACCAAUCAAACUAUUAAUCAAUAGUAUAAUUUUUAUUUGAUUUCUCCUUCGAUCUGUAUAUGCAUCAAGGUAUUAAAAUCGCGACACCCGUAAUUGACACGAGACAGCAACCACGUCUGAUUGAAUUUACCAUGUGUGCCCGAAUUGUAGCAUGUUCAUUGAAUUGGUUCUCGAUCAUGAGUAUGGGAAUUUGUAAAUUACAUAUUCAUCUAUCUUUAGUACAAAAACAUGCUUUUGACCAAAAAGAAAAAGUAUAAAAGCAUGCACCCUAUUAGAAAUCAAGUUUAAGCAUUUUCUUUUUUCCUUUUUUGUUUUGAGUACAUCAAAACUUAAGUUUAGAAUGCAAAAAUCUUAAGGCUACUCAAUAAGUUAUUGGUGCUUAGUCAAUUUUUAUAGUUUGAUCACUUCACGUUUGGAUUGCUAUUUAUAGGAAUUUUUGUAGAAAAAUGUAUCGUAAUGAUUUGAUGCAUGUACAGUAAAAAAAUGAACGAAAAAUGUGUUCUCGAAAAAUAUAAUUUUUUUUUGCAAAAAACCACAAUCCAAACAUAGAUAUCCUUUAUUUUUUAAGAUAAAGUUUGGGUGAGUUUAACUCUGGUCACCACCAUAAGCAUAGGAUACACUCUUUUGUAAGAAAAUGAUCCGUUCUUAUCAAUUGAAUUAACUUGUGUUGGCUUAAAAAAAAAAGAAGAAUUCCUCUCUUAGCAUGUUCAAUGUUUAAUUGUUUAAGUACCAAAUGCAAGCAGCAGGACAGACGUGCAUCAAGUCAUCAAAAUUUACAUGCAUAAAUUGUUUGGGAGGAUUGAAGGCAAAUAUUUUCGUCAAUAGUACAUUUAUAAUUUUUUUGAAUAGCUUUUUUUCAUGCAUUGUCAGUGUAUAAUUUUUUUACAUUAACAAAUUUAAAUCAUAUCGCAUAACAUGAAUAAUUCAAAUCAUGCACAUGUAGCAUGCAUCCAAAGUUGCUAGUGUAAAAAAAUUACUACAUUGUCAAUGCAUAAAAAGUUAAUUCUUUUUUUUAAUUAAUUGAAAUUUCACGUUUCAACCACGUAAUAGGCUCAUAUUCUAUUGACAAAAUAGGGAAACUGGCCGGGCAACUUCUUGAAUGUAAGAUACGAUCCUCUUGUAUUGGCCCCAAACUACUCCGUGCCCAAUGGGCAUAUCACCGAUGGGCGGUGGCCCAAUAAGAGCUCUUAAGUUGCCGCCAAAUCCCUGAACUUUUCCUCUAAAUCCCAAAAAUGUCCUCAUCCCCAUCCUCAGAGCUUCCCCUUCACCCCUCCCAAAACCCUAGCAACUGGCGCUUCACAUGGGAGGCCCAAUCUCACAUCCCAACCGUCCGAUUAUAUCUCUUCAACCCCCACAUCAAACCCUCAGCUCAAUGCAUCAACUUAGAGGUCGACUUAUCAGUGGACCAGUCUUCACUCCUCGUCAGAUUCUACCAAGCAGAAGCCGAAGCCGAAGCCGAAGCCUGCACUUCAUUUCGGGUCCCGCUCCCUAGAGUUUUAAUCGACCCGGAGUCACCGGUUCAGUUCACAGCUUAUGAUGAUCAUAUUCAUGUUAAACUCGCUCUGCUUCUUCCCAUUGAUCAUCCUCUUGUUUCGCAAUUUGAUUCCUCGUCUGAUGAGUACCGGCCACUUUCCACCGAUUCCGGUGAGCUUAUAACCAAUCACUUAAGAUGGAAUCUUUUUAUUCUUUUUGAUAUUUCUAUUCGCUUAUGAAUGAUUUGCUGUUUAGGAGCAUUUGUCAUUUGGUUUUAAAUUUGUUUGUGAAUAUGUUUUAUUCUUUUUUGGAACAAAUGUGGCAAUGUCGCUGGUAUUUUGCUUUCAAGAUGGAUGGUGGAUGAUUUGACCUUCACUGCGCAUAAAGCUGUGACAUUUACUUUUGAACAGGUCAUUUUGCGAUGAAUAAUUGCUUGACUAAAUGAUGUGUGAGCUGAAAUAUCUUUUAGCUUACCAUUGUCCUUCCUUUGCAAUCUGGAAGAAAGAAUAUGGAAUUGCUCGUGCUUCUAGUGUCUGCAACAUGAGUUCACUUGGCUUUCAAGUUUUAAGGGCAAGUUGGGUACAGAUUGGGAACCCGUGAUUAUACAAUUUUCCUUUUUGUCUAGAAGUCUUUUCUUUUUUGGGCACUUAUUCAAACACUGACCCAACCUUUUGGUUUUAUUUAUUUAUUUAAUUUUUAUUCAAGUUGUAGUAAUCAUGCACAAGCUAAAUUGUCAGUCAUACUUGUCAAGUUGAUUUAGGUGGAGCUACAGAGUGGAGAAUGUUAUUCGAUUUGUAGUUAGAAUUAGGCUGAGGAUAUUGUACACACGGGUGGGUGGAAAAAAGUUUGUGACAUUUGAUAUUUGUUUCUCUUGUGAAGGAAAAAUGGUUGUGUUUAAGUUUAAAUCACCGUAUCACUUUUUCUUUGUCUAUUUCAUUUUGAAGAUGACGAGCUAACAUGUUUUAGCUUAAUAUUUCUGUCUUUCCUUUCAUGGCAUCUAAGAGGUAUCUUUGGAAGCUCAAAUAUUGUAUCUUGUCAAUCUGUGAUGAAUCUUUUUGUUUCCAUUUAAUUUUUUCCUUUUUUAAAAUUUCGUUUGGUAUUUGUAAUCCAAGUGUAUUCCUAGUAAUUAUGGUUGUUCGUUUAGAUCUAAAGAAUUUAUCUGCUUUGGAGGAAGUGUACUUUUACUGCAGAAGUUGCUCAGCUAAGUUGACAAGAUCUCUCAGGUAGAUUCUACUUCGAACAUUUUUGGAGGAAAUACCAAAAUCCUCAUGGGUGCUGAUUCUUUCUUCUAUAAAUAUUGCAUUUUCAUGUAUGAGACAUUUAUGAUUUCUAGAACAUUUUUGCCCCCCCCCCUCCCCUCCUUCCCCUUUUUUCCCCUGAAUCACUGGCAAUCUCUUCUUUGCCAGUUAAGUCCUGUACUCUUCUUGUGGAAGGGUUACCUCACCUCCUUUCAUGGUACGGCCCGGUAGACGGCUAGAUUUACCAUUGGCUUGGAAGACCUAUAGAACCUACAUUCAGUUUGUUCUUUCUUUUCCUGAACAAAUAGAUGGAAUCCUACCUUGUUCAUUGGGAAUUUAUUUUACUCUUUCUUAGAUUUUAUUACAAUUGUUUUAUGCAUUAAAGGAUGUCCUUUUCUUGGCUGAACUUUCCAAAUUAUAUAGAUGUUUCAAGGAGAUGCCAUCAGUCAAUUGGCAAGAAGCAGCAGACAAUUGGUUUGGGGCUUGUUGUUGUUCAUUUGGAGGUAUCAGUGAGAAGCUGGUUAGAAGUUAUGCAAAGUCCUAUACAUGUGCAGCAGGUGUUUGUCUCUUAGAUACAGAAUCUGUCAUUUUGUGCAAGGACGAUCUUGUGGGAUGUGAAUUUCCUGGAUUUAAUUGGAACCAAAGUGUUGAGUUUAAUCUGAAAUUGACUACUGACGAUAUUUUGGUCAAAGCUUCCUCAGAUGAUGCAAGUAAACAUGGGCAAACUGUCUGCUCUGAGAAUGAUGACUUUGGGAGGGAGGUCAGCAAUGGCAAGGAACAUCAUCUUGGUUCUGAGGAAGAAAACCUCAAAGAGAAACUGAGGCAUGAAGCUACUGGAAAUGCUGGUGAUUGUGGUAACUUAUCUUGCCUGUCUUCACACUUACAGACUGCAGAAAACAUGGCAACUUGUCCUGACUUCCAUGCAGUUAUGAAACAUGAUCUUGGGUACUGUGAUAAUGGAUGUCAUAGUCUUGAUCGUUUAGAAAUCUCUUCAGAGGAAAAAUCUGGAAGGGAUAUUGAACUCCUAGAGCAUCAGAAAGUAUUACUUAAUGGCUUUCUUUGGAAUGGUUUCCUGGCAAGAUCCUCCAAUCUUUCAAAAGAUGUUAGGUGGGUCGAAUUCUUGUGUCCUCAAUGUUCUUCCCUACUUGGAGCAUACCCUUGCUUCAGUGAUAGUAGUCCAUUGGACAGUGGAAUUCGCUUGUUUAAAUGCCACAUUUCAACCACUUUACCUGUUGGUGGCUCCGGUAAUACGUUUAGGUAAAAGACUUCUAUUUAUGAUUGCUAUCACAAGAAGUGUUGUAAGUUUUGUGCUUGUGACAGUUAUGAUCAUUUAUUUGUUUUUCAAUUGUGGAAGGACACAUACCCAAUGCUCUUAUAAGAUGUAUAAGAGUAGGUCUUAGAAGGAGAAAGUCAUCUUUCAUAAGUUGUUUAUUUGUAAGUGGGUCUGUUAGUAUGGCUCUGAUGAUAUGCUGUGGAUACUUUGAUUUCUUUUGGGUUUGACAUUUUAGGAAAUAAAUCCUAAAUCCAUCAAAGAAAACGACUUCUAUCCUUUUUUUUCCCAAAAAAGGAAGGAAGUCAUUCAUUGGAAAUAAGAAAAGAAAAUAUUGCUAUGGCUUUAAACACUGGCUAUUGGUAGUGUCACUAUGCCUCUUCCUCCAAUUGGUUAGUUUACACUAAAACAUCUUCAGCGCUCUUUCACUUUAGUUAGUUGGCCAGCAGAACUGGGUGUUACAUUAUAUUGGGAUACUUUCGCCUGUUAUAUUAUGUGUUCAGCAUCAUGAAGGGAAUAAAGCAUGCAAGUGAUGUUGGUUAAUUAACUAUUUACUCUUCUUCAGUAUGUUGGAACCUUUCCUAAUGUCCUUUAUUAUUUUUAAUUAAAUCUUUCUUGGUCUGAAUUUUGCAAAGUUCAAUUUUGUGCAGAUGUUAUAGCUUGGAGAGGAUGUUUGCAAUUCAGUUGCUGGAAAGUGCAAAAGAUGAAUUAUCAUUCCGGACUGUUGUGAGAGAUAUGCAAACCAAAUAUCCUAUGCUGCAAAUUGUUCUGUUGAACCCGGAUUCUUGGUGCUGCAGUGGAUGUUGUUUGUACUCCACUGAAUCAGCUUCAAGGAAAAGCAUGUAUCCAACCAUCAAGGUGCUAUUUUCUGCCUGCUGCAAUGAUGAGGAAAACGAGUCUAGGUCAGUUAUUCAAAUGCAUUUGAUCUAUUUCGUGCAUAUAUUAAGGCAUUGUUUGUCCACCAGUUGACAGCAGAGUAAGUGUCAAUAGGGUAAUAUAGCGAAGUGGUCUUCAAUGUACAAUAAUUAGUCAUCUGAUUAAAUUUCGACGUGGCUGGAAUGUGUUAUCAUACUUUUCCCAGGGGCCUUUCUUCUUUGAGGAGCAAAUGCAUCUAUGAUUGAUUUUAUGGAUUGGCUCUAGAAAGAUUCUGUAAUGGUCACUGCUUAAACACAGCUUAAUAGCAAUCUGUUUUUCCGAUUUUGACUCUAUCCAGAAUUUAUUUGGCCAUGGUUGAAUCAUGUGCAGGAAGCUUGAAGAAUGGAUUACCAAGAAUCAAGCAGAUGAAGUGUACAUGUUGCCAUCUCAAAUAGGAAACUUGAUUUCCUAUUUAAAGUCGGCUAAUAGUAUGUACCCUCCAUCACAAGUUCCCCUGCAGAAUCUGUCCCUGUCAUCCAUGAGAAGAUAAACAAGAUACGGGAGAUUUUGAUCUCCAACAAAAUCUUAUUGUGGUCGGUUUGCAUGAGGAGGAUCUGAAAUCCCAAAGAAGGCUCAGAUUUUUAAUCUUGCAAGUUCUAUAGAAUUGUACGCAAUUUCAAGUUGCCAGAUUACUAGGGGGCUGAUCUGGCUGUCAUUCUGUUCCAUGACCAGAGGUUUAAAAAUCUCCCUCCGACUAUGCACGCUCUUUCAAGAGGAAAAAGAAGCGUCUAGGAUAUUGAAACUUACAGUUCAUCAUGGCAGUGCCAGUACGAUUAUAACACCUACCAUUAGAGGCAUUUGAAGCGUAACUGGUGCCCUUGCCCGACAGAGAGGGUGGAAAAUUAGGGGUUGCAAUGGUAUGCGGAGCCCGCAACUUACGAGGUAUGGGAUUCUGUGAUCGAGUCAACAACGACGAGACGCAGUCCCUGCAUACAUGAAUUUCCCUUUGUUCUUUGGUGGGACUGGUAUAUAUGUUUGCUUUGUUCUUUGGUGGAAAAUAAAAAGCUAUUAUUCCAAAAGAAAAAAAGUAAAUUAUGCUGUCUAAUUGGUGAUAUGUUCUUUGAAAAUUAUUUCGUGGCAAUCAUUUUGUCUCGGAGGAUAUUUUGAAUGCUAACAAAUAUUUUGGCUAUUAACCUUCUCUGUUUGCUGAUUACUUGAAAUUUACAACUGCAAUAAAGCCAUACAACUAACCACAAAAACAACCAACCAUCUUAAGCUUUAAAAAACUUCAUAAGAGAAACCAUAAAUCUAAACUUAAGACACUACAUAAGAGUAAAAGAGAAGAACUAAAAAUCAUCAUGCAUAAUUUAAGAACUACAAGGAAAAGUAAAAGAGAAGACACACUAAUGAUAACCGCUAGGGGUGGGCACGGGUCGGGUACCCGCCCCUAACAUGAUUUGGCUGACCCGACCCUAAUAUAUCGGAUCAGCCAUUUUGCGACCCUAACCUGCUCCUAAUAUUUUCGGGUACCCGAAAAAAAGGGGCGGGUCAUAGGGUACCCGCCCCUAAAAAAAACUAUUUUUCAAUAAAAAAAAUUAUUUUCUACUUAAUAUCAACAUAUUUUUCAAUAAAAAAACAUGCUUUUCCAAUUAAUAUUGGUAGAGAUAUUGUAAUUAAAGUCCAUACAUCACCAUUUUCACACAUUUCAUCCAAUAAUCAAAUCAAUCUCAUAAAUUUAGUACAUAUUAGAAUAUCUAAUGGACAAAACGAAGUUUCAUAAUAAUUUUGAGUACAUCACCAUUUUCACACAUUUCAUACUUCUACAACACAACAAACACAAGGAUAAUAAGUAUUUGGUAACUUCCCCAAGGAUAUUAUGGUACAAGACCGCAUCUCAAAUAAGUCAAUUGUGAAAUCAAGUUCGGAAAAGAAUUGAAUAGAACUAAUUAUUUUUGAAAAAAAUAUAACCAAAAUAAUGUUAAAAAUCUUCCCCAACUUCUUUACAUCUUUGGAAUAGACCUUAUGGUAUUAAGGUGAUGAAAAAGAAAAAUAAAUUUCUUGCACUAAAUAAAAGAGACAAAUUUAAGAGAUAUAAUUGCAAAUGAAUGACACAAAUAUUUUAAUUAUCUAGCUAACAGAAAAUUGAGACUCCAAACAAAAAUCUUUGAUUGAAUUGAUGCAAGAUUUGCAGGAAAGAUCGAUGGAGAUAGAAUAAAAAUAAAAAAGAUGAAAGGGAUGAACAAUUUUUAUAACAGAGUUUCACAAAUUUUUUUUUUCAUUUUGUUCAUGUUUCACCGAGAAUAUUCACUUUCUUCAAAAAAAAUGAGAAGAGUAGAUCAUAUAGGAUUAGAAUAUGAGGCUGCGAGCCACUUCACUUGCACUUAGGAUUAAAAAUUACAAAAUUAUAAAAUGAUCCCUACUUUUUAAAUAUUUAUAAAAUAUACCCUGCGGGUCGGGUACCCGCGGGUUUUUAUUUUUCUGAUCCGUAUCCGUACCCGAUUUUUCGGGUACCCGACCCUCAUCUGCCCCGCUAAGAAAAAUCGGAUCGGGUAUCCUAUUUUUCGGAUCGGAUCGGAUCGGGUUCAUCGGGUUUUCGGAUCGGCGGGUUUUUUUGCCCACCCCUAAUAACCGCACUUGAAAAGGAAAAAAAAAAAAAAACACGCGUGCACUACUAAACGUGCUUUUCUGCGACUUUUUGAAUUAUUCACUACUUGAAAAAUUGAUAGGAACUUUAUUAGUGGAAUUGACCACUAAAAUUCUUACAUUUUGACUGCAGAAGAAACAAAGGAAGUUCUUGUAUUAAUCCAGAAGGAAUGACUAAUUCUUUCGUAAAGGUGAAUGACACCUAUGUAACAGACGAAGAAUACAACUUGUAUUAAUGGAUUCUUUGGACAAAGCUUAUAGAAUUUGCAUACGCUUUAACAAGUCAAAUAUAUCUGCCAUUGGACUUUAUGCUUCCUCUUUUUGAGAGGUCAAAAGCCACAAAGUAUAAAAAGAAGAAUAUAAUGUCACAAGAGUGGAGAAGAAUGCAUUGUCGUAGUAUCAGCUGGAGGCAUUAAAAUCGCAGAAAUAAAUUUCAUGCAAGAAAUCCUUUUAGCAAGAUGUUGUGUCGACUGAACUUUAUCCACCUUCCGAAAGUGGCUACAUGAAUGGGCUCAUAGCAAUUAUUUUAAGCUUUAAAGAUCAUGGCCUUGAAAUUGAAUGGGUGAUGACAGUAGAUUUUCGGUUUCUUGGAAUAAAAUCAACAUUAGUGGUUGAAUUAUUUGAACUUGAUUCCAAAUUCUAUACGUUUUUUUGGACACGAUUCUUUUUCCCCAAAUGAGUAAACUUUACUUAAAUUUUCUAGAAAUAAAAAGUAGAAUUUAUUUUAUUUUAUUUUAACAAUGAAAAGAGGUCUUGGUUUUUUUUUUUUUUUGAGAAACCAAUUGCUCAACCAUCACAUUGCAUAUUAUUAAUAGCUUCCUAAAACCGUAAACCUAACCUAUAAUCCAUAUGAUUUGAUAUUUUGUUCAGAUUGAGCCACACCAUUACGUAUCUGAUCCCAGACAACCCACCAUGCAUGUAUUGCUCAAUCCUAAUGAAUCUGGGUACUCUAAUAAGUGUAGGACUUGGAGUUUUAUUAUUGAAACGUUAUCAUGUUUUUAAUUUUUGCUAAUAAAUACGAAGUGCUGGCAAACCAGUAUAUUUACCAAGAAUCAGAAUACCAUAAUGCCUCUCAUUUCACAAUUUUAUACUCGUGUCUUUCUUUUGAUCUUUAAUUGACUAAUUGAUUAGUGAAAUGUAUAUAGAUUGUCUCACGUGCUUUUUCCGAAUGUCUCUCAACGAGUCGGAUAGAGGUAUAUUCAUGAUGGAUUUAAAGAUUAAAAGGAAUGAUUGAACUUGGCUUGUGUUUAAUAAUUUUUUGAAAGAAUUUAAUUGAAUUUGGUUUGAAAUUUCAGAUAUAUAUUCACAAAAAGUUUGGCUUGACUUAUCAAAAUAUCGAGUUCAAAUACAUACAAUCAAAGCUUGGCUUGUCUUGAAAUUUCAUAUUAUAUUAUAUAGAGAUUUUCACCCUAAUUUGUUGCUUUUUUUUUUCCCUUAUUUUUUGCCCUAUGAUAUUCAAGAAAUCUAUUACAAUGAAUUAGUGAUGUGAUUAAAGUUAAUUAUGCCUAUUUAAAAAAUCUAUUACGAUGAGUUAUGGAAGUGAUCAAAAUCAAUUAUACCUAUUCAAGAGAUAAGAGUAGUAUAUCUAUUCAAAAGACAGCUAUAUUUUAUAAGACAAGUAAUAUACGGGAAGGAAAGAAGUGGGGUUAAAAGUAUUAUAUGCUUGCUAUAAAGAUAAGAUAAGCAAUAUAUAGGAAGGAAAGGAGUGGAGUUAAGAAAGAAAACUUUAUAUAUAUUUUUAUCAAAUUUGCUUGCCGUAAAUGUUUAUGAACACAUCGAGCUGGACAACGUUUCCCACCCUGAAUAGAUGAAAGCUUAUACCAUCCCACUCUUUUUAAUUUGAUUAAUCAGCUGGAUUCUAAUAUUUUAGUAGGAUGUAAUAAAUUUUUUUUUUUUACCUAGACUAGGUUGCUAAAGAUCGUACAGAGUAGUACAAGUAGGUUAACCAAUUUCCCAUGAUCAUUAAAUAUUUGACCAAUUUAGUAGGUAAAGAACAAGAUUCAACCAAAGUUAAGCUCAAGGCUCACUUAACUAGUAUUCUAUACCAUGUAGAAAUAAAAUUUACUUCUCCAUUCAAUUAAAAAUAUGAACUUUCAUGCAUGCUUAUUGUUAUAAUUAUGACAAGUGUCACUUAAAUUUUGGUAACACCAUAAAAAUGGCCGCUAUAGCAUAAAAAUAUUUAAAAAAAUGGUCGUACAGUUAACAAAAAUUCAAUCUAUUUUUCUCAAUCAUUUGCAAAUUUAUGAUUUUUUUUUUGGCCUUCUUCUCUAAUUGGCUGUGAUUUGUACUCAUUGUAUUUAGUUCCCAUAUUGAAAGUCAAAAAAAAGGAUAAGGGCAUAAAAGAAAUAAGGAUAAAUAGGUAUUUCAGAUUUUAUGAACUAAUAAGGGCAUAAAGAGGAUAAGAAAAUUUAACACCACAAAAGUAAAAAUACUAAACGAUACUCAGAAUGUGUUUGGUUUGCAUUCCAAAAUCACAGUCAUAAAUCUUUCAUCAUUUUCCAACCUUGUUGCUCCAUUUAGAACCAAGUUGGAUUUCAUUCUAGUAAUUAUUUAAUCAAUUUGAAAUCCAAGUCAUUACAAAUAUUUUUGACACCUUUUUCCCAUUAACGGAUUUCCAUAAUAUAUAGUUUAUCAAAUAAUAGAUAUAAAUAGCCUCAAGAAAACAAUAGAUAGAGGUAUCAUUAACUUCAAUGCUAAUUCCUAACUCAUUUGCCAAAAACCCCUAAAGCUAACCAUUACAAGUAUGGAUCCGUUAGGAUUACAAGCAUGGCAACCAUCCGCCUGUCUAAUGACCCUAACCAGCGCUAUAAACAACGGUCUAAUGAACCUAAAUAAAAUAGUGCUGUAAACAACGGCCUUAUCAUUUCAUUACUACUAGUAAUACUGCAAGUGCUUUGCUCGUGGUUAUAUUUUCCCAAACUUUUAUGUAUUAUUUAUAAUGGAGUAUUUUGUGAAAUAUUAAUCAUUAAAACCAUAAAAAUUUUUCUUUCCAUCAAUCAUGCAUAGGGUGUACUUCAUCCCUAUAUAUAAAGAAAGAGUGGCAAAUUAUGAUGUAUUAUUAUUCAUGCUAACACAUAUGAAGUAAAAUCUGUUGAGUUAUAAUUUUCGGAUUCAACCUUCAAGAAUGUAGCAAAAAAUUAAUUAACUUUGGCAAGAGAUUGCACAUCUUGAGUGCCAAAUACAAAACAAGAUCUGUGGAGUUAUAAUUUAUAAAUCUAACCUUCAUAAACGGUAUCAAACAUGAUAGAGUUCUGGCUAUGUAGAGAAGUUUAUCUUGAGCUUCUCCUUUACAAACCAUUAAUACAAAUUAUGGCAGUACUAUGUUGGUUCCUUUUUAUAAUUUCGCCAUAUAAAGGCAGUAGUAAUAACGUGUGCAUGAUGAUGAAACCAAAUAAACAGAUAAGACCGGGACUACGAAACCAUAUUGUCAUUUGGGUACAUUGGUGCGUUGUAUCCUUAAGGUACAUUGAACUAUAAACGGAUAUGAGUAGGUGUGUGAUAUAUUGCUACAUUGUAAAUUUCUAAUAAUAGAAAUUUUUUUUUAGUAUGUAUCCUUAAGGCACACGAUAAGCCUACAAAAUACAAACGAUGGACCAAUUUCAAAUUUUAAAUAUCAUUAUCAACCCCCAAAAUCUAGGAAACUUUAGCAAUAAAUUUUAAACUUUUCCUUAACUAAUACCUGAUCCACCCCUUAAUUAUCAUGUGUUUUAAGGGUACAAAGAAUCCUCGUAGAAAUAAUAAUAUAUGGUAUCUUAGAACGAGGGAAUGCAAAUAAUAAGCACUUAGAUAAAUUUAGAGAUAAUUACGGUCAGCAAAUUUGUAUCAUAACCAUUCAUUACACUAUUCUUCCCAUACUUUAUCUUUCAUUAAAGUUUCUAACUAUGUUUUUGGCCCAUUAUUUCUGAAUGCAUUUUGAUCUAACAAUUUAUUUUUCUGAAUGACUUCUUAAAGAUCUUAAUUUACCAAAAUUAAUAUUGUGGAUAUCUCUUAUGUUCUAAAUUAAACACGAGUUCAGCACAACCAAAAUUUACACACAAAAUAGUUUAGAUGUUUGAGAAUUAAGAGUAUUUUUCAUGCUAACCUUUCUUCUUCUUUUCCUCCUCUAUUAGAGAUGUCCUUUGAAGUGUGUGCUGGAUGGACCUGAUUGAAUCACCUUAAAAAAACAAAAAUCCAGGCACAAGCAACUUAGCCUCCUUUACACUCAAAGAACUCAAAUGUUCUUUUUGGUAUUGUUUGAAUUUUCUUUAUUAGCUUUAUAUUUAAUUGUUUGUUCACUUUAUGCCAUUUAAUUAUUGAUUUUCAAUUCUAUGGAGCUUUCCUUUUUUUUGUGGAAAGUUUUGUAGUUUCUUUUGGGCAUUCCACUAAUCUGUGUUUUUAAACUCGGACCGGAUCGGACGAUCCGACCGGUCGAACCGAGAAGUGUUUGGUCCAAGUUGUUCUUCAAAAUCGAAAGACUGAAAACCCGGACAAAAAUCGGGUUUGACCGGAAAAAAACCGGUUCAACCAGAGCAUUUUUUAAAAAAAGGUUAAACUUUUUCAAUAUUAUGUUUUGACCCCUAAAUUUUUAAAACUUAUUAAUAUACCUCAAAUAUUUCAUACUUUAUAAAUGUUGUCCUAAAAUUUGAUGUUAUUUUUCAAUCAAAUCCAUAAUUUUAAUUCUAAACUUAUUAAUGUUCAUUAAAUAAUAUAAAUUGCUACUUGACUGUUCUAAUUUCUUUGUAUUUUCUUGUUAAAUAUAUUUGAAACAUCAAAUAUAUAUGAAUGUACCUUUAUUAAUAUUAACAUACUUUUAGGUAUUUUAUAUACAAUAUUUUAAUUUUAAAUAAUUUUUAUUUAUGACAUCAUCCGGUUCAACCCCGAUCGAAGCCGGUCGAACCCAUUGACCCCUGACCCCUGAGUUUGGCCGAGUCGAUAUCCGGUCCGAGUCUGAAAACAUAGCCACUAAUGAGAUUAAAUUUGCCAUUGGAUAUAGAAUAAGAAUUAUCAACCCUUAAAUUACUUCAAGAGUCUAAAUCACUGAAUGAUGCGACAAGAUAUAAAAGGAUUUGAAUAAUGGGUACUGUAUCCAAGAGGAACUGUAAUAUUUUCCUUUUUUUAGCUUAUUUGCUUGUUCUUCAUAAUGAAUUUUAAUUAUUGCAUUGUGUUAUUUCAUUUAUGCAUAACUUUUUAUUAUAACAAUUAAUAACAUGAUUGAUAUUCAUUCCCUCAUCAUUAUUGAAAUGCAUUAUAAUUAUUCUAUAGAGGGUAGUUUAGGUAUUACAAAAAGUAAGACAAAAUCUGUUUACACUACCUAUACUUCUAGACCCAUGAUACUUUUACAGGGAGUAUAGACAGAGUCGUGGCUUUCUUUUGCUCUUGAAUUGAUUACGUAAAUGACCAAUAGGGGUUGGUUCGAGUGGUAAGCAGUUUGGAUUAGCUUAAGCAUGUUUCGUGUUCGAGUCCUAGUGUACGCAGACACCCCUGUUGAAAGACUCACCCAUCAUAGCCAGGUGUGCGACGCAGGUCGGGUCCGGAUUAGUCGGGGCAAAGUUCGGAUACCGGGCGGUCAAUCAAAAAAAAGAAUUGAUUACGUAAAUGUGCAUAGCUUGUCCCACAUGUUUUUUUUUUCCCCAAAUAUCCUUGAAUAGCCAAACGAAAUCUUGUACCGUUCCACUCCUUUCAAAUUGGUUAAUCAAUUGGAUUAACAUUUUUUUUGGCCGGAAAAAAAUUUCUAUAGAUCGUGCAUUUUAUCAUUGAACUAGUGCAAAGUGGAUUAACCAAUUUCCCAUAGGUCGAGCAUAGCACUACUACUUGAUCUAUAAGACAUUCAAAAUUUAUCUUCCUCUCUCAGAAUCCUUCUUCGUCGAGGACAUGUAGCGCAUUAGUUGAACGCAGAUUCCUUAGAAUGCAUGGGAACUUAUUCGUUUACGAAAUGGGCAAUCGAGAGAGAGAGAGAGAGAGAGGCAGGAUUAUAAUUUCUCGAAGGGCCAAGAUCGACCAAAGGGUCGUAUGGCAUUUUAUGCAUUGAUCAGAAUCUCUUCAAUAUUCGUUGCUUGGUUAUAAAUAGAGUUUGGGAAUGAUCAGUUUUUGCAAUGCAAUGCAAUGGGUUGAUAGGAAGGUAAGAGGAAGAGAGGCCUUACAUGAAGGUAAAGGUCCUCAUUUGGUAGCCAAGGAUGACUUGCCUGCUCCACCUCAGGGGGUUUCUCUAAGUCCACAAGUAAACCCUUUGUCGUGGUCGCCAGGAAGUCUCCUUGGCUAGCCUGAGAGGCUCUUUUCUCUCAUGCUAGGUCUUCUUUUCCCCUGCAGCCUCUGCCACCUCCCAGUCCUUUAUGAUUUUCUUUUAUCUCUUGCAAUUAUUCAAUUUUCCAUUAACUCCUUCAUCGUCGUGCUUUGCAGUUUGAGUACUUGCGAUGAUUGACAAAGCAUUGCAGUUUGAGUAUUAACUUUUGUUUAUCAGAAGCGUUGAAAAAUUUUCAUCAUAACACCGAUAUUUUGCAUUUCGGUACGUAAAAGUAUGUCUUGCAUUGUUUUAGCAUCAGCCAUCGUCUACUCCUCGGAUAAAUGUCAGUAAGAUGGAUCGUCUGUUUCAACAUUCGACCAGGUUUUACAAUAUUCGAUCCGACAAAUUUUUGUUUUUUGGGGGGUGGGAGGGGGAGUAAUUUUUGUUGGAGAAAACCUUACAAGCGCACAAAUUUUAGUGCCCCUAUUCCCUGUUCCCUAGCAUUUAAUUUGUAAGCCAUGUUUACUAAUCCUUCCUUUCUGUCUGUCUUCUUUUAUUUACAGAUCAAUUGUUUUUUUUAAAAAAAAAAAAAAAAAUCUUUAUCAAGAAAACAAAGGUGAAGUUCUUUGAAGUAUUCGGAGCAGGACUCCAAACGUAGUAAGGUGCCUAAGAUUCUCAUGUAAUGGCAAAAUCCAAUUAGGUCACGAAUGAAAUUUAAUGCAGGAACGAGGAACGAAACAAAAACCGUUCAUGGGACGUGUCAUACAGCAGCACUAAAAGUCUUCAAACAGCUCUCCGUGCCUUGAAUACCCAACAUUUUAGCAGCACACUUGGACGAUUGUGGGCAGAUGGCAUAUUUCAGCAACACAACUACUUACAAAUCCAGAAUAUAUUAUCAUGGAGCAAAAUAUCAAUAAUAUAUUUCUGUAUGGGUGUGAUCCAAUGCCCACCAAGCCACCAUGUGUACAUUUGCCUCCCAAGGGCCGGGCCCCAAAGAUUUAUGGAUAUACACUGUUUACAUCCAAGCCACGAUUGAGGCAUUUAUGUCCGGAUCCCUUUAUUUAAUCCAUCCAUUGAACCAAAAAUAUCCUGCCAAGGAGGGGAGCCUUCAUGAAGCUUUCGUGGGAGCAUUAUGAUGACGAUGCGGAAUUUUUUUUGUCUCUUAAAGUUCUCAUACGCGGUGAAGUGUCACCUUACCUAGCUUAUCACUCAUAAGAAGAUCUUUGAUUAAAAAGAGCGUUUUCAAUUGACCAACCUUAUCUACUGCCGACAGAGGACACUUGUCACUGUCAUGCACAGCCACGUAACAUCUUGCAAACUGACGCGGUGUCGGUACUGCAUGAAUUCGGCUUACACCUGGAACGCUGUUUGUGGCUCUUCCUCUGCAUGCACCGGCAAAUCCUCAUAACUUUACUGAUCUUUUUGGUUGUUCCCUUUCUUCUUCAGCUUGCCUAUAUAAAAACAGGGUUCCGCUGCAACUAUUUCUCGUCAAAUCCACCCAUUUGUGUGAAGAAGUCUUAUCAGUCAGUCUCUGAUCUUUCACCUUUCAUUGAUUUGUGUUCUAUAUUCUACUUCCGCUAGUAGUUGAAAUUUGGCAAUUAAGAUGGCACAAUACGGGGCUGAAUAUGGCAACCAAAAGAGCCAGUACGAUGAGUACGGAAACCCAGUUCGUCAGACAGACGAAUAUGGUAACCCAGCCCGCCAUGGAGGUACCAUGGGUGAUUAUGGAACCACUGGCACUACUGGAGCCUAUGGUGGCACAGCUGGAGCACAUGGGACUUAUGCAACUGGAACCACCGGCACUACCGGUACCGGUGCGUAUGCCACCCAGCCUGGCACUGAUGUGGGGAAGGAGCACCAUGGCCUUGGUGGCAUGCUUCAUCGCUCUGGUAGCGGUAGCUCUAGCUCGGUAUGCCCUCCUAAUUAAUCUCGUCUUGCUUAAAUUGUACUGAGUUGUAGUAGCAUUUAACAAAUCUUGACCAGCUUGUGAUGACUGGUAAUUAAAAAGUUCUUAUCUGUUUUCUUUUUGUUUUUUCGGUUGGGAUGCAGUCCGAGGAUGAUGGGCAAGGCGGGAGGAGGAAGAAGGGGAUGAAGGAGAAGAUAAAGGAGAAACUGCCUGGCGGUCACAAGGAGGCUCGACCUGGACAAGAAUAUUCGAGUGCUACUACAGCUCCUGGAUACGGCGGGGAAGGAGAGCAGCACGAGAAGAAAGGAAUUAUGGAUAAAAUCAAGGAGAAAUUACCAGGGGGUCACAACAACUGAAGAUCUAAUUCUAAUAAUAUGGGAUCCAAUUAUGAUAUUGUGUACCCCUAUUUUCAAUCUCAAUCUCAAUCUCGUUCGUGUCAUGUUUGUGUUUUCUGAGAUUUGAGUGUGUGGACGUCUUGAGUUUCUGUAAUUGGAAUAAAGAUGAUGAUGAUGACUCUGUAGUGUGUUUGUCCGUAUAUUCGGCGUCUUGUACUCGGGUCAUCUGGUCAUGUAUGUAUGUAACAUGUUAUGUAUCAAAUACGUGAAGUUUUGCGUUACUUUAGCGUGUGAUCGCUUGUAAGUUGUAAGGAUUACGACUCUGGUCGCAUCUAUUCUUUUUUGUCUCCUCAAACCAUAAUGCGCUAACACGAGCAGUGCAAACAAGAUUUCUUAUUAGCAAUAUAACCAGUAGUAACUCAACCCCUCAGGACCUUGAAGUCAGUAGAGUAGUUGUAGGCUCUUGUAAUUGUACACCAAUAUCUCCAAAGUUUCCAACUUCACUAUAUAUUAGUUCCUUGAUCCAAUACCAAAACCAAGCAAGCAAAUGCCACACAGAAAAUCGGGACAGGGACAAGAUAUGGACCUAGCAAAUCAAUAGACUCAGUUCAGAGGUAUAUGCUUGCAUUUGCGUGGCCAAUCAUCAUUGUUUUUUUUUUUUAAUUUUUUUUUAUCAUUUUUUUCGCCGCUGGGGAUGUAUGAUGGUUUGUUGACGAGGAACAAAUCAGAGAAAGGGUAACACCUUAGCAAACACUCGUGUUUGCUAAGGGGAAAAAGACACCAAUUUCAGUAACAGUGAUUGCAACUUUUCUUGGCAUGCGGCAAUUCUUUCAGCCCCAAGGAGGGGGGGAAAAGUGUUAUCCUUGGACUUCACCUUUAGGCCAAGCAGGGUACACCUAAUAUUCAAGGAACGGUUAGUGACAAAAUGUGGCUGAGGGCCUGAGACUCGAUACGUCAGGGGAUCCAAAGCAGACCAUAAGAACCAGGCAAGAAUAUCAAUUUUACUAGAGAUGCGAAACCCGAGGAGAGAAAGAAACGACAUAAGGUCCUUUUGGAGAGUAUUAUCACAGAUGUGAAUGUGAUGCGAUGCGACAAAAAAAGUGAAUGUGAUGCGGCUUCAGAGUAGAAUAUCGUGUUAGAUUGCAGAGGCGAUGAACCACCAUCACAUCAUUGACUCUUUAAGUAUACGCUAUAUUUACCUGGAUUAUCUGGGAUUAACACACGAUAGUAUCACAAGCUUACUUCCAGUUCUGCCCCAACAAUGAAAGAAUCCAAACGGGGUUAAGGCUCAACCUACUGAAAAGAAUUCAAUGUUCCGGGAUAGGGGAUUCUCUUACUGAGGCCCAAAUAGAUUGGCUCUUUAAGUAAUUAUCUCAACCCUAACAAUUAAGAAUGUCUAGGCAUUUUCAUUGCUACCGUGGUUAACCCCAGGAUUCCAACUUCAAUCACCAAAAAUCACCACAGGAGCAUAUUCCUUUCCGGAAAUGGUGGAACCUCAAGUUAUCCCUAACAACUAUCUCCCUGCUCGUGAGCUGAGAUGCUCUGCUCAUUACAGAGUGGCAGUCCUCACAUAUUCUCAGGUUCUUGGUGAUUCUGAUAACACAAUUAGCACUUGUAGUUAGCAGGGAAUACGCCAAAGCGAGCUUUUCACUAUGCGUUAGAAGGAUCCGCUCCUUUUCUUCAUCACUUACAUCAUAAGGAGCAGAACUUAGUAUUGGCUGAUAGCCAUGGACCUUUAGUCUCUUAAGAAGAUCCUGUAGUGUCUGCUUAAUCAAUUUAGACUCUGGAUGAAUCGUGUCAUCAGAAUAGAAGUUGUGAAGUCCCCCAUUUUCAUCUUCAACCAUGCUAAGUGAAGGAGUUUUUAUUAAACGUUUUGCUCUUAUCAACUUCCUUACUCUUGAAACAUCUUCCCACCUUCCAGCUGAAGCAUAGAUAUGGGAAAGCAAGACAUAGUUUCCAAUACCAUCAGGUUCAAGUUGAAACAGUUGCUUAGCAGCUAUUUCAGCAACCUUAGGAUUUCUAUGAAUUCGGCAAGCUCCUAGCAAGGCUCCCCAAAUGCUGCCAUUGGGCUCUAUUGGCAUCGUUUGAAUAAGUUCCAGUGCUUCUUCCAGUCUUCCAGCUCUGCCAAGGAGAUCAAUCAUGCAAGUAUAGUGGUCAACAGACGGCUUAAUACCACAACCAUUCUUCAUCAUUCCAAAGAAAUGCUGACCUUGUUCUACCAAGCCUGCAUGACUACAUGCGGCAAGGACCCCGACAAAAGUCACCUUAUUAGGCUUCACCUCAACCUUCAUCAUCUUCUCAAACAACUCUAUUGCUUCUCUAGCACAUCCGUGCAUUGCAAACCCACCAAUCAUUGAACUAUAAGAGAAAACAUUUCGAUCCUUCAUACUCUCAAAAACCUUAAAUGCAUCCUCCACACUCCCACACUUCGAGUACAUAUCAAUUAAUGCCGACCCAACAAGGACAUUAUCCGUAAGUCCAAAUCCUGACUUCUCUGCAAAAUCCCGGACCCAAUUUGCGUACUUGAUUGCACCCAAUUGAGCACAAGCUGAAAUAACACUAGACAAGGUCACUUCAUCCGUGUUUACCCCAGAAUUCUGCAUUUUCUCAAAGUACUCUAACGCUUCCUUAGGCUGAGCAUUCUGUGCAAACCCUGUCACCAUCGCGGUCCAUGCCACCAUAUCCUUCACAGGAAGCCUAUCAAACAACUCGCUUGCCGCCACCAUAUCCCCGCUCUUCGCAUAUGCAACGAUCAAAGCUGUAAAAGAAAUGACGUCCCUCGUGGGCAAUUCAUCAAAUACCCUCCUAGCAAAAUCCAAGCACCCACAUUUUACAUACAUAUCAAUCAACGUAUUUCCCACAAAUAAAUCCUGGACAAACCCACCAAUCUUCAAGCUUUGCCCAUGAAUUUGCCUGCCCAAAUCCACAUUCAACACGCCAGUACAAGCCUUCAACAAUGCCGUAAAAGUAAAUGAAACGGGCAAAAUAUCAUCCCUCCUCAUUUGGCCAUACAAAAAUACGGCCUUUUCUAGUGGCCCCUGAACAGAAUAACCGCGGAUAAUUGCUGUAUAGAGAAAAGGGUUGGGGCAAUAUACCUGGCUGAAGAUCAGACGGGCGUAAGUAUCGAUGGGGGUAUUGAGUUUGCAGAGCACCCGAACGAGUUUUGUUAGGAGGAAGCUGCAUUGGUCGAGACCUUUUCUGAUGAUAUGAGCGUGGACUCUCUUGAUUUCUGUGAGACUAAUGCAGGAAUCGAGGAUUGAGACGAGCUGGGCUUCUAGAAGCUUUGUUUCUUGAAGCUUAGAGACGGGAAUGAAGGGUUCUUGGAGGUCCAGAGCUGGAGCUUUCGGUUCGUAGAAUUGGGGGAUGAGAAUUGCAGGGCGUCUAAGGGUUUUAAUCAGCUUCUUGGAAAGUGAAACCAUCACAUAUUUUGCACAGAAUUUGUGGACUAGAAGUGGCCGUUUGGGGAUGCAGAAGAGAGUGAAUUUUGUGUUGGCGCCAAAUAACAGCAAUCUGUUGUUAAAUUUGAGAGUAAACAAGAGGGUGUAGUCGUCAGCGCAAGGUAGUGAAGAAUUGACGCUACUAAUUGCCAAACCAAUUUUCUUUUUCUUUUUAUUGUUAUGCUUAGAUAAUAUGUAGAUAAUGAAAACUUGUAAUUUAUCUGCAUGAAGCAUAAUGAUUAUUAUAUGUUUACUUCAACAAAACUAAAGUUGUGAUAGUAAAAUAUUUGAAAAUUUUUUUUUUAAAAAAUAUUAUAACACUUUUUUUUUUUAUAUGAAGUAUGCGACAUAUAAGAAAUAAUAAAAAAAAAAUGCGUUAAUAAUGCCCAUAAAUACAAACAAGCCCAGUUCCGUAAACAUCUUCAAAACGUUGUGAAGAUAUUUAUAUUUCUGAGUUGGAUGCGCUUUAAACGGUUUAAUAAACCAACCACCAAAAAGAUAAAGGCCUCAUGAAAAAGACAACCAUAUAUAAGUUACUCGUGCAACAAAUGUUCAUCAUCGGGGCCUGUUUAUGAUAGUAAUUGGUAAAAGAAGAAAAGAACAGGAAAAUUUGCAGAGGGAAAAGGAGGUUAGUUAAUUAGUAGGGGCACUAAUCAUAUAGCAAAUAAUCGGCUUUCAUAUGACUAACCAACAUCAUACAGCAUAUAUAUAUUUUGACAAACCUACUAAUGAUGUACAGCUCAAACAAAAAAAUACCAAAGGUUUUCACUACCAUAAUGAGCAGCAGCAGAUUAGUGUGCUUUCUGGUGUGCCUUGACGUUCCGAAGCACAUCCUUCAGAACCGCUGCAAUUCUUUGCUCCAUAUGGCGUUCUAAAAACCUUUCUUUCACCCUCUCAUAGCCUCUCUUCCCCAUCGUCAGUCUCCUUUCAACAUGAGUAGCAAGUUUAACCAUAUUUCUCGCAAGAGGCAUUACUCCCUGUUUCCCUACCGGAUGCAGAAGACCUGUUGAUCCAUUCACCACAAUUUCUUGAGUGCCACCUGCUGCUGUUCCCUGAAAAUCAAGCCAUAAUCAAGCAGUCAUAAGAUAACCUAUACUCUGAAUCAACCGAAUGUCCUCAAGAAUAUAGAAGAGCUAAAAUCUCAUGCAUUUUUUACUGGAACAGAUGUCAGAGAUUCAGGGCAACCAUACCAGUACGGGUAACUGAAAUGCCAUGGCUUCAAUUGUUAUCCUCCCAAAGCACUCACCUCGUGCCUACAUGGAGGGAUGAGGAUGUAGAUAUUAGUACCGACACCGAGACCGAGAUCAAGAUACAUUUCACAAACACCCUAAAAAAGUCGUACAAAAUAGCAGACAAACUUGUUUCACAAUGAGAUUUUUAAAUUGUUAACAAAUUCACAACUAUGGUUCUCUUUGAGUCCUCCCUUAAUUGCAUGACGUCAUUUGUAGAAUUCAAAUCUAACAAAAGCAUGUAGAAUCACAUGCUCAUGGGUUGCAAAUCAAACAGGAAUAAAAUUUUUGGGAAAAUAUAUCUACACUAUAUACUGGACUCAUCUUUCAUUUGAAAUGAGAACUUAAUUUUACCACUACUGGACCCAUAUUUAGGCAAAAGGGAAGAGGGGGAAAUAAAAACAUCAAAAGUGAGCUCAGCAAUUGAAGUUCUAAGAAUGCAAUAAGUCGGCUAGUGUAGCUUUUCAACUGCCCAGGCAAAAAGGACCCACGAGAGAAAAAAUCUUUCCAGUGUUUGGUGCAAAAGGAAAAUGCGAUCAAAUUGACCUUUUACUACUUUUGCUACAUAGAACGUGCCUUUUUUGUGCAAUUUAUGACAUUAAACCGAAAAAGCUUCCAGCCAGCCUUCUAAAUAUUUGAAUAGGUUUUUUUAUUAAAUUUGAUUGGCAAUGGCAUGUUACAAUGUUCAGUAAAACAUACAGAACUUACAAAAUAAUAAUUAGGAACAGGUCACAAUUCCAAAUAACUUUCUCCUAUCUAGGACAUGGUGGAUAUGGUUUUUCUAACAAUUUUUUAAGAUUGUCGGCCGUGCAGUUUCUCUAAAUUAUACAUGUAUUUGGAGAAAAUAAAUAGAUAACAAAUACUGAAUGUGCAUGGGGGCAAAAGAACGUAAAUUGCAGCCAGAGAUUUGCAAAGUUAACAGCGGCAGCAGAUAAAAAUGAUUUACCUGAGAAUUCUGGACAAGAACAUCAAUUGCAGCAAGAUAAGGAGCUACAGCCAGAGUCUUAUUAACGAAAUGAACAUGACCCUGAAUCUUUUUAGAUUCAACAAAGGCCCUCAGCUCAGACUCAAAUUUGCUUUGAGCAUUUACAUCACUCCCCACAAUUGCAGCGUGUAUAGGUGGCACUUGUAGCUUCUGGUGCUUGAUGUAUAUUAGGCUCUCGUGAAAAGAAUUCAGAAACAAAUCUUGUCCUUUUCCACGAGAAACACCUACAGCAUUACAACCACCAAACCAUCAAACAAAAAUAAAAAUAAAAGCAUGAAUAUUUACUUAGCAAGUCUUAUAAGCAGAACAGACAAAAUAUUCACUGUCGGUGAUUUGCAAACAUCAGUACAACCUCCUCAUACAAAUAUGCCAAUAAGUAAAAAGAUCAUUUAUACAUAGAAGACUUGCAAAAUGAAGAUGCCCAAUAAAUCAAGUUAAGCCAAAAAAAAAAAAACUGGGUGAGUAUUCAUGAUUCUGAUCCUUUCAGGAAUCAAGCAUACUUGGUUGACGACCUCACUUACGGAGGCACCUCUGCAUUUGGUGGAAAGUACAAGACUAAUAUGCAAGGUGAGGAUCACAGGACUUAAAUCUUGACAAAAAUCAGGAAAGCUCACAGAGGGAGGGAAGCUGAAGCGACUGUUGAUGUGCAAGAAUUGAUAGAUGAUGAAUGUGAAGAAGAUUAUCAGACUUUCCUUGACCAUUUAAACUUUAAUGGCGAAAAAAUGGUUCUGAAAUACAAAAAGUCGAUGCCUUAUAUAUGACGGGGAACUAAAUGUCCAAACUCAACUCCGUGCAGUGUGUGUGUGUAUAUAUAUCCUUAAUUAUGAAUGCAACAGGAAGAAAAAUUCAUCCUAACGUGUCUAAAGCUCAUGAUUUCUUCUUAAUUUACCACAGCAGUUGUUUAAAUACAAUAUCAAGUCAGUCUCUCAAACAAGCUUAAAAACUCCAAAAAACAUUGUGGAACAACCUCCCCUAUACUAAACCAAAUCUCAAAUUCUUCUCACAAAAACAGCCCCCAGGUUCAACGGAAGCAUAAGGACCCCAAACAACCUCCAAAAAAAUAUGUAAAAAAAACACAUAAAAACAUUUUUUAAAAAAAAUGGACCCCAAACAACCUCCAAAAAAAUAUGUAAAAAAAACACAUAAAAACAUUUUUUAAAAAAAAUGAAAGUUAGUGCAUACUAUUUAUGAUGGCAAAAAGUAUAUCUUCAUUCUGAACCCCAAGAGAUUCACGAACAUGCUCCCGCAAAACCCUUUUUGCCACAGUAUCCUCAGCAACUUCCAUAAGUUCUUUACUGUUCCCAAGAUGAACAACAUAUGUUUUGGGCAUUUUGAUCCUAUAAGAGAUUGACAAAUACAGUUAAGAACAGUCAGAAUGAUGAAAAAUUGAGAUCGAGGGAAUAAUGUUGGACAGUAAACAUUGCCAUGAGAGAAACACACGAUCAAUAGUCAGAAAUCUUAAUUGCCCAUGUCAACCAAAUUUGUCCCUUACAUCUACAGGUUAUGGCCUUUUUUAAGACUACAUCCAUUUAGACCAGAAUUUUCUAGAAGUUUUCUGUAUCCUCAAAGAGAUAAAAAAAAAAAAAGGCACAGAUCAUGAUGGAUGCAUAGCUAAGUUUGAACCAGCUGCUUACCACAUCAGAAGUCUCAACCAUAAAAACCUUCCUCCUUUGAAGAUUAAAUUAAUAGAAAAUCGAUAUUAACCAUUCACCAAGCCAUACAAAGGAAUCAAUUCCCCCAAACAUUCACUGUUAAGGCUCCAAUUAUGAAAUUCAGCAACUCAAGAAUCUACUUUUCAAAAUUUUUGAGAUUAACACUGCAGCAUAAAUAAAUAUGCAUAGUAACAUUAUUAUGAAAAAACAUUUUAAUCGAUUUCAUCAAGUCAUCCCGACUUAAGGUGCUGCACAUGACUUGCAACACACUUGCACCUUCAUCCCCAUCUUGCCCCUUGCAAUAUCUUCAUGGACUAAAAUGUCAAUCAUGAACUCUAAUUCUCAUUGUCUUACUUUAAUUAUUUGUUAUCACAUCAGCUAAUUCAUCCAGAGAAUAAAAAAAUGAAACAUAGCAAAAAUAAAACAAGAGAAUCGGAGGUUGCAUAGCACUCCAGUUUUCUUGUUCUACCAGCUGAUCUUUACCAUAAGAAGAUUAGAAGUCCUUUGCUGGUAAGUUGUUAUUAAGAUACUUUUCCAAUUUCUAGCAAAAAUGAUAUGAAUGUUAACUGUCCUCCGCUAAAAUUCUCACACACUUCUAUAUCACAGUGCAAUAUAAGAACUGAGAAAAUCAGCAUAACUACCUUCUAUCUUGAUAAUUGACAAGAGCAAGAACAUUAUUUGUGUCAGGCAAGCUAGUAGUGGCAUAUCUUGGGAAGCACCUAGGGUUGUUCAACCUUGUACAUACACCUAGGGCUGAAAACUGUACUAAUCAUACAUCAUCACAACACGCUAAUGCAGUGAUCAACAUAUAAUGCAUGAGUUCAAAUAGUAAAGAAAAAAAACAAACAUAGAGCUUUGUGCAUGUUGGAAGCUGCAUUAAAUAGGAGGCCACUAAAAGAAGUAAGGAAUGACAUACAUAGAUGCCUACCUUAAUCGCUCCUGUGUCCUAUUCUUCCAGUAUUCUGCUGUGACAUGUGAAUCUAUCAUUGCACCAGCAACAAAUGGAAGGUGUUUUACAUAAUCCAAACUGAAGUAAUGGCCCCGCAUUUCAUGGAUCCACCACAAAGUUUUGGGGAGAACAAGAUGAACUUUUUCCUUAAGAACAGCAUCCAACCACUUUCCAGCCACAGCAGUGUUCAAAACCACCAGAUCUGCUUUCAGUGCUAUAUUUACGGCCUCUUGGCUUCUCGCCGAGACAAUCUGAGAUGUAAAAGGGGAAAAGGUGAGCAUACUGCUCAACAGUGUUUGAACCUCAUAAAAUUAGCAACCAAUGCAUCAAGUAUUUAGAAAAAUUGAUUCGUGUUGAUAAGGCUGCAUCUUAUCCAUCAUAAAAUUUUAUUUACCAGAAACAAUUAUAUUCGUGCAGAACGGAAAUCUUUAUUACCGUAACAUAUACUGAACCUUGUCACAUUAGGAAUGGAGAAAAUAACGCUGGCAAAUUCAUGGAUUAAUUACCUGAUAUAUCAAGCGUAUUGAAAAAAAAUGCAAAGCAUUUUGUUGAAAUGGAAGGGGGAGGGAGAGUGAUUGAACCAAUUGAAUACAUAUACCUUUUUCCUCUUUGUAAAAUUAUAUACAGAUGUUUGCCACUGAGCUGACAGAAACGAUAUGACUAACUAAAUAUAACAUUAGCAAACUCGAGAACAUCGAGCUCCAUGCAUUACUUUAGCAGGAAACCAUGACGAAAACUUUGACAAACAGGUUAAAAACUAAAGAGGCAAAGACUGCAUCCCUCAACAAGUAGACUCGCAAGAACUGUGAGAUUUCAUUGUCAAAAGAUUUAAGGAAUAAAAUAUGGAAAUAAAGAAGAUAGAUAUUGCAAAAAGAGCCAUGUAAGGUAGCUGAUUAUAAGCACAGAAAGAUUUUGCAACCUGCACUCCUCGAGUUAACAUUUUGUGCUCCAAACUGUAGAUGACACUGUCUGUUCCUGAUGGUCUCUGGUUUGUAAUCCAUUGAACAUCAGCACCAACACCUCGUAACAGAAAAGCCAGUUCCAUCAGCAACAAUGGUCCACCUACAGUGUGUUUCAGUAAAUGGAUUAGCUAGAGAUAAAGUUACAGAGAUACUAAUAAAUGACCGAAAGCCAGUAACUUGAAUAAAAGACCAACAUUAACCAAUCAAAGCUGAUUAAAAGACUGAUUAAAAGACAUGAUAGGUCACAUUUCCAGAAGGUUUAUAUUGUGGGAGGUGACAAGAAUAAGCAUAGAAUGAUUCUGUUGCAGGGGCACACUUAACCAUAUUCCAGAUGUUUUUAGAGGACCUAAAUGGAAUAACUUUAAAAAAUAUCACUUAAGGCUGAAGAGCUGGUUUAGAAUACAUAUUGUUUCCAUGUUAUUGCUAUGGGUUUUAAGUCUCUCAUUUGUUCAUGUAGAACCCAUCAAAGGAACUGAAAGCUAUUAUUAUACCUGUCACUUUCAUAAUGUUGCUUCUAGGAUUUAUUAUCCAGCAACUUCUGCCUACACACUUUACUUUUGAACAACCCCCUAUAAUCUCCAUUCCUGGGCAUUUACCUAUAUCCCUUUAUAUCCUUUAUUUACCAUUUCUGUUGCAAUUACUGCAAAUUGCACUAUUAAGAAAGUCGCAAUGGCAAUUUAUCACUUAAAACUUCAACAAACAAUCACUUAUGUGGUAUCAUAUCAAUACCUUCAUUUGGUUGUAACUUCUUCCCUAAGCGUACAUAGCCAGUCCAGAUUAUCACAUAAAAUCUCAUGCUAUCUUUUUCAAGAAACAUACACUUUAUGCCAGUUCACAAACUGAAAAAAAAAAAAAGAGGUAAUGAAACUCUAACAAAAUCGAAUGAAGCACGGAAGUUGCCAGAGAAAAAAAGACGGUUCACCAGGACAUACAGAAUCAUAUCUCUAGUAUCCUCUACUCAGAGCCCAAGUUUUGCUAGACCAAGACCUCAGUACUAAAUGUGCAUGAUAUCAAUGGCAAUCCAUGCAUCAGCAAACGGUAACUGGAUGGCUUGAAAUUACAUGCUGUUAACAACAUCAGCCUUUUUCUCCUUGAAUUUUUCAUCUCUUACCUCCUAUAUAUCAUUUUUUUCCUACCUGACCUGUUAUCCAUCUUUGAUCAAUACAAUAUAAUUUCCACUUGAAGGAAAAAGUUUUGCUGGAUACAUAUAUGUAAUGCACCAGCUAAAGAAUUACUACUUGGCUAAAUUUGCAAUAUAUCAAUAACAGCACCACAACUCAAAAUCAACAUUGAGUUAAUUUUCUAAUGAGAGAUGAAAAUAACAGAGGGGAAGGGGCAAGCUCUUCUUACAAGAUACCUAAAAAAACUCCAGUAACUCGAAUUGAAUCAUUAAAUAUACAUAAUUCAGAUUCUUGAGGAAACAAAAAAGAGUUCUCUUUUUUUUUUUUGGUUCUUUUGUUGAAGAAGAGACGGACCUGAAAGAGAAAGCUCAUGAGAGACAAGAAGCACGAGCUUAGACUUCAUAAAACUAAGUGGGCUGGGAGACGGAGCUGCGGUAACAAAAGGCGGCCGCAGCGGUGGCGGUGAGACGGAGCUGAACUUCUUCUGGGAAGGCACAGCCACAUCGUGACGGCAAUCACAAGGGGUAGAAUCCACGCCGAUGCCGGACCUGAUAAUCAAAGCAACAGAAAACAUCACCAGCACCAUAAUUAACAUCAUCCACCGCUUCCUGAGGAAAACAGAAGCCACGGAGGAGGACGACGGCGUCGGGUUGUGCUUGGCCAUCUCCGCCACUAGCAGUGCUUACACAAGCAACAAUGUUAGGGAUUGAUGAGGGAAUGAAAGGCGGGACUAAUGGGUUAACUUUUUCAGGCAUUUUAAGGGUGGGAUUUCUGGUGGGGAUAGGUGAAUGGGAGAGAACAUUUGUCACUUGAGAUAUGGGAAAAGUGAUGCCUCAUCACUUUUUUUUCUUUAAUUUUUCUUUUAACUUCCUGGGCCUGGGGUUUUUGGCUGGGUUUUUCCCAUGUGGAAGGGAAUUGAACUUUUUUUUUUUUGUCUGGGUAUGGAAAGAAUUUUGGUAUUCAACUUUCGCUUUCCCACUUCGAGCAGUAGAAGACGAGACGAGGAUAGGCACUGCACUUAAUUAGGCUGUGUUUUAAUUGCACACAUUCGCUUGCUCUGCCCAUCACCAUCAAUUUUGUGGUCUGAUGAUGAGAAAGACAAACUGCGUCUCUUGACCGAAAUGCCCCGUCAUUAUGUUGCAUCUGUGCCUCGAAGGAGUGAUGUUAUGACAUGUUUAGGUACCUUGGCUUAAUUUGGCAAUCAACACGAAUCAAUAUUUAUAUUUUUAGGAGAUUGCGGCCUUGCUUUUGGUUGUUUUAGACUUUACAAAAUUUAAAUUAUAAAAAUUGAUUAUAAAAUAAUUAAAAUUAGUAAAAACUGCAUUUUAGGUGAUUAUAGAUUCUAACUUUUUAAAUCAUUAAAAAAUUUAUAAUCAAAAUGCAAAAGUAACAGAAAACAUUAGAAAAAUUGAUUCAAAAUUUAUAAUUAAUUAAAAUAAAUUCAACCACGAACAAGUCUACGAUACUAUAUAUUUGUUCAAAAGUUACAUUGGUUGACUUUUUAUUUUUUAUUAUAGUGAUUGUUAUGUAGUAAAUUUGUUUACUCUUUUUUCGAGUAGAUGUUCCUUAUUAAUUGAUACUUGUAAUUAGCAUCAUAAUAGUUUUAUCAACUUUCAUCUCUCACAUCCAAUCUUUUUUUCCUUUUAAAUAACGAUUAAUUUAUAUGAAUUGGUCAUUAUUUUUUAAAUUUUUUUUGAUUAUGUUAUAAAUAUAACCUCUAAUUAUUUAUUUAUCAUUCCAAUGAUUUUUUAUUUAAUGUAUAUCAUACUACAAACAUGCUAUAGUGUUUUUUAAUAAAUAAUAUUCCAUCAAAAAUAUUUGGAUACAAAUUACUAAACCGUUUUAGUAGAAUUGUUAUAGAUGUUAUUGGACAGAAUUGUUAUAAAGUAGUUCUUCAAACUAACACGUGUGACAAAAAAAUUUUGGUCAAUUGUAAAUUUUCUUAAUCCUAACAUCAUAAAAAGUUUUAAAAAUUGUUUAAAAAAUUGUUUACUUGCCAAUGUAUAUAUAAAUAAUAUAUCACAUUUUCUUGAACACCAAAAUAGACAACAGCUACUAUUACAACUAUUUGCUUGUGUUUAUGCAUAGAUUCGUUAGUUGAUCUUCAUUCACUUAUUUAGAAAGAAAUAAUAAAGCCUGGUCAAACCAAAAAAUAAAAAGUUUGGGCAGUAUAGUCAUUUUGAUUGUCAGGAGGUUAUCUGAUGCAUCGUUCUAGGGGGGUUAUACGCCUUGGCUGGAACCGGACAGGCGUCUCUGGUUUGUCCGAGACGAAGGAGAAGAAGCAGCAGCUGAGCUGACUAAUGAGUAAUGACCAUGACAAACCCAUCAACAGCUUCUGCUAACUCUAUGCGUCAUUUAUUAAUCGCUGUAAUCGGAGGUAAUCAUUUAAUAGCAGCUCUAAAUCAACAUUUAAAGUUUCUUCUAAUCUCGAAGCAUUAUUGGUUUUUUCCUCUGGUUUUGAGUAUUUGUAAUAACUCAUACUUUUGUCGUCCUUUUUGCCUUUUGGGUUUUGUUCAGCAGUGGUCUUUCAUGCUCUGGAAGCUGUUUCAGUGGUUGUACCAAGUACCAAUUGCUAUGCCCUAGACAAUUCCAGUCGCAUUUAUGAUUUUGUAUCCUGUUAUAUUAAAUAAAGUUGCCCACUUUAAAUCUUGUUAUCUCUCAUUAUUAAUUCCCAUUAACGUAUGAUUACCUUAAGUAAUUAUUUGGAGUAAUUACGUCAUGAAGCUUUCCGUGCACUAUUUGUUUUCUCUCAAGUGAUGAGUAGAGCAGCUGGAUCGGAUACCCUUUUCAGUAUGAUGGGAAGGUAAUUUGUUCUAAGCUUUGCUCUGCUAUAUGAUGCAUAUAUAGGUCAUAAUCUGAAGGGCUAGAUAUCUAAUGGUUCCAAAUAUAUGCAGGAAGCUGACUUGGUCGUGAGAUUUUGUAAAGAUGUCGAGACUAGAUCACAAGCGGUACUAUUGAACUUAUCUUAUUUGUCUAACUAUGAGAGCAAUAAUUAGACAGUUAAUAUUUCAGGGUCGAUAAUUGAAUUGGACCCUUUUGUUUGCUAUUCUAUGUAUGCUUAUUUGCUUGCAUAUCUGAUGCUGCAGAAAUGGCUGAACUGAAUUUGAUUAUUGUACUUGUGACUGUAAACCGGCAGGGAUAUGUGGAUUUUGGCAGAUUUGACAAGUUAAAUCAGUUUGUUGCUGCUUCUGGAAAUUUUAAGUUUGUUCAAGUAAGCUGUGAUUGCUGACCCAGGUUCUUAACAGUUUAUCUCUUAAGCUGGAAUAGGUGACUGUUUGUUUGGUUCUAGUUCUCAAAUCUCCUGUCUGAGGUCAUAAAUACAGUCCACAGUUGCCUGAAUAGUCCUUACACUUGUUCGCUUAGUUGUGCUGCAAUUGAUCCAUCUCAUUUAACUCAUUAUGUAUGAUUACCAAGAUAGGUAGAUUAGCCUAUCCAGUAUGCCUUGCUGAUGAAAUCCUAGAUGUGGAAUUGGACUAACAUAAGCAAAUUUAAAGUUUUUUCUCACUGUAUACAGUCAUUAUGUGUGCAUAGCCUUUGUGGAUAGUGAAUGUGUUCUGAUUUGCUUUGCUCUUCUGAACAUUCAGCAAUAUUAUAAUGGUGACUUAACGAGCUGUGAGCAAAGUUUUGAUAAAUUGGGACGCACAGCACAGGUCAGAUCCAUUGAUACAAUUAUUAGUUACAAUGUGUUUUUGUAACUUUGAUUGCAUUCUUUAAAAUUUCAGUUUUAAUAGCAUGCCAACUGCUCUUAAGGAACGUUUUAAAAGUUUGUUCUUGUAAAUUUUUCAGGUCAGCAUCAUAUGCGGAAGUUGCCCAAAUGGGCAAUGUAAAGGUACUGAAAUAUUGCAUGUUAAGAAAGUUAGCGCAUUCUUGACAGAGUCGUUCUAUUUGGUUGUACCUUAGCAUACAUUAAAUUUGCUAAUGUUGUCAACAUGAAGAGUCUUUUUGCCUUGAACGGGUUUCAGAAAUGGUCUUACCACGGUGCUAUAAAGAUAUUCCCAGAAGACUACCUUUCUAGCAUAUUCAUUUUACUUGUUACUACUCUAUAAAGAUUUCAGUACCUUCUGCAAACUAUCAUACAUCAUAACUUACACUACAUAAAUCAGCACUUAAUGCACAUGAGGUAUAAACUUCAGUGAAUAUCUUUGCCAGAUUCAAGAUAACCAAUAUUUGAGGAUUUUUUUUCUGUUUAUUCGUUUUCCUUUUCUCCUAAGUUGAUUCCUAUGAAAGCUGGACCAUGGUGUACUUCUAGACUAUCAUGUUAUGGCUAUGGAUUUUGUUCAUCUAUUUUUGUUUUCUUCCCAAGGCUGCUAAUGACUUGUUGCAGAAUGGAUGAUAGCUUGUUUUAGUGAUGCUUUUAUUUUCUAUUGUGUGCUGAUGUGUAACUGCAUUAAACCCUGCUGCAAAGAGAAAAUGGAGAGAUGCAUAGUGUUAGCAGAAUAAUAUGUUUAUGGAUUGCAGCCCUUGAGUUUUAUAUUUAGAGUUUCCUGUGGUUUAUAAAUUUUCUAAAAUUUAUCUCAGGUGGUCUUGGAUGCAUAUGUGAUGUGACGUAUGAGUCAAAUUGCAGGUUUUUCUCAUGAUCUCCUGCUAUUUAGCUUUUCCAUUUGUUGGCUUUACAUGCAUUAUACAUAGCUGUUUCUGUUAAGGCAGUGCUCUUGUUGAACUUGCCAUUCCAUGCGAGAAACCGGGAGCACGAGUAUUUGAAGGCUAUACAGUUGGUUUUCAUCCACGUUCAUGGGAGAUUGUAAGAAGUUUCUCUUAUUCUCAGUGACAAGUGAAUAAUAUUUCAACUUUGAGUAAUUGAUGUAUGGAAUCCUUAGGUGUACAAUGGCAUGACUCAAUUAGGUUUUGAAAAGGCUCACAGCGAAUUCAGGUACUGAUUUUUCAGCUUUUGCCAUUUGCUAUCUCUUUUUUCAUUAUUCUGCAGUCUGCAGUGAUCGUAAAGGAAAUAAGUCCAGAAAGUAUAAAAUUUUUAACUUGGUCAUAUGUUUCCUUUGCAAAUCUGGAUCUAUCAUACUUCAACUUCUUCUUGCCACACUGGUGGUUGUUUUACAUGAAGUUAGGUAUCUAUUGUUAGCUAAAUUUAAUCUCCUUCCUUAUCAGACUUAUGUUGUGAAAAAUAGAUGAUUGUAUAGGGGUACAAUGUCUAUCUACGGAUUUGUAUGAUAGAGUAUUUUGCCAAAUAAUUAUUUGGAAUAAUUACUGUAGCACUUUUUGUGAUGUAAUGUAUGUGAGAUAAAAAGGUGGUUGGGAAUAUAAAAAGGUAGAUUGGGAAAUGUGUCUAUGAUGCAAGCGAAAAAUUUUUUGGAAAAAUUUGUUAGCCAUACAAAGCCGUAGGAUCUAGCAUCUAUUAGCAUAUUAUUGGGGUAUAAAUGAGGUGAUUGGUGUGGUUUAUACAUGUUGUAGGGAUGUUUGGGUAGAGACAUCACUUUUGGUGAUUAAUCUUACAUAGUGCUGCUCUUUGAGGAUUAAUUCAUAGUAUGGGCUUCAAUGACUUCUGUAUCUCAAUGAGAAACAAGAAAGAGCAUUGAAGGCUAUAUUAUCAUCCAUAGAAUUGAUUUCUAAGGACAACCAUGUUGGGUGGCUGUUACUGGCUAAAUAUUGGAUACUUGAGAUAUAAAGAGUUAAGCUACCCUUGUGGCAUUGUUCUUUUCUUUCAACUUUAGGAAAGUAGAGAAUUUGGCUUUGACAAGAUUCCGAAUUAAUGUCUUGGCCACUGUGAAGUGCUCCACACUAUGACCAACUUUCUUACCAAUCUAAGAAAUGUAACUAGAUCAGGUGCUUACAUCAAUCACUCCAUUGUUUUCCUUGUUUUAUUGCAGCUUGAGCACAGAACAAACUCAUGUAGCCCUUUACAUGACAGCAGUUGCUUCUCAAUCUCAUUUAGUGCAAAAACCAACAAUUAAGGUAAUUAAAUUUAUGCUGAUGUACGUGGAUGUGUUUCAACAGAAUGGUUUUGAAAUUUGGUAUGAUUUCCAAUCUUCUAGGUUUUCCCGGAGCAAGGCUUGGAAAUUAAGCUUUCAGGUUCAGGAGCAACUGGUGGUGCACCAACAACACUAUCACCCACCGUUUUAACCAUAGAUUGGACAUGUAUACAUUAUAAUAGCAUCUUUCCAUUAAGUCAAGCAGAGAUUCAUGCACAGUAUCUGCAUAACAAUUUGAGCUCUACUCUUGUUCCUCUAAACUUCUACUUUGCAUUUUUCAGGCACGGAGGCUCGUGAUGUGCCAUAUGAAGUUGAAGUCACCAUCCCAAUAGAGAAUUACGAUCCUAUUCUGUUUACUCUAGCAAAAACCUGUGGUAUAUAUCAUGGGGACAUCAUACAUGCAUGUUUAUGAGCAUAGCUCAGACGAUUUGAGUAUAGACAUGUACCAAUACACAACCAUGCAUUUUUCAUGUUUAUGCAAUUGAUAUAUGACCAUAUGGCACAUGCUUGUGUAUGUUCUUUUUCUUGCAUUUCUUAUUGAACUGUUUGCAAUUACAACUUCAUCUGUUUCCUUUCCCUCUUCAGCUAUUUGGUUUCAUUUCUGAAUAUUUUGUUUCUCGAUUAUAAAGUAUAUUCCAUAUUCCAGUACUUGCAAGUCAAACUCUUUGUUUAAUUUCAAAAUGAUAAUUGUAUUGCUGGUUUAUGUUUUCCGGAGUAGUACUUUCGUGUACAGUAGCUAUAACACCUGAUUCACAACUGUUCAAUAUUGCAGAAUAUGGGCAAAGUGAAGGUGUGGAUGCUACCAGUGGAUGGGCUAUAUUCGGGAUACUGUCGUGCAUGUAUGCUUAGCUACCUUUUUAGUGCUUGUUAUUUGAUUCUAAAAGUCUGACUGAGGCAAAUACUACCGAAAUUUAUUUUACUUUUUCCAUUUUGGUGCCUUUUCCCAGAGUUUUGUGUUCUAUACUAUAAUUUUACUUUCAAAUAUGCAUUACUUAGUGAUUUUUUUUUUUUUUUUUUUUAAUUUUGUUGAAGGGUGUACAAAUGGGAAUAGAUCCUUUUUUGCAUAACCCUGCUGUUCUCUUCCAAUUGAUAUUUGAAUAUGUCGGGUUGAUGCAGAUUCAUUGUUCUCUCAACAUUGUUCUGUGUCGGAGGGUUUGUCUAUAAGACACGAGUAGAAAACCAGGUAUCUUAGGGAAAAAGUUCUUCUUCUUUCGGAUCUGUGUCUGUGGAUUUGAUACAUUCUUUAUACUUAUUUACUUAAUAUGCAUCAUGUGUAGCAUGGACUUGAUGCUUUGCCCGGAAUGACAAUUUUAGCUGCAUGUUUGGAAACCGUAAGUCUUACUUAACAUCUUUCAGUAACUACUCUUGGAUUGGUUUGUUGAUCAAGCUGUUCUGUCCAUGGUCCAAAAUUUCAUACUUCCCUCCCCUUAUAUUCAAAUUGCAAAGGUCAAAUACCAGUACACCCACAGGCAACUCUCUGUUUUUUUGUAAAUGUCACAGGUCAGCGGAGCAGGGCAUUCCAAUAUACGUCGACCAGCGGAUGUUAAUGAUCCCUUCAUAAGUCAGGCUUCAUGGGAAAACCAUCCUCAAGGAACAACGAGAAGUAGAGACAAUAGAUAUGGGACAAUUUAAACUCGCACGCUUCAGCUUUUUGGAACAAUUUUGCAUACUGGUUCACAGGGAAAGUUUUGCCCUUUUCAGAGAGAAAUUCAUGCUGCAUUCCAAAAAUACCGGGUCUUCCUCCUAGGUCACAAACUCAAUAAACCGGGAGCAACAACUCGAAAAGAGACUAGGAUUUUGAUCCCUUCUCAGACGGUCAAACUUCAAUGUGAAGGAUACGUUAUUAUUGGCCGGCAUUCUCCACUUUCUUUGUCUGAGGGUGAUGAUUCAUUUGAUUUAACUAAGCCAUGCGACAAACGCCAAAAUAGAGGAUUAGCCAUCUCUUUUUCGUCUCCCUGUGCCUCUUUUUUAUACUACUACUAAAUGUAAUGUAACGAGUGUGUUUGGAUUUAAUUGAUAUGUCAGACAAAUUAGAGCGGCACUUCUCCUACCCCACCCAUAUUCAUAUCCUUUACUGGAUCAUUAACCUAAUUAGAGGUGGCAAUAAUUGGUUUUGACUUAACGGAUGGUGGAUGAAAUUUAUCCAAUCCAUUUAAUAAAUGGAUGGAUCUAAAUGGAUUAAAUAAAAAUUAAUUAUCCAUUUAAAUAUUAUUUAUUCAUUGGAGCAAUUGGUUUGUGCUUUGAUUUGUAUAAUUAUGGGAGGCUGCCCAUUUUUCUGCUAGGCCCUCUCCUUCAAGCAUUCGAUCCACAUCCGACAUCUUAGGCCGGUGGGCGGGGGAGGUAUUGAGUGCAAAGUAGAGCAACUUGGAGCAUCUCACCCACCUCAAUCCGGUCACAGUUGACAGCCAAUUCUCUAUCCCCCAAAACUUCAAUUUUAUUUGAUUUUUAAGUAAAUGGAUAUAUAUGGUUUUCAUGGAUAAUUCAUUUAAUUUAAUGGUUUUACUUUGAUCAACCAUUUAAAAUCAAUACUAUAAAUGGGAUAAUCCAAAUCCAUUUAAUUAUGGAUUAUAUGGAUGGAUAAAUGGAUUUCAAUCCAAAUUGCCACCUCUAAACCUAAUAUUCUGACCUCCUGUUUAGGACCGCUCCUCCAUUCUUGAUUCUCGAGGAGCCCAGCAGCAAAGGAACAUUUCCAAUAUCAAUGACACUUUUACGCGUCCAAAUCGAUGGGAACGUGUGUGCAUGAACCCAUGGUAAAGAUUGCCCGCAUACGUACAACACAAGGAUGGGCAUGGAUCCCCAGCUACCUUUACUUCUUUAUGCCGCUGAAUUUGAAUCCCGCCACACCAAAUAAUGAAAAUCAAACACGCAAUUUCACAUUAAAAUUUAGUCUCUGUUUUCCUUGCCAAGCUCCAUGUGCCUGUACAAAGAUAAAUUAUUUGCAAUCUCUUUUUUAUUCCAGCUCAUUUCAGCAGUCAAGAAUGAAUAAUUAAUGGACACCGACACAAUCUGUUAGGGGAACCAGCCAAUAAUGAUUUUUUUGAACCAUCCAAUACAUUUCGUCAACAGAGCAGGUACUUCUACUCCCACUCCGUUUUUCUCAAUGCCUGCUGUUUGUCAUCUUCUCACGUUUAUAGUAGCUUCAAACCGGGAGCAAAAACAAACAAUGCGUGCGGUUGGUUGACCGAAUCAACUCUCAAAUAUUUAACCUCUCCAAAACAUUUUCUUGCCAACGAAAUCCCAAUGAUGUUUCUGCCCUUAAUUCGAGGAUUACUUCAUUCUUGUAAGAGAAUCAAGAAAAUACAUCAUCGUUUUUUCCAAAUAUUUCAACAUAGUAUUACUUUUUAAGCCCAUAGCUAACGACGAACUAAAUUCCUAUCCUAUCCUAUCACUUUCAGCCAGAAAAUCACUUCCUGGAUGAACACUUAUUUACAAUUCAAUAAUUUUAACCUUUAGUUGCAAUUAUUGGUGCAUGAUUGCAAGACAAAUAUUCUACUGGAGACGUAAAAAAAAAAAGUCAGAUUGAUUGGACCACACAAACACACAUAACGGAUAGGAAUGACUUUUAGGGUGGUCAGGUAGCACGCAGGCUAGAGUAGAGGGCCGAUAUCAGCAAUCUGUACUGCGAUGGCAGUGAAACUGGAAAUCUGAUGCGGUAAAGCUGUCCGACAAUGUCUACGUCAAUUCAUUUCCAUGUGUUAAAAUUAGACAGCAAAUUAAUCGUGCUAUUCCAAAAGAUUAUUGCUUCACUAAACCAUCACAUGAACGAGUACUAAGCCUAACUAAAAUUCCACCAACUCCAUGAUUCUGUCUCCAAAUUUCGUUUCUUCUUCAUUUUUUUUUUCUCUUUUCUUUUGAAGUUUGUUCUAUAAAUAACCAUAUCAUCCAUCACAAACCUUGACAUAAAACGAACUCUCUACACAAUCUAAGCGUCCUUGUAGAAGUCUUCAACCUUUGGUCUCCAAGAGUAACAACAGAGAGUUAACGAAAAUGACUCGGCCCAUGAGCUUUCUGAUUAUUGCAGCUAUGCUAGCUUUUGCACCGCUUUGCUUGUGUGGUAUGACAAGCGGAGGCUACCUGUAUCCUCAGUUCUAUGACCGGACUUGCCCAAAAGCUAAAGAAAUUGUGUAUUCCAUCGUUGCGAAGGCCGUUGCCAGAGAAGCCCGUAUGGCUGCUUCAUUGAUUAGGCUCCAUUUCCAUGACUGUUUUGUCAAGGUUUGUGCAUGCAAACUCAUUUACUCAUCUUCAGCAGCACACCUACUUAUCGCUUAUUCAGUGAUUAAUACACUUGACUAACCAAUUCUUCUUCCUGUUUCUGUUCUCCCCUUUAUAAUAAGGGAUGUGAUGCAUCACUACUCCUCGAUAGCAGUGGAGCCAUAAUCAGCGAGAAGAUGUCGAAUCCAAACAGGAAUUCAGCCCGUGGAUUCGAAGUCAUUGAUGAAAUUAAGUCUGCAUUGGAGAAGGAAUGUCCUCAUACUGUCUCUUGUGCUGAUCUCCUGGCUCUUGCUGCUAGAGAUUCCACUGUUUUGGCAAGUAUCAAGUUCUUACUAGCAAAUGAAGUUAUAAUUACUGCAUCACUUUCAGGAGAGCUGAUGGUAAAUGCAUUAUGCAGUCUGGUGGACCAAGCUGGGAGGUACCAUUGGGAAGAAGAGACUCCAGAGGUGCCAGUUUGAGCGGAUCCAACAGCAACAUUCCUGCCCCAAAUAACACAUUUCAGACUAUUCUUACCAAGUUUAAGCUUCAAGGGCUUGACAUUGUUGAUCUUGUAGCAUUAUCUGGUAAUAUACCAAGCUGGCACAGUACACACAAACAAUAAUAUAAACUUCACUUGAAAGCCGGUAGAUGCCACUAGAUAAUGAUCAUAAUAAGUUAACUCCCACUUAAUUAUCCCUUUCCGUUUGAAAAUUUCAAAAAGGGAACCCAAAAAAAAGUAUGGGGGCUUUCAUAUAUGAAGUGCUCUGAUUGUCCUGCAGGAAGCCACACAAUCGGGAAUUCAAGAUGUACCAGCUUCAGGCAAAGGCUUUACAAUCAAUCAGGAAAUGGGCAGCCUGAUUUCACCUUAAAUCAGGCAUACGCGAACCAAUUGCGGACCAGGUGCCCAAGAUCGGGUGGUGACCAAAACCUGUUUGUCUUGGACUUUGUCACCCCAACAAAAUUCGAUAACAGCUACUUCAAGAACUUGCUGGCUUCAAAGGGCCUAUUAAAUUCUGACCAGGUUCUUGUGACCAAGAGUGCUGUAUCACUACAGUUGGUGAAACAAUACGCCCAGAAUAACCAACUCUUCUUUGAGCAAUUCCCCAAGUCCAUGCUCAAGAUGGCAAACAUUUCACCUUUGACAGGUUCCAAGGGUGAGAUCCGCAAGAACUGCAGGACGGUCAACUCUUAGUCUUAAGACUACGUAGUCAUAGCUGCCAAAAAACGGCAUGUCCUAAUCUUUCUGUCACUCAAGCAGUCAGCAUCCACCUAAUUCUCCUCUCAGCGGCCGGGAACACCUCAGCAGUCAGCACGGGAUCAUCCUAUCCGCUCUCAUCUUCCGCUACUUAUUUAUUUCAGCUUGUAUUAAUUUUCAUGGAGCUUUGGCCGCAAUUUGUUGUUGUCCUGAAUGAAUUUCAAUGCUUUUUCCUCUUUUGCAUUUUCCAAGUUUUCGUUUCUUCGGGUACCUGACAACUAUCAUCUCAAAUUGGGCACUUUGAACUUACCCGUGGCGGAUAAUCAAAACUUGAACUCUGGAUUCACAUGUUAGAACUUUGCCUAAUGCCUCCAAGGGCAAAUACGAGCCCAGGGACAUUUUUUUUGGUCGGAACGUACUCUUCAUCUUGGAUAAUGCCUAAUGCAUGGGCACCAAGAUACUUCUAUUCAUAUUGUCAUUUCUUGUGCAAAAGAAAGAGCACUUUAAGAACACAGAGCUAAGGGAAUGGAUGUCCUCCAUUAAUGCCACACAUCGAACUUCAGGGCAGUUUCUUUGCUGGAGGGCUUUGAUUAAAGCUUUGUUGCUUAUCCCUACUUUAACUUUCCUCCAGUUUUUUCCGAUUGCUUUCAUUAGGACCAGUCUAACUGCUUCUGCAUCAUCCUGCAUCGAACUCUUGGAUGUUCUUUCUAGUUAUCUAGUUAUUGUACGAAAAUUUGAUGUAACCGUGACAAAAUAGAGUUAUGUAGCUUUCGAGAUUGGAAGACUAUAAUUAAUUUGGAUUCUAAUGCAACCAUAUACUAUUUCCAGCGAAGAUAAUGUGGAACAAAACAUCGACAGAUAAGUAGGGAAGUCGAGGAAAACCGAACCUUGGCAUCUGCUAUAUAUAUAUAAUCCAGCUAGGAAGGCAAUAUUAGACACGCACAAAAACCAAAAUGCUGCAAUUUGGUGGAGAGCGCCUGGAUAACAGGUCAAAAGACCCUGGUUUCACAUUGCUACUAGCAGUAAGAUGAAAUGAGAAAAUUCGACUUUUCCAACAGUAAAAGAAAAACUUCACCAUCAAAGAUCAAGGUCAGAAACUUUAAUCAGCAAACUUGAUUUAAACUUCCCAUAGGAGUAUCUACCAGUAGAUUUUAACAAAUUGACUUCAGCAAUUCGUUAAUUUCUAACUAGUCUAGAGCUAGAAAUGCUGCAUGGAGCUCAACAUGGUAAAAAGUUAAAAGUCUAUCUACAGCAAAGGUGUCAUUAAACUUUUUUUACAAAUCAAGUUCAAUAAUAGUUUAAACAGCCUAGUAACGAGCAAAGCUGAACUACAGGAGUCCAUGCACAAGAGACUUUCGGCAGAAUCCACUUGCUUUCUCCUUCAGAUCCACAACCUUUUUAUCGAUCUCCUCAGCCUUGUUCUUCAUUGCUUCCAGCUCAACUUUUUCCAAAAAGAUCUUCUGUUGUAAGACACCCAGCUCUUCCUCCUUUCUUGCAAUCAACUCAAAGUUUCUAGUCCUUUCUUUCUUCAGGCUAAAAUAGUCCCCAAGUAUAUGUUUAGCAUAAGAAAUUUCAUCUAUCUUCUGAUGGAGCCACUUGACAUCCAGCUUCAUGCACUCAAGAUCAUGAAUUAGAUGAAGCAAGUUAUUGAGCUCAAAAGAUGUAAUAUCAAGAAAUGCAGAGUUUUCGAGCUUUUGGUAGAUACCACAGACCAUUUCAAGGAAGAUUCCACGGGUUUUUGGAGACUCCAGAAUGGAGUUUUUAGCAAUGUCACCAUAUUUUGCAAAGAUAGCCCUAAGUAGGGGUGCGACUUCUUGGUUCACUCUAUACUGAUGUACUGUCACCAAAGCAGGAUCAAUUGCUGACUCGACCCCCUCAUUAUCAAGAAAAUCAUCAUUGGACAUAUGAGCCAUCUCAGAAAGGUUAAAACUUGGACAUCUGCUUAACUGGCUAUUUUUUUUAGUAUGGCUGCUUGUUGCAAUCUUCUCUGGUACUUCAUGGAUAGCAUUUGAUCCCAAAUUGGCACCAGUCAUGUGCAAAUUUUUUUCAGUUGAGUUCCGCUCAUUAAUGAGCGGAACAAGUGGAAGGAAAUUUUCAGGUCUUUCAGUUUGCGAAAGGAGAUUUGCAGUAAACUUUUCCACAUCUAGCCUGUCCCCGCUGCUGAUUGGAGCAGACCAUUCUUUGGUUGAAGCAGAACUUCCAGCAUUUUUCAUGCUUUUACCAAUUUCAGCACUGGUACUUGAGUGACUUAAUGAGGUAGCUGCAAAAGUAGAGACCUGUACACCAUAACACCAUCAUAAGGUCUGAUUACUGAAUGCUUCCAGAUUUACAUAUGAAAUGAAAUCAAUGAGGCAAUCAAGUGAAUAAAUCAAUUGUUAUUAGAAUCUUAACAAUUUACAGAAGUUACGAGGACAGACAAGGCUGAAGGCCUAAUUUCGCGUUACCUGAAUUUGAUGAGGGAGUUCUGAACUGCAUUUUUCUAAAGCUUUUACGUCUCCACCAGCUGGAUACAAUGUAUUGUUUGCCUCUAGCAAAACCCUCUUUGCUGUGACAUAAGAUUGCUUGGGAGUUCCAAUUUGGUGUCGAAGUGGAAAAGUGAGAGAAGCCGUGGAACUAGGACAUUCAUGAGGGACUGCAAAUGAACCUCGAGUUGGAUACCUAUGCUUUGCAGGCAGAAUCACUGUGUCCUAUAUAGACAUAUCAACAAAUUUAAAGCUCUUAUAUAAAUAGCCAAGACAAGGAACUGAACAAGUUUGUCUAUAGUAAUACAAAACCUUUAAAAUAUAAUUCAUAUACUAACGCUUUGCAGGGAAAAUUGCUGUGUCCUGUAUAGACACGUCAAGCUAAAGCUCUUAAGCCAAGACAAGAAACUGCACAACCUUGUCUAUAGUAAUACAGAAGCUUCAGUAUCUAUUUUAUAUACUCAGGUUCAAUGAAAAAAAUAUCCUUCUUUUUCUUUUUUUUUUGGGUUUUUUUUUGGGGGGGUGGGGGGUGCAAUCAAGUCUAAAGCUUUUAAACACAUAGCCAACUUAGGAUUACAGUGGAAAGGGGAUAAUAGCUUUCUGAAUAUGCUUAACAACCUACAACUAAUAGUCUUAGGGAUGUUAAAUAGUCCCACUGCAAGGGAAUAAUAGCAUCAUCUGCUUCUUUUAGUCUGUAUCUUUUUGUGUAAAAAAAAAAAAAAAAGAGUAAAGCAACAUACUUGAUCCUCUUUAUCAGGUAUGAGAAGAUAAAAUUCCAGAAAUACUAUGACAUUGCAACACUAAAGCAAGAAAUCCUGUGCAAAACCAUUAAGAUUGAAGCGCAAUGUUGCAGCGGAACUAUUUAUCACUGGUUAAAACCAUUGAAGUUCCACGAAAGUUGAAAUCUUUGCAGAAUAUAGAAACCAAAAAUAGAAGUUAUUUCUCCACGAAAUUCAAGAUGAAGGACCAAAUGGUCUGAUUCGUACUACUAAAAGGUUCAAUGAAUAACUAUCAAAGGGGCAAUGCAAAGCCUGGUAAUCAAAGAGAUUACACGAUCAUAACAAACCCCAGAAAGCCAUUGCUUGAAUGGAAAAGCAAGAACACCAGCAAAUUAUGCUGUUAAAAAAAAAUUAAGAAAAGCAGUAGAUAGAGAAUGUGGAUUUUGAAACAACCUGACGAGGAGGAAAUGAAGGUAGGAAGGGGUCAUCCAGUUGCAUUUGGUGUAGUCCACCACCACCACCACCUGCAGCAGCCUGAAGGCUUUCUUGAAUUAAUACUUCUUUUCGUUUUCUUCCUCUCUUACCAGGGCCAGCCAUUCCUAAUUUCUCUAUGCCUUCAGGGCCUCUCUCAAGGCUUUCAAGUUCGACGGAGAAAAUCUAAAAGAGAAAAUACAGCAAGCAAUAAUCAUAUGCUGUUGCUACCGCCAGUAAUAUACAACUACCAGAGGUACCAUUUGCAGUAACACACAGCACCAGACGAGACACGUUUUUGCGCCAGCGCAGGCAGUACGAGUCUCGUGCCUGCAGCCUGGCGUGUUUGCAUAAGGGAUUAUUUAAAAUAUUAUUUAGAAUAAAUAUAAUACUACUCUUUUUUUUAUAAUGUAAUAUAUAUGAAAUAAAAAAUUAAUUAAUAAAAUAAAAUAAUAUAUUAAAAAUUAUAUUUGUAAUAUAAAUAAAUCAUUUUUUACUAUUAUUUGGGUAUUCAAAUACAUAAAUGAGUGUGUUUGAAUAGAGUAUUAUUUAAAAUAAUUACUGUAAUAUUUUUUAUAAUGUGAUGUAUAAAAAAUAUAAAAUAUAUUAAAAAAUAUAUUAAUAAUAUAAAUAAAAUAUUAUUUAAAAUAAAUUUACAAUUCAAACACAUUCACGUCAAAUACACACCGUAAUUUUCAAAACAAGUAGUAGUAGUAGUAGUAAUUAGUAAAUAGUAAAAGACAAAACCAUUGACAAAUAAAAAGAAAAGAAAUAGCUAUUGAUGCUAAAAUGUAAAGCCUGCCUCUCAGUCCGAGAAAGCAAGGCCCAAACAUCCUUCCUAAAUCCCAAACCUUAAACCCACAAAAAUUUUCUCCGCUGGUGGGAUUAGCCCUCCCUCCGCAGUCCUCACUCGAGCUGCUUCUAAACUCACUGCAAUUUAGCAAUUUUAAAGCCAUGCUUCCGUAAUCUGUGAUUUCUUCACUCCCCAUAAUAGAUUGCUCUAACAAUGAGGCAUUUUUAUUGCCGGCUCAUUUCUCAAUCUCUCCGGUGCUUACAAUUUAAUUACACGAAAACCCACGUCCCAAAACCCCCGAUUUUGAGUCCCAGAUUCUCGAACUUCACGACCGUAGCUGAGCAACCAAAGCCGCCGCCUGCACCGCCGGCUAAUGUGUCCGCAAUUGUAGAUGAACUUUCGGGACUGACGUUGCUUGAGGUUUCGGACUUGACGGAGGUGUUGAGACAGAAAUUGGGGAUUGAGGAGAUGCCGGUGAUGGCGGUUAUGAUGCCCGGAAUGGGGUUUAGUGGUGCCGGAGUAGGAGGAGCAAAGGGGAAAGGUGGUGGGCCGGCUGCCGCGGCUGAGGAGAAGAAGGAAAAGACGGCGUUUGAUUUGAAACUGGAGGGCGGAUUUGAUUCUGGGGCGAAGAUCAAGAUUAUUAAGGAAGUGAGAGCGUGCACUGAUUUGGGAUUGAAGGAAGCUAAGGAUUUGGUGGAGAAGGCGCCCACAUUGUUGAAAAAGGGAGUAACCAAAGAGGAGGCUGAGAAGAUUGUCGAGAAGUUGAAGCAGGUUGGGGCUAAAGUCACGAUGGAGUGAGGUAACUGCUUUUGCAUUCAUGCUUAUUCGAUUAAGCUUGGACAGAGUUUAAGCUAUUGGUACUUUGUUCUUAUGAUUCGGGAAUUUAAGUGCUUAUAUUCCAUUAUGAUGAAUUGGGUGUCUCAAUAACUGAAUUUGUUGGCAAAACUGGCUGCUUUCAUAUUUCAGGAUCUCGUUUGAUAUAGAUUCUGAACUUGUCAUUCAGGCAUUUGUAGAAUGAUGCUAUCUUUGCUGUUUUUGUACGGUCUUGUCCAGCUUUUUUCGUGGAUAAAUAGGUUUUAGCCAUAUGAUGAAUAAAAGUAUGGAUUUUGUUGCGUGCAUUGUCUGGAGUCUAUCACCUGAAUUGCAGUCACACAGAGUUCUGCCUGCUUUCAUAACUCAAACUUGUUUCAGUUGCAGUUGGGCUUGAUAAAGUUUUCGUGUUGUUAAUUAGGAUGGCCAAAGAAGGCAAAUGGAUAGUGGAGAUGUCUAAUAACUUAAUAAGAAGGCAAAUGGAUAGUGGAGAUGCUAUGGCCAUAUACUUUGAUCUGGUCAAAUUUUUCCUGACCAUAAUAGGAAUAUAGUUAGACAGAUUUCAAGUUACUUUCAUUUGGAUUUAAGAACUAUCCAUUUUUUUGACUGAAAAUUCAGGAGGACAUACUACCUUGUAACUUGUAAGUGGUAUUCUAAAUGGUGUCUCAGGAAGCACAUUGGAAUCAUUAUAUUUUGUGUGAAGCUCAAUUGCCAUGGGGCAUCAUGGAGGUGGGGUUAGGGCUGUCAUUUGAAUUUUAAUAAAGAUGGUCUCUAUCUCCUGUACACCCACUUUCCAUGUCAUGGUAGUAGGAGUAGUGAAGGUGCACGCAGUGUGGCAUAUUUAAGAGUUCAGGGUGUUCAUUAAACUCAUUAUAGAUAUUAUUUUCUUCCUGGCUUUCAGAAUAAUUUGAAUUUACAAUUACAUGUUGUAAAGUGCUUGGAUAUUUGGAACUUUUUAAUGGGUACUGAUUUGCAUAUUACGCUUUUUGUUCAGGAUUUUUCCAUUUUCAAUGCUAGCAGCAUAACAACUUCUAGAGGUUCCGCUCUGCAACCUGAUUCUGCUGCAGUUGAUGUAUUAAUGAAGUUAUUGGUUGAUAGGCAACACGUAUUAGUUUGACCUUUGAUCACCGAGAGUAGUAUUUCUGUAACUCCUUUUAUUACGAUUAAGCUCAAAGUGUAUGGUAAGCUUGAGUUACAUUUGUUACAGCUCUGCAACCGAAGUGAAGUAUUUCCAUUUGGGUUGGUUGUUCAAGCUGCAGACAACGCAUAAUCUUUCUUGUUUGGGCUAGCUAUUAUGAAAUUCAACAGAUUUAAGAAGUUUCUUCCCAUACGUAAUUAGAUUGAGUCAAGGUUGUUACAUUUUUGAAGUAGCUUUGUAUGACCUGAACAUCUUCAGUAUUUGUCAUGAUGGUUAUCGUUCGAGCUUUUAUCUUUCUUAUGGAAUGCUUAAAUUUCUGAGAAACUACUUGUAUUAUAAUAUUAAGCAUUUGACAUGAGAUUUUACAAUUAUUUUGUUGUUGUUCAGUUAUUGUUGGUUGUGGCUGAUUUUUGACUUUACUCUCUGAUCUCUAAAGCAAUUUUAUUGCUGAAAACAAUUGAAUGUUGUUCCUGAAUUUACCUAUGAUGGCUGUCUCCCUUGCCACGAUGUAGUAUAACAGGGCCAAAUCAUGCAUGAUUUCUGCCUUUUGGUCAUGUGUAAGGGGCAUCUCCUGUCUUCUAUUCGGGACAGGAGUACUUUUAUCAUUAUAAGAACAGAAGGUUCUAAGCUCUCAAGUAGUUGAGAAUUUUUGGAUCUUGACUAAGACAAUGACUAGUUAUCUUCAGCUAUUAAAUUAAAUGUAUAGAUUGGUUUGCAUUGAUUCUAUGCCUUCUUUAAGCUGGCAACCGAAUACUGUGACUGCUGCAUCAAGAUAUCCGACUUCUGGAGGAUGAAAGAUAUUGUGGUAACCUUUUAGUUUUAGGCGUUGGACCGUCUUUACUUUCCCUAAUGGUAUGAAAAACAGUUAAUCACAAGUCACAAGCUGAGAAGCACCCUUGGUCUUCUCGCGUUGCUAUUGUCCUUCAGUAAGUGGUGGAGACCUGAGCUUUCAAUGCUGGUGGUGCGGCGUUUUCUGGCCCGACGACUCUGCUUCAUUCCAUCCAUCCCUAGUCCAGUUUUCACUUGCAAAAUGCAUAAAAGCAAGAAAGAAAAAGUUGCCACGGAAAUAUAAUAAAAGAUGUGAUGUGUUGAAAGAAGCACAUUUAUAAUAUUAACAAUAUUAUUUCGGCAUUUAAUAAUAUUAACAAUAAUAAAUUUCUUCUUAUUCUUUAUUUUGACAAAACGCACGCGAGUACUCCGUGAAGGAAGUCGAGCAGCACGCUAAUCUUUGAACGAAGGGAACAUAAUAAUAAAACUUUCACCAUCAAUCAGAGAGUAUAAAAGGAAGAAUUAUCAGUAGGCUAAAACAUAGUUGUCAAAAUUGCGAUCCGGAUCGUACGAUCCUACGAUCUGGAUAACCAAAAUCGUUCCGGAUCGUAUUCAGAAUCGCAAAUCAUAACCAAAAUCGAUCCGGAUCGUAUUCAGAGUCGCAAAUCAUAUUAAUCUCUGUAUUUUUUUUUUUUCGGAAACGAUAGAUGAUAUUUCAUAGAAAUUUGAGACUUUACAAUAUUUGAGCAACGGCUCGACUAACUGUACCAAGUGUACCAUGACACUUAAGGAGGAACAAAGGUUCUCUCCUCAUCCAUACAUAUGCUUAGAGCAUAAAGACUAAUCUGAUUACAUAAAUUCAUAUUACUAAUAUCCCUUACAACAAAGGAGCACACUUGAAAUAGCUUAGCUAAUGCUAGAAUAUCUUCCACCAGCGUGACCAUAUUUGGAUGAUCUCCUGUCCCAUUUUUUAGUAAGGAGGUAAGCCUUUUGUUGGCAGUGACAACUUUGAUCCUUGGCCAUCUCAGCUGACUUGCUUUUAUAAGAGCCAAUCUUACUCCUAUGGCUUCAUCUUGGAUAGUCUCUGAUGAGCUCCUGUCUACUAGCGCCCACUCCACUAUGCUUCGUCCACCUUCCUGCUGAGCCACCAUUCCUAUUCCUAACUUAUGACCCUCCCCUUCCUUAUUUGUCACAACCUGGACUUCUGUUAUUCCAUUAACCUCCAAUCCUUCCUCCUCCAGACUUGAAUUAGCUGCCUCUGUUUCUGGUGUGCUUCUGUCUUCCUUUCCACUACUAGCCUCCUCAAACUCCAGCCACUCUGAGUUAGCCUUAUGAACUACUCUUACUCCUUCUCUUUCCUUCCCUUCGAAUUCCAGCUCAUUCCUGUCUUUCCAUAGUUGCCAGAGAAUGUUUGCCGUCAGAGCUAUGUGCUGCUUUCCUUCUCUCCUAGCCUUGGCUUGUACUAAAGUUGCCCACCAUUGUUUGAAGCAUCCUGUUAGAUUCUGGAUUCCAUCCCAUUGCACAGGAGCUAACUUCCAAACCUGUUGAGCCUGAGUGCAGUGAAACAAAAUGUGUUCAACUGUUUCCACCUUAUCCCCACAUCUUAGACAAAAUGGUGAUCCUUGUCUUGUUCUUCUGAAUAUUGUCUCCCUGGCUGUUAGAGUAUUGGUUAUACACCUCUAUAUGAACAGUUUUAUCUUAUGUUUGAUGUUCAGCCCCCAUAAAGACUUCCACAUCUGUGUGUUAGAAUCAUCAAAGCUAGAGCCGGAUUCCCCUCUUACAGCCAGUUCCUUGCUUUUUUCUUCCUUUAGCAGCACUUGAUAACAAGACUUAACUGAGUACUCCCCUUGUUGACUAUGGAUCCAAAAGUGCCUGUCACCCACUCUUGACAAACUGAUAGGAACCUUCAGAAUGUUCUCAGCAUCUUCUUUAUUAAAUGCUCUGAAUAUUUUAUUUCUGUUCCACCUGAAGUUGGUAAUCAGCUCAUCUACUGUGCCUUCCUCCCAAUCGUUUGGUUUCCUUGUGGUAGGUACCCCAUUAGGACUAUUUGGGAUCCAUUGGUCUUUCCAGAUCUUGAUACUCUUUCCUGAUCCAACUCUCUUCAGUGUUCCUUUCUUCACUACAUCCCUCGCAGACAUAAUGCUUUGCCAGAACCAGGAAGAAUAUUUGGGGCAUUCACCUUGUAAUAUGGAUGUCUUGGGGUAAUAUUUAGCUUUGAGCAUUCUGCUUACGAGCAGGUUUGGGUUUCUUAGGAGUCUCCAAAUCUGUUUUCCCAAUAAUGCUAUGUUGAAACACUGCAGAUUUCUAAACCCCAGUCCUCCAUCCAAUUUUGCCUUCAUCAUUUUUGUCCAUGAACACCAGUGCACCUUAGCUUUCCCUUCUGAGUCCCCCCACCAGUAUUUAGCCAUCAACCCUGUAAUUUCCUUACACAACUUAGUUGGUAGUUUGAAGCAAGACAUAGUGUAGGUUGGCAUUGCCAUAAUGACAGCCUUUAACAUAACCUCCUUUCCUGCUGCACUUAAGAAUUUAUUCUUCCAGCUGCUUAGUUUAGCUUUGAUACUGUCCUUUAUGAAUCCAAAAAUCUGGCUUUUUGUUCUUGUAAUCACCAUGGGGAGGCCUAGAUAUUUGCCUUGAUUCACUACCCUUACCCCUGCAAGAGGCCUACAUGUCUCCUCCUUGUCCCUCUCCUUAGUAUUCUUACUGAAACAAAUGGAAGAUUUUUCCAAAUUAAUCACCUGCCCAGAUCCUCUCUCAUACUGCUCCAGUAUUUCCUUCAACUUCCUUGCUUCUUCCCUUACAGCUUUACAGAAGAUUAAUGUGUCAUCUGCAAAGAAUAGGUGGGUAAUGGCUGGUCCAUAUUUGCUGAUCUGAAGUCCACUUAACAGCCCUUGACCUGCUGCUUUCCUUAGUAAAUUAGAUAGUCCUUCUGAACACAGCAAGAAGAGGUAAGGUGACAAGGGGUCACCUUGUCUGAUCCCUCUAGAUGGCAUCACAUAUCCCUUGAUUUCCCCAUUGAUAUUGAAAGAAUAAGAGACUGAAUUGAUACAGCUCAUUAUCCAUUCCACCCACACCUGGUUGAACCCCAUCUUCUCCAUCACAGCUUUCAGAUAUCCCCAUUCAACCCUAUCAUAAGCCUUGGACAUGUCUAUUUUUAAAGCAGUAAAUCCGUCCUUGCCUUGUCUCUUGUUUUUAAGGAAAUGAAGGCAUUCGUGUGAUAUAAUAAUGUUGUCCAAUAUCUGCCUGUUGGGGAUAAACGCAGAUUGAUUUUUGCAGAUGCAAAGGUCAAGAACUGGUUUGAGUCUGUUAGCUAGAAUCUUGGAGAUGACUUUGUAUAGAACGUUACAAAGACUGAUGGGUAGCAGGAUCGCCUAAAAUCGUAGUAGGAUCGGUAGGAUCGUACGAUCCUACAAUUUUUUUGUAACUUUGUGAAACACGAAACUCCAUUUUGCAAGUAAAUGAAAAUAUUUGUGAUAUAUUUGUAAUUUAUCAAAAAAUUUUAACCUUUAAUUACAAUUAAGAGCUUUUGAUAGGAUCACGAUCCUGUGUGAAACUAAAAUCGAUCCCACGUAGUACCCAAUUUUACAAACCUUGGCUAAAACUAAACCCCAACAAAAGAGAGAAGCCGCCUCAAAAGAGAAUUGAAAAUGUCGUCCAAGGCAAGCAACCAAAGUAUAUAAAUUCUCAGUAGCGUCUUUGGUUAGUUUCCCUCCUCUACUGUUACUUCCCAGGUUCAGAUUGUAUGGUGGCGGAAUCCAUCAUUUAUUGAUUGCUUGCCAUUCUCUUCUCUUCUUAUAGGAUAGGAAUAGACUUGAGCUUCCACGAUUUGUGGCUUCCGUAUCGUUCUCCGUAAUAUUUGGGCGUCUUAUUCUCUCUUUCUUGCUUGAUCAAUGAAAAGAAAUGAUAGGAAAAACGCUGUCGUAGCAGAACCAAGAAUACUGACGGAGCUUUAAUAGCAGAGAUGUCGGCGUGGCGGUCGGUGGUGGACUGGCAAUGGGAGAACGCCACCGCCGGCGCUCUCGCCGGUCUCGCCACCGUCACUUUCUCUCAUCCCCUUGACGUAGUCCGUACCAGAUUCCAAGGUUACCUCCCGCCCUUCCUUCCUUCCUUCCUGGCCCCAUUCUCUCUAGUCUCGUACGUAUAUGCAUUAACUCGAAAAGGAAAAGGAAAUAAAAUCAUCAUGACGAUUAGUUUUUGUUUAUUUUCCAAAUAGUGCACGACGGGCGAAUCUCCAACCUCCCGAGCUACAAGAAUACUCCUCACGCUCUCUUCACCAUUGCUCGCUCCGAGGUUUGUUUCUUUUUUCAGCAUCGCUUCUUCUUUUUAGAUACCUUCGCUUCAGGAUUCCAGGUAGAUGAGGGGUUGAUGGUAACUCAUGUAGCAAGUCCUUUUGCUGACAUUACUUUUUUAUAUGAAUUUUGAAUCAGCUCUUCUUCCUUUUAAAGAUUUGAGCUUACAGAAACGUGAAAGUUUACUCUUUUUUUUUUAAAAAAAAUUGACAUUGAUGUUAUCAAUGCUCUUGUAACUGGUCAACUUGCAAUACGACUUGCUUUUGGUGAUUAUAUACAAAUUUGAUUUUCUCCUUCUUCUUCUUCUUCUUUUGGCAGUAUUUCAAAUUUUUAUUUUUUCCCCUCUUAUUGGCUAUAGCUCUGGUAUCUAAUUUCUACGCUUUCUGCCUCAGGGUCUCAGAGGGCUUUAUGCAGGCUUUUACCCUGCUGUUCUUGGGUCAACUUUUUCAUGGGGUUUGUAUUUCUUCUUGUAAGUUUUACUUCUCGGGUCUUUGCUAAUAUCUUGUAAUACACAACAAGACUAUUGAGUCUAGUUCACUUGGAUAAAGUAAUAUAUUAUUUUUUCAAGUUGAAGAUGAAUGCACCCAAUCAUUCACCUUUUUCUAGUGUAUGUUUGCUAGUGUAUCAUGUUUGGCAUUUUCUCCAUACUUUUAGUUUCUUCCAGCAUCAUCUGUUCCUUUUCUGAUAAAAGAAAAUAAGUAUAAUAACAAUAACUUGUGCAGCAAUUGAAGGUUAUUGCACUUGGACUUUUUCUCUAAUUCCAUUUCCCGGUUGAAUGAGUCUCCAGCUAUAAGCUUUGUUUUCCAAUUUGGAGAUAAUUUUCCUGCCUAUUCGACAUGAUAUUCUUUUAUGCAGCUAUAGCAAGGCCAAGCAGAGAUAUCUAGAAAAUAGGCCAGAGCUGAGCCCAGGCCUGCAUCUAGCUUCAGCUGCUGAAGCGGGAGCUUUGGUUAGUACUGUACUUAAAUGGAAUUCUGACUGUUUUAAUUGCUGCUUGUGCCAAUUUUAUUGUGUAUAAUGCAGUUCCAAAAUUGAAAUUUGGACAUCUAUUUCAACCUGUAACAAAAGUGAGGUUGUGCCUAUCUCAGGUUUCUUUGUGCACAAAUCCUGUUUGGUUAGUAAAAACAAGACUUCAACUACAGACUCCUCAACAAGUCCGUCCAUACUCUGGCUUUCAUGGUAUGCUCAGCUCUUUCAUGGUAUUAGAUUUUAAUUCAUUUGCCUCUGAUUUACUAUUAGGAAUAAUUUAAAGUAUUCUAAUCAGUUUUGGUAAAGGGACUACUAUCUAUUUCCCGUGAUAUUUGCAUACAUAUCUAAUUCAAAAUUUUGAACAGCUGUAUCUGUCUACAUUUCCUUUUCAGCAUGUUUAUGAACAUUAUUCUUGCUUUCUGCUGUGACCAAUCUGAGGUUCAUGUUUUCCUUCUGAUUGUAGAUGCUUUAAGGACGAUUCUAAAAGAAGAAGGGUGGAAAGCACUUUAUAAGGGGCUGGUGCCUGGCCUUUUUCUUGUUAGCCCAUCUCUUCUCUCUCUCUCUCUCUUUCUCUCUCUCUCUUUCUCUCUCUCUCACACACACACACACACAAAAUGGCAGCUUUGUUCGGUUAUUGAAUUUAUUGGUUUGACUGGCUUCCUUUCAUUGUAUACUCAUGUAAACAACUGACUGGUCCUGGUUUUGCUUCAGCAGGUUACACAUGGAGCUAUUCAAUUCACUGCAUAUGAGGAACUUCGUAAAGCUUUCAUUCAACUCAAGUCUGAAGGAGGUGAAGGCUCCACUGAUGACUCAUUGGUGAGUCUUCAGCAUAUAUACCUGUCUGUAAAUUGUUAUGGGGCGAACCUUUAGGCCUGUUCUCUUUGGUUUAAAAUAAGCUAAUUUUAGCUUUUUUUGAGCAAAACUAAAAGCUGCAUUUGGGCAUCCUUAUUUGCUUUAAACUAGUGCUUUAUGCUUUCCUUAGGCUUAAAAAUUCUGAUUAUGAGAAGCAGGUGUUUUGUUUUAUGAGAAAGCCUUGCAGGACUUCACCUGAUAAGUUUUGUGUAUCUGUUUGAUAAACCGAAUUCGCUGCUGCUUGUGUGCAUUUGGGACAUUUGUCUUCUGUAAAAGUCAUAUCGCUCUUUCUUAUCUUUAAUACAUCCUUUCUGCCCCUAGUUUAAAAGAUACAAGUGUGUUGUCAGUGUAAGGAUUUAGAGUAAACUCACUAGGACAGAACAUGAGAAGUCAUAAGUUAGUUUUAGCUUUUUACACAUCUUAUGACUGCACUACAUUUUUUUCAGUGUUGGCUUUUUAGGUAUCUUAUGAAUGCCCUACAUUUUUUUCAUUUUAAUGUUAAAUUCUCCUGUAGUUGCAUACUUGGCCACCUUUGGAAAGUUUCACCUCUCUUUGUUAAAAAUUUGAAGGCGAGUUGAUUUUGCUUCUUCUACAUGUAUAACUGUAUUAUGUUGGUACUUAAUUCUCACUUUGCUGUUCUGUUUUAAUUGUUAGUAAAAGUUUAAGAUGAAUUUUCCUAUUUUUUGUUUCUCUUUUUGGCUUUGUAGUCCUAUUUGGUCUCUUUCCAUGUCUGCGUAUCAAAUUCCUCUGGCUUGGAAACGCAGAAUAAUUGCUGAUUUGCUCUUCCUUCAGGAUUUAGAAGUUUUAGCAUUGUAUUGUAUUUUCUUGACAGGAUUCAAUUGAUUAUGCGGCAUUAGGGGCUACUUCAAAACUGGCUGCCAUUGUUUCAACGUACCCAUUUCAGGUAGACAGCUGCACAAACCCUAUCUAAAAUUUGGUUAUGUUGAUGUAUUUUUAUUUUGGAAGCAUGUUAUAUAUACUUCUCACAGUAUUAUAAUCGCUUUACUAAGACCUUGUUAACACUGUAUUGCAGGUCAUUCGAUCUCGACUGCAGGUGAGGAACCUAAACAUUCACUUGAUCUUAUCCAUAUCUUUCAUAUUCACUCACGAGAUGAGGAGAGAGACUGUGCCACUAAGGAUGAUGCUCUGGGUGGCUUACUGAGAGGAAAAAAAAAUGUUUAGAUAGGGAUAUACAUAUGAUCUUGUUUCUUCCUGUAUUAUGGUAGCUAAUGGCCAAUUUGAUUUUUACUCUUCCUUCUGUAGCAACGGCCGAGUACAGAUGGAAUUCCAAGAUACAUGGACAGCUGGCAUGUAAUGAAACAAACAGCAAGGUGAAAUCAAAAUUUUCUCCCAGUCUUGUGGUGAUCUUUCUCUCCCUCGUACACACACGCAAACGCACGUGCACACGCACAAUCACAAUCACAAUCACAAACACAUGGUCCUUGGCAUGUUGAAAGUACUGUAGGACAUUCUUUGCAAGACCUGGCUGAAUGCAACAACGAGAAUCAUCUGUCAAGUUUGUGCAACAAUCUUAGCCAAUUUCUACUUUAACAAUGGGAAAAUUUUCAUUACACUUUCUUCACCUUUAGCCUUCCUGUGGAAACUUUAUUAGUUUACAAUUUGUUUUACCUUCCCCGUUUUCUGUUCACAGGUAUGAGGGUCUACGAGGGUUUUACAAGGGUAUCACUGCAAAUGUGCUAAAAAAUGUUCCAGCUGCUUCGAUAACAUUUAUUGUGUAUGAGAAUGUUCUAAACAUGCUAAAACUGGCUAAAUGGAAAGAUCAAUAGCUUAGCUAAUUUUUGUAAUCAAGAAAUCUACAUGUUAGUAUCAAAACCUUCGGAAAAGAAAAGUUGUAGUUGAAAAAUAUGAUAUAUGGUGUAGUACCCAAUGCGACAGCAGAGAGGAGUGAACUAUGAACAGUUGAGGCAAAUGUCCUGUUCAAUUGUCUGUCGGUUAAAAUUGAUUGAAAGUGUUACAUCUCUAGUUUGUUACAUUGUCCAACUUCUGAUACUGUCUACCAAACACAUUGUCUUGGGUUCUAGCCACGAUUUGCACGCAUCAAAGAUGGAACUUGCAGACCAAGUUCGGGUUCCUUAUCCAUCAGAGUCUUGUAUCUUUUACUUUGUGAAGUUAUAGCAGUUAGAUAUUUGCCAGUUCUAUGUUCAGAAAUUUCAAAAUCCGAAUAGAGUAUGUAAUAUACAAUCUUUUUCAAUGGUGGUGCAUGGAGCAAUUAUUUUCAGAAAUUUUUUUUUUUAAAAAAAAGCCAUAUACAAUCUAUUUCUACAUUGGUACUUGGAAUAAUGUAAUACAUUCCAGUUACUUUUCCCUCACUGUGGGUUAUUAUUGAAAAACAAGAUUCCACCGAAAAGGCUCCACGCUGAUUGAGGUCUAUCUGAUUCAGUGUCUUCGCAUUUGAACAACAAAAUUUCGGCCAACGUUACAGCUUUCUGUAGACGGUAGAGUCUCUACAAAGCAUGACGUAUAAAGUCCCAUUACUUGGCAGGAAAUUUUCGGAGGAAGGAUAGAAUUUGUUCGGAAACCUCUUGAGCUCUCUCUUGUUGGAUGAAAUGAUGGCCGUCUAGUAUGACGACUUCAUGGUUGGGUACUAGGCUCUUGAACACAUUUCCUUCUAUGUACUCCCUGGUGCCAGAAUCAAAUCCAAUAUCCUUGUUCCCCACAAUUAGCUUUGCUGGAACUGUUAUUUUAGACCCUUGCCACGGUGCAAGUAGCUCCCAAUUCCUGUCAUCACAUGACGUUCACAACGGGAUUAACAGGACCAGCUACAUACUGAUACCGGAGCAUAUAAACUCUUGCUAUCUAACAAAAUCGAGGUGAAUUUCGUGUUCUUGCACAUUAUUACGCUACAAAAGAUUGAUCAUGGCAACUUAAUUGAGUGAUAGGCUUGUCCAGUCUGGUUAGGGGUGUUUUCAUUUGCUACAGUUGAUUAGUGUUGGAACUGCGGUUAGACUUGCAGGUCCAUGGCUCGGUAGUAAUUGAAAGCUCCUGUAAAACCAGACUCUAGGAACUUGUCAGCGAUGACCUGAAGUUCAUCUUCUGUAAUCCAGCGCGGUAAGUAGGAAGGGGUUUCUAAAUAAUCAAUAAUCUCCAUACCAGGAGGAGCUAUCAGCUGAUCGGUCUUGCUAAUGAGAUAGAAUUUCUUCAUCACCGUAAGAUAAUCAUACCUCGCAAAUGAUUUUUCUGCUCUUCCAGGUUCCUACCAUUUCGGAUUGGCACUGAUUUUAUCAAAUAUGAAGAUAUUUGUAGCAUAGCCAGGAAACAGAAAUCAAGAAUACCUGAAACUGGCAAACGUAGAAAUUAUCUCCAAACAUCUGUUUGAAUGAGUCGGUCGUUUUGAUGGUUGAAAAUCUUGGUGUGAAUGGAACCGAGAGAGCAACUAUACCUCUAACUCUAUUUGGCCUGAGCAGGCUCAACUGCCAAGCAGCCGCAGCUCCCCAGUCUAUCCCCACCACAAAGGCCUUGCCAACAAAUAAUCAAGUCGUAGUUUUACAAAACUACAGCUCAGAAAGUAAAGCUCAAAAAAUCGUGCAAAUUAUCAAACAAAAGAAUUUACCUGCUCUUGGCCAAAAUGAUCCAGAAGGCCGAUGAGAUCGCCAACUAUGUGGAAAGCAGUGUAAGAAGAGGGGCUGAGGGGGGAGUCAGUGUCUCCAUAGCCUCUCAAGUCAGGUGCAACUACGCGGUAACCGUGUUUUGCCAAGAAGUUGAUUUGAUGGCGCCAGGAAUACCAUAUCUCAGGGAAGCCAUGGAGGAGUAAAACAAGUGGCCCUGUUCCUUUUUCAGCUAUGUGCAUCCAUAUACCAUUUGUCUUGAUUCUCUGGUGAUUGACAUCCGCGAUGACGCUCAUCAUUUUUACCUCACAAAACUUUCAAAAUUGAUUGCCUGCUAUGAUGAUCGCUUUGUUUGAUAAUUUAUUUUCUGGGUUAUUUGGGAUUAAUCGUCAUCAAUUGACUAUGGGCAAAGGCGUAAGCGAAGAGACUUAGUAGGCAAGGUCAAGAAUAUGCAGUCAGUGCUUUGGUGUCGAACAUUGUUUGGCUGCUUGUCUCAAGCCAGGCAUGCAAGGGUGUUCCGGUCAAAUCCGGGUGAAGAGCUGAUUGAUGACCAAGAAAGAAGCUGCUUGAGUAUGAACUAUGAACUAACACCCUACCAAGGACAAAUGAUGUUUGAGUUUGAAUAUUGUCAUGAAGGUGUACUCCAUUUCAUCAAAUGUCUAGAAGUAUACUCCAGAUUUAUUUCUCGAGGAUUUACAUCUAUGCAACAGAUUCAUAGAUUGAUUUUCAGUACUCCCGACCAAGACUUGGCUACAAUUCUAUUGAUCCUUUUUUUAUAGCGACACCAUGUACCACGAGGUCGAGAACAGGAGGACACUCGGACAAACUCCUCACUCUAACGAGAAUUCAGAUAGUAUAUAAGAAAUUAAAUGUCUUCGGAAAAUUAAUUUGGAUUAGAUGAUGCAAUCACCACAAACACAGCACAGAUUGGAGUUCAUGACACUGCACAUUGUACUUCUAGCAGCGAGCACAAAAUAGGAGUCCGCUCUUCAUUUACAAAUACCAGGAAAAUAGUCAAUUCACAUUGAAUUGUUCUUCGGCACUACUCCUGGUUGCCAAUAUUUAGCUUUACUUUUAAGCUGAAUUCAUCUACCAAUGGAAUAAGAGCUGAUUUGCCUCCUUAAAACAGUUAAUGACAGUGAAGAAAUUAUUAUUUUUACACUUUGUCAUCAUGAAACCACCAUCUUGUUUCCUUUGGAGAUCUGCCAUUUUUACAGUUUCUUACAUAACGAUCAUUGUCUUCUGGUGGUUGCUGCACAUACAGGCAACGAAGGAUUAAUAUGCAUCCGAGAUUUGCAGGUGAUUGAAAAAUACCUAAUCUAGAAGCCGUCAAGGACUAAUAGAGGCAUACCUUUACGGUUGAACUUGACAGCAUUGAUAGAAUGCUGAUACAGACAGAGCUAACAGUCAUGGCAGGGGACCAUGAGUCAUACAGAAUAUCUGCAUUGCACGAGGAUAUAUAAGAUAUGAUUUACUGAUUUUCCGAAGGCCAGAGUCACAAUGAUAAGUAUCUAACUGCAUGGAAGGCAUUACAAGCAAAGGCAAUCAAGACGGUCUCACAUUGGGCCUUCAUUGCUUUCACCAAUGUUAACGUCAUACAUUUUAGGACCAGCUGUGGAGCCAAUAUUCGCAAGUUGCAGGAGGCAAAAACAUAGAGAUGCCAUUUCAUUUAGUUUUGAAAAUGUAAUUCUCCUAAAAGUGAACUCAAAAAUCUAAAAUUCCUAAUGAGUGUUCUAGUAAGUAAGGAACGAGGUACUCCCACUUCCUCUCUUAAUCUGGGCUGAGGAUCUCUGACCAGAAACUUAAAAAUCCAAGCCAUUAUAGCUUCAAGCUUCUUGUCAUUCACCUUGAGUAAUCCAGAGAUGUAUUCACAGGAGAAGCUUUGAUUCUCUCCAUUCACAAGAAAAAAAUCUUAGUUUUAAUAGGAAGCCAAAUAGCCAAUCAUAUUCUUGUAUCCCUAUCAAGCAGAGAACAAUAUCGAGCUAGAUGGGGACAUGCAAUUCCCACUAAUGCUAUCUCAUACUCUUGUUACCCCUUCCUAAAAGAGCAAUUUCUACAACAUCCAGUGUCAACAAUUGGUAAUGCAGCUUGUCUGUAAAAUGAAAAUCCCAAUAAAUGCUGCAUUUCUCAAACCUCAUAAGAGGAUAAAGAGUCUAAACCUUAACAUGCAACGGUCCUCAUAAUAUGCUUUUUGUUAGCACAUGCUAAAAAUUACAACAAACAACUUUAAGAAACUAUAAAAACAAGGACUAAACGGCUUCAAUCAUAUGAGGAAUUUUUCCUUCUCUUAAGAGAGAAAUAGAGAAACCUAUUUUCAGGAAGAUUGGAAAGACAAGUGAGGGUACAAUUAAUACAUAGAAGAUUUGAAGAAACGGCAAUGUUCUCAAAGUAACUGCCAUCUCAGUGCGUUCAAAUAGUAGUGAUUUUUGCACAUAAUAGAACUAUCGCUGUCAUUGCAUGAUGGUGACAAUAAAUUUAGUGGUGGCGUAACAUAUAACUCGCACAAAUCUUUCCAUUUCUUGAGAUGCUAAACUUAAUUAGACAAAAAGAGUUUUAACAGCAAAUAGAUUAGAUCCCCUGUAUUGACAUCCGCAGAAAAGGCAAAUAAGGACAAAGAACACCAACCUAACAAUCAAAAGAGCAAAGAAAUCUCUGCAGAUUAACUGCAUCCGGCAAACCUAAGUGGCAAAGAUUUUUUAUGAAAUGUCAUAUGAUUAAGCUUACCUAAACAAAUGUGGCCAUUGCUAUAGAUAUGAGGGUGCAAAGGAGCCGGGCUCAAAAAUAUCACCUUGCAUCAAUCCCAAAUUAAAAGAACAAAUCAGAAUGCCAUUCAAAGAAACUUUUGCCAAAAUUAUACACAGUAACUCCAAAAAUUAAAACAAAAAAGAAGAAAUACUGUAAAAAGAUCCAACCUGGGGCGCUUCCAUAGGAUAAUGUUCUGGAAAAUCUACUUGUAGCUGAAAUGUUUCAUUAGCAUAUAAAGUUCCAGGAGCUCCAUGCACUUCAAUGACCCACCUUUUUAUCAAAUCAACUUACUAAAUCAAUAGCUAAUCACAAUUAUAAACAACUACAAUGUUACAAAAAGCAGUAAUUCAUUCAUUAAAAAUCGAUUUAGUAUCAAUAAUUUCCCUGUACGAAAUGAAUAAAUCCCGUAUCAUAUCAACGUCCACCCACCGCCCUCCCCCCCCCCCCCCCAAAUAAAAAAAAAAAAAAAGGGAAUAAAACAAUUGUUAGGAGCAAGAAGCAAUUGGGCUAAAAAAAGUGAAAACUGAUAAACAAGAAAGAAAAAGAAAACAACCUCUGAAGAUUAUCGGUGGGCUUGUGCUUAAAACCAGCAGGAGGAUUGACCUGCCACUCCACCAGCUCCUUCUGCAACCGGUUGGUCGCUAUUUUGCUUAACGCCUAAUUCAACAAUUACUAUUGUCAAGAUAAUAAUCUUUAAAUGAAUCUAAGAAAGAAAGCUCUACAUCGGAAAAGAAAAGCUAAAAUUUUGUACAGCGCAAUUUCGUAAAAUUAUCCACAAAUUCCAUAUAGAGAGACUGAGAGGAAUAAACCUUGCGAGAGGCGGCGGAGGAGCCGGUCAUGGCGUCGCAAGAUCACCUGAUACCUGGCUCGGAUAGACAGUAAAAGGCCGACUAUUGACGACGAGGAGGAUGAUUCUACGGAGGAGCACACAAGGAAUAUGGCCCUGCCGCUGCUAAUUAUAAUAAUAAUAAUACGUCCUGUCCCCAUUCUUUCUUUUUUGCUUUUAUUUCACCCCGUCUAAUUUCUUCUCCAAAUAAUACUCCUCUACUAAUUUCUUCCCCAAAUAAUAUUUUAUUAUUGUCUUCGUAUUGAUUUUUCUACAACUGUCCUGGUACGGUAUUUAAGGAUUUUAUUCUACAACUGUGCUAGUGGGAUAUUUUAUAACAAUUCUUAUUACUGCUAUAAGUUAUACUAGUAACUAGUAGUACUAAUUUUCUUGGUAAAUAUUGACCUCCUCUCCUGCUGCGGUUGAUAUAAUAAAUUCUAGUACUAAAUUAAUGUCGUCAACGGGAGCGUUUGAGGUGAACGAGAUUUUAUCACCCCAUUGAGAUCGCAUCACCAUCUUGAUGCUUGUUAUGAUUUACCAGAUGGUAGUAAUACUAGUAAUUAAAGAACAAGAAUUGGUCCAAAAUGGGCCCGGUUUGAUGAUGAUCGAAGUGGGAUGUCCCUACCCGAAAAAAAAUAUAGUACCCCCCCUUGAGAAAGUGGGAUGUUGCCAAUAGUUCCCAAAAUCAGCAAAAUUCAUUUUCUGUCUUGAAAAAUAUAUUACGUGUAAACCACCCAGUCUAAAACUAAAAAAGAAGUAGCACACAAAAAGUAAUAGAAAGUUCCUAUUCUUUUUAGUGUAGAAAGUUGACGGGAGCCCUUGACGUCUUCCCUUCAAUCCAAGAUGCCGGGCCGAGACAGGAAAACCCUUAUUAUCAUUUUCCUGUCAAUUAUUAUUGGUUUCUAAAUCAAAUACAACAGCUCAUCUAUAUUACUAUUAUGAGGACGGUCAUCUCGGCCCGAUCGCUCUAAAGAAAGGACCGGGACUUCCUGUAUUUACCGUCAUCUCGGCCCGAAAUUGUAUCAACUCGGCUUCCCAGUGAAAUGCCGAGUUCUCACGCGUCUUCAGUCAUCUCAACUCAUCACCUCACGAAUACCUCAGUGUCUCGACUAAUGAACUGACGCCUUAUUGGAGUCCACUAUCCUUCCCUCCGGUUGGUCAGAUCUUAGGAAAUUGGAGUCCACUAUCCUUCCCUCCGGUUGGUCUUCUAUAAAUACCAUUCCCUCCUAAAUAAAGGGAGAGGACUCUCUACUAUUUUCAUUCCCAUUAUUCAUUUCUCACAAAACUAACUUAAUCAUUGGAGGUACUCCGAGGGAAAAAAGCGCCGUCUAGUGUGUUUACCAGGAAAAGUACAGCACAAAGUCACCUCGCUUAAGAAGAAGACGUAUUAGGUUAACUAGACUUGCCCAUCCAAAAAUAACCUUUUCAUGCUACAUAUUUACAACAAACGGAAAAGGAAAAAAUUUGAAUCCCUAAACAGGAAAACCAUUGUCAUUUUCCUGUCAAUUAUUCCAAAGAAAUACACUAUUGCACACUGCUGCAGAGAGAGAUUUGAAUCCUAAAUCUAUAGUCAGAAUUGCCCCUCAGCUCACGUAAUGCGAGUCGGUUUCCUAAAUUCUAGUCACCGGUCUUCGUUCCUAACCGACGCCAAGUUCAUUGCAUAGUUUCUCACUGGUCCAAGGUAAACGACACGUCUCCUUACGAGGCACCAUCAAAGUAUCGAGUGGCUUCGUAAGCACGAUAUCUUCCCCUGGAAUAGUUUCUGAAUUCGGCUCUUCUCAGGCCUGUCAAUCUGUUUUUUCGUCGACCAAGUCGGCAAAAAGACUCGAGAUCUACUUCUAGAAAACAAUUCGUCAAACGAACAAAGGGAAAAAUAUGUCAAAAGUGAUCUAAAGCAAACACUUUAUUAGCUAUUUGCUAUACCCCAUUUGGACGCUGUCACUAGGAAGGAAUCGGAUUACCCACUGACGUAUCCUCCAAGGUAAUUAACUUGAAAGGACAGGAUUUCAGUUUCAACACAAGGAGGAUUAGGCAUAUCCUUUGCAUCAUUUCAAUUUUAUGACUGCCCCCACCAAGAAAACUAGACUCUGGAAAGCAUCUAGCGUUUGCAGAAUAAAAGUUUAUGCCUAUUCCGAUCUUGACCUAUCUUAAAUCAGUAAAUAAUCAAUAAACAAUAUUGAUGAUAAGUUACUCAUUACGUGAGAAUUAAAACCGCAUUUAGGUACUGGAUCAUGGUUAAUCAUCGUCCCUACAAAACAUGUUAGUCUUGGUAUGUUCUUGUAGAGUAAGCGACCGGUAGAAAUGGCAUUCUCACUGAGACUGGAAGACAAAUGAAAUACCAACAGUAUACAGUAUGGUCAUCACAAUCUUUUAAGGAUGGCUCAAGUUACUUUGCACAAAAAUUCUGCUCAUUGAAGGAUGGCUUAAGUUACUUGCACAUACUUUUAGGAACAGCGUGUCUCAUUGAAGUCUCAAUUUCUCAGCCUGUAAUCCGUAAUCUACAAUCUGGGGUAUGAAUUUUCUUAUGCAAUCUAUUCUCAAUUUUGUGUAAAAACCUCAAGUCGUACUCUGAGCUGAAAAAUUGGACACUUGAAAUCAUCAGUUUAUUUCCUUAAUUUUGAGAGAGGAGGCUCGAUGGAAGAACUUUGUACGGGUUGAGUAUACCAUUGGGGUCAAGCAGCUUCUUGAUGGAAGCCAUUACUUGCACCUGUCAACACAAUAAUUUGUUUUAGAUUCUUGUAUGGAUGGAAGGUAGUAAUUGGGAAAAAUAAAAAAUCAGUGAAGGAUCGGAGUGUGUAAAGGAAGGAGAAAAUAUUUGAACCUGUAAAUCGCAUUGGAAAACAAAAGGCACGAGUAGGAUCAAGCAGAAAGACACAGACAGAUAAUAGAAUGAUUAUCAUCGAGACAAGAUGUGUCAGGUAACAGUUCGAAUACACAAUAAUCAAAGUCUAUCAUCAGCCUUACAGUUUCAGGUGACUUGCUGUAGUGUAUUUUAGCAGCUUUCAUCAAUCCAAGACCAUGCUCAGCACUAAUACUCCCACGGUUCUUUGAUGUCCAUUCAUACACGAAGGGCUCAAUUUUUGCCAAAAUCUGAAAUAUGUGUGAUCAUCUUAGUGAGGUAACUACAAUUCAGAAUCAAGGGAACUUCACGGAGAGAGCGGGAACAAGCACGCUACAUUAUCAUCAUACGCUGGAGCUGAGAUAUUUAGAUGUAAGUUUCCAUCCCCAAGGUGACCAUAUGCCACUACUUUGGCUGCAGGACCUAGAGAUUAACAUGCAAGUGUGAAAAGUUGUCAGAAACAUUUAAUACCUUACUGACAGUCAAGUCCAAAUGUAAUGUUAUACCUAAGAAGUCAGAACUCAAUAAGUGAAACUCAAUCAGCCAAGUAAAGUAGGAUCUUCAAGUUGAAAUGAAGCAUGGCUUCCAUGAUAAGUUAUGAGAAAUAACUACUGAAGCUAUGCAUCCAUUGGAUGAAUCCCAUCCAGAAGAUUGUUCCACCUUCAAGGUAUCACCAUGAAAGAGAACAGCAUUCUUACUGUUCAAUAAAACAAAGAAAAAGUAAUGAAUUUCAUUAUUACCAAUUUGCACUCGCAUUUCCUCAACAAGAUCAUACAUCUUUUCAAGAGGCAGUGACAAAUCAUAUUUGUACACGGCCCCUGCUUUCAUGAGAGCUUCAGGUAAACCCUGCAACCAAGAAGCUGCAUAUUAGCAAGUUUCAUGUAUACACAAAACGCCUCAUGUAAUUUAAAGAUACUUCAUGCUAUUAAACAGAUCACUCGGAAAUCAAUAUUUUAGGUAAUAGUUGCAUUCUUUUAUACUGUUUAAAAAUUAUAAAUUAAAGGAAAUUUCAUAGUUAUUUGCUCCAAUGCAAAACGUUCUCGUGAUUUUAGCAAUAAGUCAAUCCAUUUUAUCUGACUCCUACUAUAAUUCUGACAUCCAAAAAACUAUUAUCAAGAUAUAGAACAAGGAGAUAUUCUAAUUUAUAACAGAACAAAAUGUUAUUCUCAAUUUCAGAGAGAGAUACUGAAACAUCAGGAGAAAUUCAGUAGAGCAGAUGAAGCACCACAUCAGAGCUGAGAUGUCUAUGCAAAUAAAAUAAUAUCAAAUACCCGAGCGUAAGUUCCCAAUUCCAAAGUAAUAUUGGUGACUUUGAUGAUACGACAAAAUGAGGAUGCAUGGUAAUAACCUCACGAAUAUGCCAAAAUGAGGAUGCUUGAUUGAUAUCUUGAGCAAGAACUCCAUUGGCUACCAAACCACUUUCCACUGAAUGAAGAAGGAAGGCCUCAAGGUUCUCCCUGGAGACAUCAAGAUAGAAUGUUUAGAACCAAAAGAAGCAGCAAAUCAUCAUUCCAGGCAUAUUUAUUUGAUAAACCUUAAGUUUUCUGAUAUAGAACGUUGGACAUUUGUUCAAACAAAGAGCAUUAUUCAUUAACUUCAAAGGUGGCUGUUGUCCAAGAGGUUUUAACUCCUUUCAAACUAUAAGCAAAAAGCAACUAGGAAAUAGAAUGGGAAAUAGCUGGCCAAGCUGGUUGUACUGAUGCCUAUGGUUGCCCAAGCAAGUUUGGACGAUAACAGUUUACAUAAAAUUAAUAACCUUCUUACAUCUGGGAGAUCAUUUGCUAAGUUUUAUUAUUCAAACUGAACUAAGCUAAGCUUGCCCCCACCAAAAAAAAAAAAAAAGUCCUAACUAGCUCGUUGAUAGAAACUAAAAUAUCCCAAACAGAAAGAAAGAGCUUCUGUUCAUCAGAUUCAUGUCAUGCCACAGAAAGAAAGUGUGUCCCUAGUGUAAGAAGUAUUUUUUUCAGAAGUUUUUUCUUCAGGUAAAAUAUUUCAUCAGUGUAUCCCCUCUAUUUCCUUGUUAAACAAGAAACUGCUUUUAAACCUGUAAAGGGAAGAGGUUGUCAAUUGUAACAAGACCUAUUCAACUAUUUUGUCCAAUUCCUAUUCGGUGACUUUCUUCGAGACCUUCAAUUUAGACGACAACAAAAUUUUAAGGAUGGCAUGUAGCAAAUAUUUUACUUGUCAAAAGUUUCGUUGCUUCCAGUUGUCUCAAUCAGAAUAUAGAAGUUGUGUAUUGAGGGAGGUAAAGGAUUGCGAACACCAUCCAAAUGUUUCAGAACCUGUCGCAUGUAACAUAUAAGCAUGGUGAUGGAAAUUAACAGCAUAUUAUUCACACAAAGUACAAGACACUAUGCAUACAUAAUCUAAUGCCGCUCACAUGUAACUUAGCUGAGUAUAUUAUACUGAGAUAAAGUUAAAAAACAUUAAGCACAAAUUACAUGAAUAUACUUCCACUUGCAUAACUGUACCAGAACUCAAGGGGCAAUGCCCUGAGAUCAAUGGAAGUGAAAUCCUGCCCGUGUUUAUCUUUUAUCACUUCUUGUCCAUGAUUUUCAGUUCCCAAAAAAGUUGUGGAACUAACCUUCAUACAACACAAGAAAUCAAAGCCUCAUAGAAUUGAGGGAAUUUCGCAUCGACUGACAACCAAAAACUUUGUGGAAAUUAGAGUAUUCCACCAAAACCCCAAAAAAAUAAUAAUAAUAAGAUCCCCACCAAAACCCCAAGCCGAAAAAACAAAAUCUAAGUCAGGCAAAACUGGUGGCAGCACAUAGAAAAUGUCUUUUUUGCUAUCUUUUAUCCUAGUUACUGUGAGUUAAUAUAUACUUUCACGGGGUCAGAACACAUGAACUUAAUAGCUUCAUGCGGACAAAUAUCCAUAAAUUACAAAGUUUUGGAAGAUAUCAGAGCUAAAUAAGAUUUACUUCAGUCCACUUCCUUACAGCUUUUGCCUUUAAAUCAAACAGACACCUCAUGUAAUAUAUCAACAAUUCUUGAAAUUUAGUACUAACCAUCUACUCUGCAUGUGCCUCUCUAGGGGUGGAGCAACAUAAGAGUUUUCUUCAUGAUUACAUGCAUUGCACAAGCAUGAAAAAGACCACCAUCAUUGUCAUCAAUUAAAGUUCACGAAAUUAAAGGCAAAUGUACGUCAAUUCAUCAGAAAGAUAUAAGGCCAUAGACAAAACUUACCAAACUCAUUGCAUCAGAAUCAAGAAACUCAAAUGCAGAAAGAAUUCCUCCAAGCUUCUUUUUUGCUUCCAACAGAAGUUUCUGGAGCCAAGAAUAGGAUGUACAAAAAAAUAAAUCAAACAUUAUUUUCCCAACUUUAUAUCUAUUCUACAAGUAUCAUUAAAUGGAAGAAAAGUAUAUAGUCAUGAGAACCUCACCACUACAUAUAGUUGGGAAUUUCACACUCGACAUUUUAAGUGUGGAUACUGGUGUUCCAAAUGUGAACGUAGCAAAAGACAAAGGGCUUUUUUCCAAGAAAAAUAGAAAUCAUAACGAAAGGAGUCUCUUAGCCUCUCAUGACGUAUAUUACCUGGCAGCUGGUGUAAUCUUCACAAGCAAGAAAAGCUAUAUUGACAGAUGACAACUUUGGAGGGGUAAGAAUUGAAACCUUUGUAACAAUUCCCAAAGAUCCUUCACUUCCUAAAGACGCAUACAGGUUGUUGAAGAAGGUAAACAUAAAAUUUCAUUGAUAAAGAGACAAAACCAUCAACGACUAAGUAAAAAAUUAUCUCUUUUCACCUAUAAAUAGGUGCUUAAGGUCAUAUCCAGUAUUGUCUUUUCUUAAAGUCCCAAGCAUGUCGAGCACAGUACCAUUUGCCAAAACUGCUUCAAGACCUGAAAGAAAUAUUUUAGAUCAAUGUUUUAGACUAACCACCUUUCUCAAAAGGAAAGUAAAAAUUCUUAAUUAUCUUCAAUAAAGGAAGAUGAUUCAUCUUGAUGCUGCCUAGAAAAAUAAUUUCCCAGUAAUAGUACAGUACCCUGAAACUGCUUUCAAUAAACAGAGGCAUUAUCCAGCCGAGCAACACUGAUCACUAUGCAACAUGAAUAAAUAUGUAAUUGUGAUUACCUGUUCCUACUUACUCACAUGCUAAAUCUAAUUCGUGUAUAAUGUACAAAGUCAAGUGGAAUAUCAGUUCAAAUUUUACUCAGAUGCUACCAGCAAAAUCUACAUUAGACAACUUAGGAAUAACAGGGACCUUUUCAAUUUAAACUUGAACUCCAAAUGAGGCUACUGGCCGCAGAUAUCAGCAUUAUACAUCAAUUACAAUUCAAGACAUCAAAAGCAAAUUCUAUGCAUAAGAGUGGUAUCAGUAUUGAACUGGAAAAGCAUACCCAAUAUCAGUGCAUAAAAAAGUUAAGAACAUGAAAACGAGGAACAAUGCUUACCAAGAACACUGCCAUGUAGUGAACCAUAUCGCAGAAGACGUAGCCCACCAGCAUUAGUUGAUACAUUUCCUCCAAUUUGACAGCUACCUUUGGCUCCUAAAUCUAGGGGCAUAAUAAAUCUGAAAAGGAACCAAAACUUCACUAAUACAGCUAGAUGUGUAAAGAAAUACUCAAUUACAUAUUUCAAGGCAUGAUCAUGAAAUUUGAGGACCAUCGCCAAAAGCUUGAAACAGAAUUAAAAUCAGAAAAAGAUCUGUUAAAUGAAUAACAUAUGAACAAAACUUCUCCACUCCUCAUAAAGCAAAAUUUUGAUCAGGCAAAAAUAGAAUAGAAGAAAUUCUUUCAUGCAUACAAUCUUUGAACACUAAGUACUUGUUCAACAGAGGUGACUGAAGUAAUUUGGUGAGCUGGUGAAUACACCAGGAACCCUAAGGUAGCAACAUUACUAUAGCAGAACCAUUUUACAACCACCAAAAAAAAAAUUCCACAGAAUUAUCACAUCUACUCAGGACUACAAGUGAAAAUGGCAUAAUAGGACAUCACAGUCAUCAUCAACUAACCAUCUGUUAUAUUGAGUAUUCUAUGUUCUUUGCAGUCUCAGAGAAGAAUUAUGACAAAGUAGUGAAUUUUUACCCUUCAUCAUCUAGGAAAGAAAUCAAGUUUUCCAAUAUGCAUCCUGCUUCACAAACCAGGACACCGCUGACCUGGAAAAGACAACAAAAGGAAAGACAAUGGAACUCAUCUCAGCAAUUUGAGUUUACAACUGACAUGAUAAUUUCUAAUUUUUAAUUUCUAACCCAAGUUUGAAGUGGAAGGAAAUGAAAAUUAGCAAAGCCACACUAACACUCUAAAGAAUGAAAACUCUGAUAAAGAAAAGACAGUCUAUUCCAUUUCUACAACAUCCUUUCAAAAUCAAAAUGCACAAUGUGUAUGUUAAUAACAAAAGCCAGGCAAAAUGCCUCAGUUGAAUAUCUGGCAUGAAAGCAGAAAUUUGAAAUAUAGAUCAGUGAACUUACUAUUACCUUGUCAAAAGAAAGGAUGUUCCUCAUUAAACCAACAUUGAUGAUCACCUAUGAAGUUUCAACAUGAGACAAGUAAGCCAGGUGCCUGAGAAUUUGAAGGUUUGGGAAAUGCAACAUGUGGAAGCCACUAGAUUUUCCAAAAGCAGUUAAUGUAUUCCUGAAUGCAUUUUUAGAUAGGUGUCGCUAGACCAUUAGUUCAAAGUUGGUUUGACCACAAAUGAAUCCUUUUAGGACCCCAAAACUUGUCAAGACUGAACUAUGAUUAGAUUGGCUGUGAUAAUAUCUGAUAGAUCAAAACAUUAUCAGGAUACUAGUUUCUUCAUUCUACUAUGAAUUCAAAAUUAAAUGACUCAACACUCAACAAAGAACAACCUUACUCCAAGUAAUCCCCUGAUCAUUUAGUGAUCAAACUUUUCAAAUAGUAUUAAUUUUGUAAUUUAACAAGUCUACAGCGCUUAAACUGCCAGCAGAAAUCUACAUGUCACCACAAAAUCGAUGCUUACAUCCGACACCUUGUAUUCCAAUUAAAGUCUCUCCUCCUUGAAGCAAUAAUAAGAUGUAGAAGUAAAUCAAUACCCUUUUCAUCAACAAUAUACAUUCUCCAAGCACAACACAAAUUAUGUUCCAAUUAACUGCAUUAAGAACAUAUUUACUACAGAAUUCAUCUUAGAUAAACUGAAAGAUUCAACGCACUAUAAAUUAAUGAGUUAUGAUAUAUACCUCAUCAAAAACAGGUACACUUCCACCCACAAGACCUGUGUUUCCACCUUGGGGAACAACAGCCAAGCACCUGGAAUUACAGUAUUUAAGAAUCUGUGAAACCUGCAUAAACCAUGUGGGCACAACAGAUGAUUACGCUUGACUUCUUUGGGUAAAAAAAAAAACCCAAUGUCUUAAAUAAACAAUAAAAAAAAGUUAUGUACUUCUUCAGUGUUCUUAGGCUGAAGCAGCAGCUUGCUCGAGCCUCUGUACUUGCCCAUCCAAUCAGUAUUUGCAGCAUCCAGUGCCAAUGCAUCCUGAACAACACCUCUCUCCCCUAAUAGGGUCUUGAAAUAGCUGAUAUCAUCAGGGCUAAUGAUAGAAAACAAGGGAUUUCUGUGCACUGUUGUGGCCACGGAAUAAAAAUAUUUCCCCUGUUUGCUUUUACAGCUAUUGUUCCAAUUAACCGCUGUCGUUAGCAUACAAAUAAAACACCAAUUAUAAACUUAAUAAGACAAUCUGCAUUUGUUUUGUCUACAACAUAGGCAGGGCGUAGAAAUUGAUAAUCUAUUGAUCUCCAGAUAAGCUACGACUUAUUAGCAAGAAAAAAGUCUUUAAAUUUAUAUACCCCUCAAAGCAGUAUAAUUUCUUUUGUCAUAAAUUUUCCUAAUCUGAAUUACUGAAAUUCAAUAACAAGACAACCAACUUGCUCCAUCUUUGCUAUUCAUUGCUACAGUAGAAAUAAAGACUACAUAGGAGUACUUACCAAUAAAAUGGGAUAGGGAAAAAACAGCAUUCUGAUACUAGCGGGUGUGUGUGAUCAUAGUUGAUAAUUGUGCACGUAAGUUUGGUACCUGAAGCGAACCUGCUAGAGAAUUUGAGCAGACGGUCAGCAGCUCUCCAUUUCUCCAUCUCGUAGAGAAUUUGAUGACUAUUGAGGGGCGAGCUAUUUCAUGAUAGUGUCAGAUUACUGGGCUAUUAAGGGAGUUUUAGGACCAGUUUGGGCAAAGAAAUAUAGAAGAGACAAGUAUUUGGAUAAAUUGGAGGCUAACUUUUUUUUUUUUUUUUUUUUUUUUUUUUUUUUGGGUAGGAGAGGCUGACUUUGUUGAAAGCUUCAGACUCGUUGCCAUGCCCACUUCUAUCCUGUCCUUUCUCUUGUGGUGCAUGCGUCUUGUUCUCAACUAUUUCUAAUUGUGUAAAAAUUAAUUUUAAAAACUUAAAAUAAAAAAAUAAAAACUUGUUUCUGAUUUUCAGCUUUUUAUGUCCAAAAAAUUCAAAAUCAAUAUAAAAUAUAAUAAAAUAAUUUUUAAAAAUCAAAUCUUAAAAGUCAUUUUGUGAUUAAAGUCCAUACUUCGACAAUGUGCAGGUGCACUCAGUGCUGGUAAAAAUAAAUUGCAUGUUUCAUUCUCUUUUUACUUAUUCCAAUAUGUCUUAUUACCAUUUUAUUUGAAACUCCAAAAAAUACAAAAGAGACAAUCACCCUUUGGUCAUAUGUCUGGCUUUUAUUUUUAACUAAUUCCAUCCAAAUUAGGUAAUGGGAAAAAAUUUAAAGUUCAAUUUAGGAGAGAAAAUGAAAAGAAAUCAACAUUUUCACAUUGUCUUGUUUGUCGAAAAUUUGGAAAAAAAAAAAUUUUGAUCAUGAAUGAAUAGACAAUGUGCAUCUAAGGUACUUAACUUCCAAUUUUUUUUUUGGGGAGGAGGGGUGUAAAUAGAUUGGGUGAUACAGGAGAAAGCCGUCUAAAUAAGAGAUCAUGACCUCAAGAGCUUCCACUUAAAAAAGAAAAAGAAAAAGUCUUCCAAUUUGAAUUAUUUAAUUGUUCAUUUUAUUGGUAAACUAGGCAACUUAAAUAUGUUGACAAAUAGUCUCACUUUUUUAUCUAUAACUUUUCCCACUUAUUAGAAGGAAAUGAAAGAAAGAAAAAUCACUUCAUUAAUUUUUCAAGAAACAAUUUCAAUUGUUCUGCAUUCUCUUUUUUUUUCCAAAAAAAAAAAAAAGAAACUCCCAAGUUUCAAUUAUCCAUCCAAACAAGCUUAAGGUGUUAAACAAAACUGAAGUAAUGGGUCGGACAGGCACUGCCCGCUUGCUAUUCGGAUCCUUUCAUUUUCCGAGCCCUAUCCAUCUCUCUCCUUCAGACUUCCCAAAGCCAAGUAGUCUAUCAAAGCUAAAUGGCGACUGCCACUGCUGCCGCUGCUGCUUCCAUAUCUUCUUCAGUGUCGUCUGUCUUAAACCAACCCCACCACCACCCUUCUCUAAUCAUCCGGCUUCCUCGGAGAUGCUCCGCCGCCUUCUCUCGCCGACUCCUUGGGUCCCCAAAUCCCCUGAAAACCUCAUCAUCUCUCUCCCGUUCUUCCUACCAUGUCCUCUCCCGCUCGCCAUUAUUAAAAGCGCGGCGAUGUUUAAACUUCUCUUUAGGAUUCGUUCGGAACUCAGCAUCGCACAUUCCGCUUUCCCAAAAGCAAGAUAUCCCGAGUCUCCACCAUUUCAUGCCAAAAGCUACUCCCGUUCCUUCUGUUUCUGAACCCCAAUUCGAGUAAGUUGGGGAUUCCAUCGAUUUCAUUUUUAUGCGUGGUUUUAUGUUUGUAUUAAUUAUGGGUUCUGUCCGCUGGAAGUAUUUGUCUUGGAUAAUCUGAGAAAUCUGAGAAAGAUUUAAUCUCGAAGAAUUGCCUGGUUGUUAUUCAACUUGAAGCUUGUACGUUAGUAAUGAGCUCAACUGUUAGUUACUGCUACAAAAAUGAAUAAGCCUUAUCGGUUUAUUUGGCUAGUAAUCAAGCUAAAAGAGAAACCACUGAAUGCAAUUUUCGAUUUUGCAUCAGUAUUUGACGUCAUAAUUGGAUAUGUUGGGAUUAUAUUGUUUGAGCAUAUUCAUUUUUAGUAUCUCAUUUAGUUAUUAUUGUAUGCUCAACAAUGCCAUUAUUUAACCUUUGCCUUCUUGACGCUUUCCGGUUUUGAUGUUGAAUAGUUGUAUUUGCUCUUCAUAGUGUUUAGUGUUGACUGAUCAUACAGAUGGGUAACUUCUGAAACUAAAGCCGUUAUAUGCACAGAGUUGUUGUCUUGUCAACAGUGCAGUGUCUAAUUACCAGCGACUUCAUAUACUUCUAGUUUUCUUAAACAUAAAGUGCUCUUAAGUCCAAUUAGAAAUAUCUCAUUGUUAUUUCUUUUCUUGUUUGUUUUUGUCCUAGCUUGAUAGCACCUACUGAAGUUCUUCCAAGAGGUCGUAUUUAUCAAGAAACAUAUGGAUGUCAGAUGAAUGUCAAUGAUAUGGAGAUAGUAUUAUCUAUCAUGAAGAAAGCUGGGUAUAGUGAAGUGGUGGAUGUUCCUGAGAGUGCAGAGAUAAUAUUUGUCAACACAUGUGCUAUUAGGGACAAUGCAGAGCAAAAGGUAUGGCAGAGGCUCAAUUACUUUUGGUUUCUUAAGAGGCAUUGGAAGAGCAAUGUUGCCAUUGGACGGUCACAGUCCCUGCAUCCUCCGAAAGUUGUUGUUCUCGGCUGUAUGGCUGAGAGGUUGAAGGAGAAGAUAUUAGAUGCAGAUAAGAUGGUUGAUGUUGUUUGUGGACCUGAUGCUUAUAGAGACCUGCCACGCCUAUUAGAAGAGGUAGACUCUGGUCAAAAAGGGAUUAACACUCUACUUUCACUUGAAGAAACUUAUGCUGAUAUCAAUCCUGUUCGUAUCUCUAAAAAUUCAAUCAGUGCUUUUGUCUCAAUUAUGAGAGGUUGCAAUAAUAUGUGCUCCUUUUGCAUUGUGCCUUUCACCAGAGGCAGAGAGAGAUCUAGGCCAGUGGAAUCCAUUGUUAGAGAGGUGGGAGAGCUUUGGAAAGAAGGUGUUAAAGAGGUGACGCUUCUUGGUCAGAAUGUUAACAGUUACAAUGACACAUCCGGGCUUGAAAAAGAAAUUGAACCAGGAGUAAACUGGAAACUUAGUGAAGGUUUUUCCAGCAUGUGUAAGGUUAAAAAGAUGGGUUUACGCUUUGCAGAUCUCUUGGAUAGACUUGCUGUGGAAUUUCCGGAGAUGCGGUUUAGAUUCACUUCACCACACCCUAAAGAUUUUCCUGAUGAGUUGUUGUAUGUAAUGCGAGACAGACACAAUAUCUGCAAAAGCAUCCAUUUGCCUGCACAAUCAGGGAACAGUAACAUGCUGAAAAAGAUGCGACGUGGCUAUACACGAGAAGCAUAUUUAGAACUUGUGAGUAAGAUACGGAGUAUAAUUCCUGAUAUGGGGAUCAGCAGUGAUUUUAUUUGUGGUGAGAGUCUUAUUCACAUUGGUUUUACUCAUCAUAUUCUUAGUUUUCAUUAAUUAUUUUAUCUUCUCUUCUUUGAUUUUCUUCAUUUUAUUGCAUUUUUCUGGUUCUUUUACACCUCAUGGCUUGUCAUCAAGUUCCUUGACUCUCCCUGAUUAUCAAAUGGUACCACUGUCAAUCAUGAAUCUCUGGGGUUUAAGUUUCAUAUGGAUCCUGUAAUUGCCAAGCACUCCCAUGUUUUGGCAGUAGUUGACCAAAUCUUCUUGAGCUUUUAAUUUUAAUUGGUUGGACUAUUUUGGGGAUAGGAUUGCUUAUGAAUCAUUUCUUGUCUGAAUAAUUUGGUGCCUUGAUGCAGGUUUUUGUGGUGAAACAGAGGAGGAGCACCAAGACACACUUACCCUGAUGAAGGCUGUCAGUUAUGAUAUGGCAUACAUGUUUGCAUACAGUAUGAGAGAGAAAACCCAUGCCCACAGGAAUUACAUGGAUGAUGUUCUUGAAGAUGUAAAGCAGAGACGGCUAACAGAGCUUAUUGAAGCUUUCCGGGAGAGUACAGGUCAGUGCUUUGACUCCCAACUUGGCAGUGUCCAACUUGUGUUAGUUGAAGGGCCCAAUAAGAGGGCCCCUGACACAGAGCUUAUAGGCAAGAGCGAUAGAGGCCACAGGGUAUCUUUCAGAAACUUGCCUGUCCCUGAUAGGGUUGAGAAUGAUGGUAAAAGGAAUCCAAGAGUUGGUGAUUUUGUGGAAGUUCAUAUUUCAAAAACCUCAAGAGCGUCACUCUUUGGAGAAGCACUUGCGAUUACUAAACUGAGCUCAUUUUAUGACAAUCUACAUGAACAUGCUUUUGCCUGUGCUAGCAGAAUUUGAUCUAUUCUUUUAAGGAGCCCCUGGUACAACUUUUUCCUCACUAAAUUAAUCUACUCAAAGGUCGUUUUGCUGUAAUUACGGGUUUAAGUUUCAUUCACCCCUUUGAAUUAUUGCUUGGUCUCAAAAUUAAGUGCUUGUUCGGCAGACCUAUAUUACACAGUUUAUAUUUCUGGAGGAAAUUCCAUACCAAGCAACAGUUCUGGGGCUGAAGGGAGUAAAUUGAAUUUGCCCUUGAUUACAUCCUGGAAGCACAGGAAGCACAGGUGAUUUCUAUUGGUCUGGUUCCUUGGGAUGGGCUCUGGACCUCCGUUAAAAGGGUAGGAUAUUUCUCUUGGUUUUGCGUGAUGCUUGUAGUGAAAGAUAGGCUUUUGUGUAGUUUCCCACUUUUCACUCAAACCAGGCGAAAAUGCCAAGAUCACAGAAUCAAAUGCAGGAGAGCAAAAUACUUGGUAGCACUCUUUCUCAGAGUUAUUAGAGAGUAUCCAAGACACUCAGCAGUGCCAGUGAAAUGGAGCUUCUCUGAAGCAUGAAUCUGGGAGGUUAAACAUUCUCCAGUUCAGGUGGAUCAGUGUCAGCAAGAAAAUGGGUUUUGUACGCCAGGUUCAUUUAAUUUUACGUGAGAUUAUAGUUCUUAACUCCCAGAAUCCAUUGUCAUUGAGUUUUGGUGUACGACUAGAUUAGGACAAACAAAAUACACAUAUGAGGAGUUUGGCAUGAAAGCCCCACCGGGGGGGAUUCUGAUGCAAGUGAAAGGGAUGAAUUAUACGGAAAGCUUUAGCUCGAACCCUGUACACCUUUUCUAUCCUAGAGGCUCCGCAUGUUUCCUGGUGUAAGUUCAUUGCUGAAAGCUAAAUGUAAGUCAACUAUAAUUAUAUACAUAAAAUAUAUAUAAUAAUAUGUAUAAUUUAUAAUUAUACCUAUUAUAACAUAAAUUAAUAAUAAUUUAUAUAUCGAUUUGUGGUAAUUCAUAAUCAUUAAAUAAAUAUUAUAUUUAAUUAUGAAUUCGUUUUGAGUUCAAUUUAAGUCCAAAGUUCAUAUAAAAAUGUGAAUCAAGUUUGAGCCUCCUAAUUUGAGCCUAAACUCGAAGGUCCAAAAGCCUGAAAGUUCUACUGAAUCACGUUUGUGAACCAAGUUUGAGCUUGUCAAAACUGGCUCAUAGAGCCUAACCGACAGCCCUGCAGCUAAUUGUUUUCCUUGACAGCAACCGCAUUCAGACGUUGCAUGACCAAGUGAUGAAAUUUUAGGCUCAAUGCAUUAUUACGCUAUGCUAAAGACUCUGAAAUACGGUAACACUUCAUUGGAAAAGUUUAUUAUUAUUAGAGAGCUUUCAAAAGAAUUACUGGUGUAGUGGAGGAAAAGUUUCCCAAGAAAUACUUAAUUGAAUGCAAGGCAAUUAGCUGUGUUUGGUUUUGCUUUUAGGCUUUUAGCUAAUGUCAGGGGGUGCUGAGAACUGAGAAUGAGUGUGUGUGUGAAUUUGUCGGGUUCUUGAGGAGAAUGAGAAGAGAGAGUGACCAAAAAGAGCAGAGUGAAAAUUGAAGAGUGAUAAGGACAAGUCGAAGUAGACGAGACUUGUGAGGAAGCAAAGCAAAGCCAUGGGGAGCGUCUUGAAAAAUGAAGAUGCAGCAGGAGCAGAAAAUGGAGAGUUGAGUUCACCAGUCCCGCAUUCACAUUAAUGUACACAGCAGUCAGUGUCGGCCGGGCGAGUCUGAGCGAGCAAGAUGUUCUAAGUAGUAGUAUUAUGGUACCGACUAUGCAAAAACUAAAAAGCGCAUACAUUCAUUCGUUACGUAGGUUACAAUACAAUACCCCGUCCCGUGCGUCGGCGUCCUCAUUAAUGAAUUCCCCGCCAUUCUCUUCUUCUUAAUGCUCCCGCCCUUCUCCGACGGAUCCACAGAAAUGACAGUGAUGAUGGAUCACUCAGUUCACUGUUCCUUCGUUUUGUUACUUUCACUUCAUUCCAGCCCUCAAAAAAUGUGUGUGUUUGUAGUAUUAUUAUCUGAGAACGCAUCUACAAGCAAAAAUGUUCGCUGCUGCGUCUCUUGCAUAGUUAGCGUCCGAUCUCGAGUCUGGACUGAUUUUUAUUCAAACGCACGCACAAGAUGCAUACCCAUUUAUUGCCUUUAAAUACACAUCUACUACGAGUAAAAAAGUUUGCUGCUGCGUCUCUGGCAUAGUUAGGGUCCGCUAGGCUCUAGGCCUCUAGCUAACAUAGUAUAGUGCAUCUAGGGGUACGGGUGAUAUCGAGUCGAGUCGAGCUCGAGUAGUGCACUACUCGAGCUCGACUCGAGGCAAAAUAACUAGGCUCGAGCUCGAACUCGUCAAGCUUUUAAAAUUCGAGCUCGAGCUCGAGCUCGACAUCAAUUUAUGGAGCUCGAGAUUGAGUUUAAUUAAAUGUAAUUAAUUCAAAUCAAGCUCAAUCAAGCCUAAUCAAGCUCAAGUAAUAAAAAUUAAUAUUUUAUAUAUAAUUUUAAAUAAAGGAUAUUAUUGACAUUUCACAAUAAUAAAAAUAAAAAAUAUAUAUUAUAGAAAGCUCGAUAGAGCUCGUCGAGUUCUCGAGUAUUAUAUUUCCAAACUCAAACUCGACUCGAUAGCUCUAACGAGCAGCUCGAGCUGUUGACCAAGUAGCUCGCGAGCUCCAGCCGAGCUACUUGGUUCAGCUCCAGCCCUAUCUGGGGGUCACUGCAAUGUUAAAUUCUAGGGUUAAUUACAUUUACCUCCCCUGAGGUUUGACCAUAUUACCAAACAAUCCCUAUAAUUUGUCCAAAUAACGGUCUCACCCUUUGAAUGAUCAAACAUUUAAGAAAAACCCCCUUAAUGCCGAAAAUACCCUUAUUGAGGCCAUGUUGCAUUAAAAAAAGAACAUAUUUUUAUUUUAUUAACCUUGAAGCAAUCCAAAAAAACAGAAAAAAAUUUUGCUUAUUAUUUUAUAAAAACCAUAUCUUUGCUUCCAUAAAUAGUUUUGAAUCAAUAAUUAUUUUAAAUCUUAAAAAUGAAUAUUAAAAAUUAGAUAAAUUGAAAGAAAAAUUAAAAAAAGAAGAAAUUAUUUUAAUUGCUGAAGUAUGGUUCAAAUUGAGGAAAACAUGCCCUGUACUCUCCGCAACAUGCCUUGAACCACAAAUUCGAACCAUACUUGAGGAUUUAAAAUAAUUGCUCUUUUUUAUUUUUUUUUCAAUUUAUCUAAUUUUUAAUAUUCAUUUUUAAGAUUUAAAAUAAUUAUUGAUUCAAAACUAUUUAUGGAAGCAAAGAUAUGGUUUUUAUAAAAUAAUAAGCAAAAACUUUUUUCUAUUUUUUUGAAUAAAAUAAAAUAUGUUCUUUUUUUAAUGCAAUAUAGCCUCAAUAAGGGCAUUUUUGGCAUUAAGGGGGUUUUUGUUAAAUGUUUGAUCAUUCAAAGGGUGAGACCGUUAUUUGGACAAAUUACAGGGAUUGAUUGGUAAUAUGGUCAAAUCUCAGGGGAAGUAAAUAUAAUUAACCCUAAAUUCUACUUAAAAAUUUUCGGAAGCUUGGAUUUUUAAGAGUUACUAUUUCAGUUUCUCCAGUAUCAUACAUAGUAUUCUAAACCAGCCUUAGGUCAUUAGAAAUCCAUUUUCACUUCCAACUUCAUGCUUAAUUUGUUUCCUAAGCAACUUUCCUGUUCGCCCUGCCAGAUCUCUACUUUUUUUCCCCUUAUGAUGCUAAAUCUCUACUUAAUUUAUAUAUAUGUCUUGUGCUUUUGCAAUUCCUCAUGAUUAUGAAUAGUGGACUGAAAGAUAAGGUGAUUAAUUGAGCCUGCGCAAUCUGUUUUAUGUUGAAUUAGCUAAAAGUUAAACUAGUGUUGCUUAGAUUAGAAAAACAGGACUAAGUGCUAUAAUACUCCCUAGUCAAUUCCAAUUAGUUUCUUCAAAUCUCAUUUUAAUUCUCAACACGUCAAAUCACACACGCACACACACACGUACACAGAAUAUAAAUGGUCUAUCCAAGGGGUACCCAUGCCCUCGUUAAAAUGUAUUUCAUCUGUCAUAUUUUUUAAAAUGUAAGAUUAAUUAACGAAAGUAAAUAAAUACAAUGAAAAGAAAGUAUAUAAAUGCAAUGAAGAGUAAUAAUUAUUAAUAUAUGUAUAUACAUAGUACGUUAAGUGAAUUUUAUACGUGUGCUAAUGGACACACAUUAGAAAAAUCCUAAUACAAAAUGAUCUUCAGUUCUGAUUUUGGUAGGUUGUUAAAUUGGCUAUUUCGACAUUCUAUCAAGUGGACAUUUUUUUUUCAUGCCAUGUGGCAAAUUAAAUUGCAAGAAAAAGUGUGUCCAUUUAUAUCUCCGUGGAUUUUAUUUUUCUUUUUGUGGUAACAAUUAAUUAUACACCUUAUUAGAGUUCCUUAUUUAUAGUCAAUUUCACCCAAUCUAUUAAUGACCUACCUUAUAUAAGUUUGUAUUAAUUAUAUCUUUUUAUUUUUUUUGGUCAAUCAACUCAUAUCUUUCUUUUUAAUCUCCUCAAUUACUUUUUCUAUUCUUGUUAUUGGCUUGAUUACUUAUUGCCAUUACUAAAAUUUGAACAAAAUAUACUAUAUUAAUGCUCACGUAGAUAGUAUUUCUCUUGAUGGGUUACUAAGUAGGCUAUACUGAAAAAAAUUUGCCUAUUCCGGUUUUUUGCCAAGUGUAAAUUCUAUCUUUUCGCCAUGUGGAAAAACAUUAUGUAUGCUUAUGUUUCUUGGUGUAUUUUAUUCUUUCUUGGUUAACAAUUAAUUAUAGUCCUUUAUUACUUUUUAUUUAUAGUAAAAUUUAAACAAUCAAAUAAUUGCCUACUUUAUAUAAAUUUCUAUAAUUUAUGCUUUAUUUUAUGUGUUUUUCUAACUGGUAUCCAAUGAACACUAGUUAACACACCUACAUGUCACCCCAAUCUAUCAUUUUUAUACGCACACUAAUAAUUACUACUUUUUUCUUACAUUUAUAUUCUUUUUCUAAUUAAUCUCCUUGUAUUUAUACACUUUUGGUAGUUAAUUUUAUAUUGCUAGAAAUCUAAUACUUGAAAUACAUCUUAACAAGUACCCAUAGGGCACCCAUUAGACAUACCAUUGUUUUAUUUUUGUUAAUAGCUUUCAUUUUUUAAUUCUCUACAAUCACAUCUGAUAUUUUGCCAAGUGUAAGAUCUAUCUUUUCACCAUGUACAAAAAUAUUGUGUAUGGCUCUUGAUGAAUUUUUAAUUUUCACCAUGUACAAAAAUAUUUUUUAAUUAUAAUUCUUUAUUACUUUCUUAUUUGUAGUAAACUUUAAACUUCAAACAACUGAUUAAUUACCUACUUUAUACACAUUUCUAUAAUUUAAGCUUAAUUUUAUUUUUUGUUAAUAGCUUUCCUUUUAUUAUUCUCUACAAUCGUAUCUGAUUUUUGUCAAGUGUAAGUUCUAUAUUUUCACCAUGGAGAAAAAUAUUGUGUUUGCUUAUGUUUUUUGGUGGAUUUUAAUUUUUUUUGGUAACAAUUAAUUAUAGUCCUUUAUUACUUUCUUAUCAGUUAAUUACCUACUUCAUAUACAUUUCUAUAAUUUAUGCUUUAUUUUAUUUUUUGUUAACAGUUUUGGUUUUUUAACUCUCUACAAUCUCUAUUCCUAUUAUUGAAUUUAUCAUUUAUUAUUAGUAGGAUUAAUCUUUCACGUAUACACUGUCAGCGCACUGUUAGCACCUUGGAUGAAUGACAACUAUGUAAAAUUUAAAUUUGAAAUCCAAUUUUUGCGCACGUGUCAUGAAUUCAAUGGUAAUUGUGUAUACACUGUCAGUAUACAAGAUUUACUCUUAUUAUUAUUACUAAAAUUUAGAUGAUCUUUCAUUUGUAUAUCAAUUUUUUAUUUAUAGUAAAUUAAAAUCUAUUAAUCCCCUACCUUAUAUAUAUUUACAUUCAUUACACUUUUCUUUUUUUAAAAUCAAUCAACAUUGUUUUUUAAAAUUUUCUUCAAUUAUGUUGACUAUAUUUCUAUUGUUUGAUUCGAUUAUUUAUUUUUAAUUCUAAAGUUUUGACAAUUUUUAUUUUUCAAUGGAUUUAUAUACUGCAAUUCUAGCAUAUACUCAUACAAAUCCACUUAAAUUAUAUAAAUAAUCUUUCUUUUUCUAAAUUUUUUCUAUUAAUUUUUAUGCUCUCUUUCCAUUGGAAAUCAAUUCAAGCUAAAAUGGUGUCCAUAUAAACACCGGAUUGUAAAAGUUUUCUCAAUUUACCUUUUUGCUAAUUUUUAAUAAUUUGAUCAAAUGAUAAGUUCAUUAUCUAUUAGUUUGCUUUUUAAAAUUCUUAUUAGUCAUGAAAAAUUCAAAUAUUAACCACACUUAUUUCCUAAUAUAUCUUCUUUACUCACAUAUUGACAUAUCACCAUUAAUUAGAGUAAAUAUAAUUGAAUCAUGGGAUAAGGUUUGACUGAAACUAAUCAUUAAGUUGUUAUGACUUAACUAUUUUUAAUCUAUUUAAUUUGAAAUUUUAUAAAUGAUAUUUUUAGUUAUUUUAUAUCAAAUUUUAUUUAAAAAAUGAAAACUUUAGAGCAUUAAAAUUGCUCGUGUAAAUCCACAGGUACAUAACUAAUGAAGCAUUAUAUUUCGCAACAUUGUAAUAUAUUACCACUGCCAUUCUUAGCUUCAUAGUCAAGAGACUCUAUGCAAGUACCCAAAGUUUGUGUCUCUGCCAAUUCAAGACUAAAGAAGACAAAUUUAUUAUGUCUUUUAAUUAUUACUGAAACAAUUACGUCUUAGUUAGGCAAAUGUAUAUUUUCUUUGUGAAGCACGUGCCGCAAAAUCUCAAUCCUUGAAUUAAACUGAAUGUAAAUAGUUUUUUAAAAUAAAUAGAUGUAGGAAUAGCAACGGGAGCGAACAUGUGAGAAUCCUCAUUUUUAAAAUACAAUUUCCCCAAACUACAUGCCUUGCACCAAGAUUUAAACCACCUCUGAUAUGCCCUAGUAUUAUAUUUCACAAUGUGUUACAACAAAUCCCUUGUAUUGACCCUCACUUUAAAACACAAUUUUCUUUUUACAUGCCUUAUUAUAAGAUCUAGACCAUUUAAUAUAUGCCCUUACAAAUUAUUUUCUAUGUGUUAUAAUAAUUUCCAUGCAUUUCAUUUCAAUUCAUUUUACUUGAAGUAAAAUAUAUUCUUGAGCUAGGUUGUAAAUAAAUCACCACUUGUAAUUGUCCAAGUGUUCUUUUAUUAGUGGUAGAGACUUAAUGUGAGAGAUUAGAGGUGUUGAAUAAUUAUUGGUGCAUUUGGAAAGGUAAGAAUGGCAUUAGUCAAUGAUUAAGAAAAGUUAGGACAAUAAUGGAGCCAUGUGGCAAAACCCUAGCCAUGUAUCUUGUUUGACCAAAGGAUUAGAGGAAUUUUAAACCAACUUUGCUUCAUUUUCCUCCAAAAUUUCGUCCACCUUAAGGGCUUCCAAGGGAAGGAAGAAAACUCCAUCUUCUUGCUAUGACAACCUUAGUUUGAUCUUGAACAAAAACCAAAAGAGAAAGAUCUAGAGUUUGUAAGAAAAUUUCCUUCAAUCUUUGAGGUUGUUUCAAGCCUAAAGCUUCUAUUGUGGUGGUUUGUUUGGUGACCAAAGCAACUUGUAAGUAAGGUAUGUAAUCUUUACAAAUUGGGUUUAUGAUGUUAUAUCAUCUACUUGAGGAUGAAAUGGUGAAAAACAACUUGUUAUGGUUGAAUUUGGGGUUAGUUUCUUGAGUUAAUCAAGUAAUGGUUAGGUUUACUAACCAGCAUACCAAGUGUUUGAUGAAAUGUCUAAUCCUUAUUCAUGUGUGUUUAUGAAGUAUUGAUAUGUUUUAAACCCCUAUUUAGUUGGAUCUAAUACUUGUUAUGUGCAAGGAAUGAAAAUAACAAGAAGAGUAGAAGUUAGAAAUUUUUAAAGUGUGCUGAUCGAAACUUUUUAAGCUUGCUGUCCGGUUUUUCCUUGAUAUUUUCAUGCAUAUUUUGGCUACAAAUGUGAGUGUUAUAUGUUGGGUUAUGUGUGUGGAGGUUUUCUACAAAAAAAAUUAGGCAAUUUGGUUGAAUAAAUUUUGAGUUAUAAACAAAGGAGGAAAACUGGACUAGGUCCAGAAAUUUUCUGUGCAGCAAUCUUGUUAAGGUCAUAAUGUGUUACUCACUGAUCGGAAUUGAGUGCCAUUUGUGGCAAUUGAAAGUAGAUCUUAGAGCUUUAAAACGGUACAAAGCUCAUUUUCUGGUUCAUCCCGAGCAAUCCGUGGCGAGUCUGGAAAGUUGGCUGUCCGGGCGGUACUGUUCAUCCGAGACAGUCCAGAAAGUUCAUUUGGUUUCUUAAUUUUAAGCCACUUAUGUUGGGAUUUUGGAAAUGGUUUCUUCUAGACAAAUUUAGCCUUAUGAACUUAGUUUCCAAUGCAACUGACGGAACCUAAUUCCAACUUUCCCACAAUGAGAAAUGACCAUUUUCCCGAGGCUGGCCGGGCGAGAUAGUUUAACCCGUAAUGAAGUCUUUGAGCUUUAGUGAAACUUUUCUCUUGCCAAACUUUCAUGUACAUACUAGACUUUUUUUCCAUGAACUUUCACCGUGGUUUAGACCCUAUUUGCAUGCUGGAUUAAGUAACUUAAGCUACUCACUUGGCCUCUUAAUGAAUCUAUACUUUAGUAGGGAACGAAUCCAAUUAUUAAUGUUUUCACUCGUUGACUUAGGUUUGGGCAACGACGGUGAUUGUAACUGAGACGUUUGACGUCGAUUAUUACUUUUGCUUGACAGGUGAGUGUUCCACUACCUGUUACUUGUUAUGUGAAAUAUUUGUGUGCUUGAAAUUACUGAAUUGAUAUUGUUUGAGCCAAAUACUGUUUUAAUAAAAUUGAGGCGAGUGUGUACUUUAUCAUACUCGACCUCCCUUGUUUGUUUACUGAGGCUCUAUUUAUCGAAUGAAUUACCAUGGAAUGAAGUAAUGCUAUAUGUGACUGUGCUUAAGUUGCGUGGAGGACAUUCCACCGACUACUGUUACUAUUUGGGUACCCAAUCUCACAGGUGAGUCGGUCGUAUCGAGCCAGCAAGGGUUUGGUCGAGAAAACAGAUAAACCUUGAGAACUGUUUACUGUUCACUGAAACCGGUAUACUCGAAUAUUACCAAACUACUGUUUAUGAAGUGCGGGCUCGGUGGGGGGUUGUUUGGUGGAUGGAGACUGGUGAAAGUGGGGUUCUACGGAUCUAUAUACUGUUACAAGUGUUGACGGAGUGUUAACAGAAGACAAUUAUGAUCAAGCUCAAGUGGACCUUUGGCUCUUAAAAGCCACCCGUAUCGUUGAAUUGAACUGUGAUUAAACUGUUAUUUUACUGUACGGUGUUUAGUUGGUUAUUUUGUGAUUUUAUGUGGCUAUGUGUUUACUUGUUUACCUAGAACCUCACUGGGCUUUAACUCACCCCCUUCCCUUUGUUUUCCUUAACAGAUCGGGAAGGGAUUUGACCGAGGGCUUUCUUAGCUUUAUUUUGCCGUUCUUGCGUUUUGAGAUUGUAAUUUUCGUUUAAGCAGACUUGUAAGCUUAAAUUCUUAAGGGUGAUUUAUAUUAUGUAAUUUUGAGUGAAGCGUGGUAAGUUGGCAUGCGAUAAUAGAUGUACUAAGUUGAAUUGUUGGAUUAGUGAUUAUGUUUGAGUUAGUGUUUCAAUCCCUUGCAUUGUCAAAUAUUACAUUCAUUUCAUUGAUGAUAUUAAUACUUUGAACGAUUGAGUCCUGGCGAGAGUUGGACAGGCAGUCCGUUGAUACCCUAUGGUUUGCCCUAGGGAGAUAUGGGGCUGUCACAGAACACCCACUUUGUGAAAGGAGUAUGAGUUGGAGUGGGGAGGAGGAUUUUUCUCCCCCAUCUUAAAUGAGGUGGGGUGUGAGAGAGCAUAACCUUGCCCCAUCUUCCCCUCCGUCCCUUGUAUUAAUUAAAUAAAUAUAAUAAGAUUAUUAAUACAUCUAUUUUUUCCAUAUUAUUUUGGGUUAAAUUAUUAGUACUAGUCAUAGUUAUAAAAUUCGGCCCGACCCGGCGGUCGAACCGGUCAUUAGACCGGGCCGAAUUUGGAAUCAAAUCGUUUGUGCAAAGAGACCGUUGACUUAGUCAAUGACCCGGCGAUCGAACCGGAUUAAACCGGAAACCCUGUCGGUUUUGGCCGGGUUUGUCACUAACCGGAUUUUGUGGAAAAAUUAAUUACUGUUGUUGGAACUCGAACUUCGGACCUCUGCCCCAACACUACCGCCUGCUUACCACCAAACUACUUCCAAAUAUGUUGACAUAAUAGCUUUAUUAUGAUAUAUAAAUGUUUUUUCAAUUCUAUCUUUUUUUCUCUAAAACAAAUUUAUUUGGAAUCUUUUAAUAAAAAUUUAUUACCCUCCAAACUCUAUAAGUUAUAAAAUGGAUUUCAAAAAUAACAUAUUACAUAAUUCAUUUAAAGACAAAUAUUAUUUUUAAUAAUUUUUUACACUUAAAAUUCAUAAAUAAGCUAGAUAAUUACACUAAAUAUAGAUAAAAUUUUACACUUGAAAUUUGGUAUAUUAAUAAAUAACUGUAUAUUUGAUUGAUUCUUAUAUGAAUUAAUUAUUUUAUAACAAAUUAAAUUAAAUGAGCUUUUGUUAUGGCAUUAUUUAUUACAAUUUAUAUCAUAUAUCUUAUAUAAAUAAUUAUGAAAUAUAAUAUUUAAAUAUAUGUAGUGACCCACCGAUUCAACCACUCACCCUCGGUUAAAUCAGUAACCUGUUGACCCACCUCUUUCGCCGGGUUCCUUCCCGGAUUGGGUUUAAUAACUAUGGUACUGGUAGAUUCUUUUUUUUUCCCUAAUAAUAGUACUAUUUAUUAGUAUUAGUGAUUGUAAUAUUAGUGAAACCAAAUCAUGUUUAUGCAAUAACAUUUGUUUGAAAUGACUACUUUUUGUGAUGUCCUUGAAUCAGUGCAAAAUGCUGUUGCAUGUCUGGGAAAGUUGUCUCGAAUCGAGACAAACUGUGAGCUUGUUAUGAAGCUUGGACCGCCUCAUUAGUGUUUGGCUCGUGCAUAAAUACGUGUACUAAUGAUACUUGUAUUAGUUUGUGAGUUUGAUGUAACUAGGGCCUAAUAGCUCCAUUUUAUGCACUUAUUUCUUAUCAAUAUAGUGUUCAUUUGUGGCACUCGUGGGGAAAUGGGAUAGGGCGAGGAUGGGAGAUAAAGCAAGAGCGGGAGAUAUAUAUCAUAUAUGACAAUGGAGCGGGAAGGUAGGGAAAGGCUCUCCUGCCUCAAAUCCGCAUUGUUGCCAUUCUUAAAUGUACUCGCGGGGAAAUGGGACAGGACAGAGACUAGAGAUGGAAUAGGGGCAAAGGACCUAUAUGACAACAAGGUAGGAGGUAGGGAAAGCUUUCCCGCCCCAAAUCCAAAUCCGGUUCGCUGCAUCUUUAAAGGGUUAUUAUUACUUUACCCCCUUAACAUUCGGUGUCACUAUCAAUUUCUCCCUUAACAUUAUUAUCAUUUAGUCAUUUUAUCCUCAGAACUAAUGGUUAAACUUAACGGAAUUUAUUAAUUAAAGUAAAAAGACAAGUUUAGCCUUUAAAGUUACUAUCACUUUACCCCCAUAAACUAUAACUUCAUUAUCAAUUUACCCCAUAGAGUUAUUUUUUAGGCAAUUUAUUCCACCAUUAAACCAAUUUAGCAAGUUAAAAAAUUUUAGAAGAAAGUACCCUCAUUUUUAUAUAAUAAAAAUAAUAAAAAAUUUAGAGUGACUCUUCUAUUCUUUAGUAUCAAGAAAAAAGUCAAAAUAUUAAUCUCUUUCUUUUUGGCGAUCUUAUUAAUAUUAAAAAAAAUAGAAAGAUCGGGGGGAAAGGGAGAGGGGAAAGAGAGAUAGAGAGAGAGAACUCAAUUUUUUUUAAAAAAUACAAAUAAGAAAGAAUUAAAUACUUUUAUUAUUUAAAAUUAUUUUACUUUAUUAUUUACCACCAGAUUUCAAUCCUAAUCCCAAUACGAUAAUGUUAGAUUUUUUUUUCUUUGUAAAAUCUAAUUUUCUGUCUCCUUCUUUCCUAUCUCUUUUUCUUCUUCUAGUAUUAAUAAGUAUGUAAAAAUAAAUUUGAGAAAACUCUUUUAUUUUUAUAUUUUUGGAUCUCUUAAAGUGAAAAAAAAAGAAUAAUCAUUCCGACUUUUUUAUUUUUAAUUAUAUAUAUAAGGGUAAAUAUAUUUAAAAUUUUUUUAUCAUACUAGUUAGAUUAAUGGUAAAGUAAAAUGUUUAGAAAAUAAUGUUAGAAAUUAAAUUGAUUAUAUCAUUAUAAUUUAAAGGAAUAAAGUAGUAAUAAUAAUGUAGUAAUGCUAUAGAAUAAAAAAGUAUUUUUAUUCAAAAUUUCUUAAUAUGUCGAGUUGAAUUACUUAUAGAGGUGAAAUGAUUAAAAAAUAACGUUAAGAAGUAAAUUGAUAGUAGCGAUAUGAUUGAGCGGGAUAAAGUGAUAAUAACCCUAUCUUUAAAUAGAUGUAUAGGAAAGUGGCCUUGCUCUUACACAUUCAAACCUACAAGUUGUAAGCUUUUGACUAUGUGCUUUUUUCCUAAAUUAUAGACACUUUAGCGGAAAUUCAGACACGAUUAGGUGUCAAAAUUUGACUUUGUGUACCGAUUGCAAUGAUUAUUUUUUCCAUCCCGAGAUGAUGGUAGUAAGUAAUAGUAACACAAAUUUGCAAAUGCCCCAUAAAACACACAGACUAGUGUCUAUUGAUUUGACACACACACACAUAAAAAAAAAAGCAAAAAAGAAAAUACUAGUAUCUUUUUUGAAAGAAAAGAGAAAAAAAAAUUAGUGUCUAUUGUGAAAAGCGUGAUGCGAUUCAAAUCACAAAAGCUUUCACUUGGAUUUUGCAACUGAUUCACGAAAGAAAAGGUUAGGCCGCAGAUAAAUAAUUACUAUAAUAUUUUUUAUAAUUUAAUAUAUAUAUAUAAUAAAAAUAUAAUUUAAAAUAUAAAAAAUAAAUUAAAAAAUAUAUUUAUGACACUGGAAAAUAUUAUGUCAGAAGAAAGCAAUCCAAACACAUCCAUAGUUUCUUUCGAAGGGGUAGAGACAAAAAAAAAGGAUAAGUUGUCAUACCCCCAUUGCUCAAUCAGAAUGGCCUUCUUCAUUUAUGGAAAAGUAAUCCCAUAAGAUCUUCGCACAUACAACUAAAGAUUCACUAUUUACUCCUCUCAUUUAAUUUCCUGAAGACAGACACGCAGGCGCACCCUGCGCCCCCCUCUCUCUCUCUCUCUCCCCCCCCCCCCUCAUCCCCCCUCUCUCCAUCUCUCCACACCGCUUUCUCUCUCUAUUUAUGCCACAAAAUCAUUCAUUUAUGUACUAGCUACAACUAUAAAUGGAGAUGCUGCAUCAGUACUCUGAGUACUCUGUGAAAAAGCCAGUCUUGGCGUUCUGAUUCUUUAAAGCGGUUCAGCUCAGAAAAGGAAUUGGAACUACUUGCGAACCAAAAAAAAUCUUCCGAAAAAACACACAAGUUCUUUUCUUUCUUUCUUUCUUCCUUUUGAAAAAAAAAAAAAAAAAAGAAUCCUUAAUAAGCGUAUAUCUAGGUGAAAAUGACAUGGGUUUUGAUUGGUAUAGUUGUGUCAGUGUUCUGUUUGUAUAAGGUGAUGAGGAAAAAUAAGGAAGAGAGAGAGAAGAAAAAUUGGAUUCCUAGAGGAAGUUCAGGCUGGCCUCUUCUUGGCGAAACUCUCGACUUCAUAGCUUGUGGUUACUCUUCUCGCCCUGUCAGCUUCAUGGAGAAACGGGCGGCCCUGUAAGCCUUCUUCUUGCUUCCAUAAUUUUCGCAUAAUUUACCAUGAUCUUCUUUUCUUGUGACUUAAUUAUCAUUUUCUUCUAGAGUAAGCUAUUCUUUUUGCUUUUUUGUAUAUUAUUGGCACAUGCAGUGUGGUUGAAAUUGUUAAAAAUUCGUUUUGAAGAGGAUUCUUUACAAUCUCCGAUGAUUUGCUGGAAAGGGCAACAGUUCCAAGCAAGACUUUAAGUUUUGUAUUACAAGUUUCAUCAUUCAUGUGGUUUUUUUACUUUGGAUAUGUGCAGUUUAAGAAAAUUUUUACAUCUAGAUCUUUGGGAAAUAAGAAUCCAUUAAUUUCGACUUGUGGUUGAGUAUUUAGACCGCUCACUCAAAAAUUUUCUAACACCUGACGGUACUAUGUGAAAAAAAACAAAUAUUCCUUCUAGUCUAGUUGUGUUUGGAUUGUAUUUUUCAUGAUUUUUUCGUGGAAAAAUUACUGUUAUGAUUUGAUGUAUAUAAGAAAAAAAAGAUAAAAAAGAAAUAUGAUCACGAAAACGAUGUAAUUUUUUGAGAGAAAACAGCAAUCCAAGCAAGGCUUCCUAACAGAACUUUUAUGUUAUGUGAUAUAUAUAUAUAUAUAUAUAUAUAUAUUUUUUUUUUUUUCAGUUUUGUGCAAUCAAUGAAACUGAUCGUAAUGAAAAGAUGUCCAAUUACUUCAGAGUUAAAAUGCGGAAUUUACAAAUUUUUUUUUUGGUAAUUUAAAAUUGUCUUUAAAAUUUUUUAAAAGGUUAGGCCAGCAGGUAACUUAAGUAACGUACUAUUUGAUUUGCGAUAGCCCUUCAAUUCUAGAAAGAGAAAAGGAAACGAAGUAAGAAGACAAUCACCAGAUUUGUAUGGUACCUAAUAAUAUGUUAGAGGGGAGGUCUUGUUUUGUUACUUUCAUAAACGAAACUACUACUGCUACUUUGCAGGACCAUUUGAAGUAAUAGACUAGUUCUUUUAGGCUGUUGGAUUGGAUAUAGCACUUGUUUUUUUUUUUUUUUUUUUAAAAAAAUGCAGUGGAAUGUAGUGGAUUUGCACAAUUAACGAAAGAAAAUCAAAAAAGAAAAAACAUGUUAUUGUUUUUUUUUUGUUGGUGGUGCGGUGCCAUUCUGGAUCAGGACCCUGUCAAUUAAUCCAAGUAGGAAAUAAAAAUGAAAUAUGUAUAUAUCCUUUACUUUCCAUCUGUAUGUGCCUAAAAUAAUUCGGCGGAUAUAUGGUAAUAACAGCAGGUAAAUUAGAAAAUAGUAGAAAUAAAGUCAGUAGUGACUCGGAAACGUCAAAAGAUCCUUUACCUUCUUGUUUCCUACUCACCUUUAUGUAUGUGUAUGUGUAUGUGGAUGUGUAUAGUAAUUGUCUUAUUAUCGCAUGAUUAGCACGAGAAGACACAGAGUGCGUGCUUUUACGAGUCUCAAAUUGAUAAAAUGGCUUCAUCCAUCAUUGCUAGUUGUUGGCGUGGUAAAGUUACUUGUUUGUGAUACUAUGAAAUUUUCUCUAAGCUUUAUGUUUUUUUUUUUUUUGGAUUUAUUAUUAAUAAUUUGCCGACAAUUGCUUUUCCAGAAGAUUGUGAUACGGAUGGAGUUUUUUUUUUUUUUAAAAAAAAAUAUAUAUAUAUAUGUAUGUGUAUUGCAAGUGACUAUACGGUUGGCUGGCUUGCGUUGAUGGAUGAUCGAUCAUAUCCAUUGAUGUUGCAUAGGUUCCACACAGAACCCAUAUUCACGUGUGUGUUCAUUGUCAUACGUUUGUAGCAUUACGAUAUAUCUAUCACUCCAGCCUUUUCUAUAAUUGAUGGAUGAUACAGCUGCUAAAACAUUAACAUUCAUGCCCUCUCUCCGAUAAGACACAAAAAACCCCACAGCUCGUUCUUAGGUCAUCCAAUCGAAGAUAUAUAUAUAUAUAUAGUCCAUCCAAUAUUGAGGCCUUUGUUUAGCGAAUCAUCAAUUCUUUUUUUUUUUUUUUGUCUCUCUAUCUCUCUCUCUCUCUCUAUAUAUAUAUAUAGAUAGAUAUAUAUAUAUAUAUACAUUGUUGGAGUUCUUUUACAAAUUAACCAAGAAAUCACAUGUAUAUUUUGUUAGAAUUCUUGUAUAAAUAGUCCUCUUUUGACGAAGGGGCUCCAUAAUCUUUAAUGCGAAAGUAGAGGGUUAUAUUGCCUGUACCAUUGUUAGGAAUAAUCUCCCUUUGUCCAUUUACCUUGACUAAUCAUCGUUGCAUCGCUAUCAGACUGCGCGUGUCUUGCAAUUUGAGGAAAUUGUCUGAAACGAAGGGUAAAUUGGAUUAAGACAUCUGCCCAUCGACUGUAAGGAAUUUUUUAUUUUUUAUUUUUGGCUGGAGUGGAGUCACGCUACCCUGACUGAGGAGGUUUUUGGCUUCAUUUCAUGAACUGCAGAAGGAGAGAGUGAUACGAGUAGCGAAGAGCUUGACGUUAAAUUGUACACGUACUGGUUGUGGCAGAUUUGACUGCUGAAAUUAAUAGUGCUUGGGUGUGAUGUGGAAUUUUCUUUUUUUUAAAAAAAUAAUUACUAUAACGAUUUUUUGUCAUACACAGAAUGUAAAUAAAAUAAUUUUUUUCAAAAAAAAUAACGUAUUCGUGAUAGAAACCAAAAAAAAAAAUAUAAAUAUAAAUAUGACUUAUGCAAACACGUACACCGGUGUGACCAGGUACGGGAAGGUGUUCAGAACACAUAUCUUAGGCAAAGCCAUAAUCGUGUCAACAGACCCGGAGGUGAACAAGGUUGUUCUGCAGAAUCAAGGGAACGCUUUCAUUCCUCAUUAUCCAAAAUCCAUCUCCGAACUGCUGGGCAAGUAUUCAAUAUUGCACAUUAAUGGACCUCUGCAGAAAAGGCUGCAUGCGCUCAUCGGAGGCUUCCUGAGGUCACCCCAGUUCAAGGCUCAAGUCACUCGAGACAUAGAAGAAUCCGUUCGACAUGUCUUCUCAACCUGGAUGCAAAAACAGGACCGACGAAUUUACCUCCAAGAAGAAAGCAGGAAGGUAGGUAUCUAUUAUUAUUGUCUUUUUUUUUUUUUUGGUUUGAAUCCUCGCCACAAAGACAGAGGUACCUGUUUCUUUAAACAAUUAUUGUACUUGAGGACGAUUAAAUAAAACCAUGGUUAAUGUUUCAGAUUGCAUUUGAAGUCAUGGUAAAAACUUUGAUGAGCGUCGGCCGGGGUGAAGAUUUGAAUUUGUUGAGAACGGAAUUUGAAGAAUACUGCAAAGGCUUGAUUUCUUUGCCCGUUAAACUUCCUGGAACGAGGUUGUACAAAUCUUUGAAGGUACAAACGCAUCCUAUAUAUGCAAUUGCAAUUGCAAUUGCAAUUGCAUGCAUGCAUCCAUCCAUCUAAUUAAUAUUUCCAACGGUUUAAUUAUUUACGUUGGAAAUAUAUAACGCAACGCAGUAUAUUUGACCAUUCAUAGAUUUUUUUUUUUUUUAUAAAAAAAAUUGGUUGCUGAAUUUGAAGUUAGUCAUUGGUAGGGUUUGCACGUGAAUAUUAUUAGGGUCCAUGCAGGCUAAAGACAGGAUGUUGAAGGUGGUUAGAAGCAUAAUACGGCAAAGAAAGAUGGCUGCUUUGGAAGAAAAACAAGGAAUGAAUGGGCUGCUGAAUGACGUAAUUGAUGUAUUAUUGCGCGACACGUUUGAAUCAUCAGCAGCAGAGGAGGCUCAGCCACGGCUGCCGUUGGAUUCGAUAGGUGAGAACGUCAUAGAGUUGAUGAUUCCCGGUGAAGAGACUGUUCCGACGGCUUUGACGCUAGCAGUCAAGUUCUUGAGUGACAGCCCCGUCGUGCUAGCCCGAUUGCUGGUAUGUACCAGUACUAGAUUUUUUCUUCUUUGUACCGUGGCUGGCGCUAGCUUGGAUUUUACGAUUGUUUUUUCAAUCGACGGAUAGGAGGAUGAGGUUCUGGGUAAUCCUACGGCUGGGAUCAACUAGAUCCACGAGCUUCCAGUGGGCCAUUGGAUGUCAACUUCACUUUAUGAUUGUCGUACUCGAUUGACUUUCAAAUGUCAUUUUCAAUCAGACACACGAGCGCCCCCCACACGUGGGGAAAUGCUCGUCGGCCCCACCAUGGUCUGUUUGGACUUAUUCUAGCCGUACGAUUUGGAUUGAACGGCUGUCAGCCGGUGGACCAAUCUUACAACUACGUACCUUCUUUGGAUUUUUUUUGUCCUUUAGAAAAAUUCUUAAACCAUUUUUUGUGAGCACAAUUUGUAAUUAUUUUUUUACCUUAUAUAUUUUUUAAAACACUAAGGCCUAAGCUCCUUUUUUUUUCCUUACUAUUUUAUACUAUUAUUUUUGUCCGUCAAGUAGUGACUUUUUUUUUUCCAAAAAAAAUGGUGGCUUUUUUCACUAGCUAUUUUUUCUUUUUUCUUUUUUUUUUUGGAGGGGAGGCUUCUUUCUUUCUUUUUCGGUGUCAGCCUUCUUUUGGUCGGUGUCAGCCUUCUUUCGGUCUAGGUACUACUACAAAUUUCUUUCAAGAUUUCCUUCUUUCUUUCCGGGUACUACUGCAAGUUUCUUACAACUAAUAUGUUUGGGUAGCGAAUUUUUUCAAAAAAUGUUUCACUCGUAUUAUAAAUAUAUUUUUUAAUUUAUUUUUUUAUAUUAUUAAUCAUUUUUUAUUUUAAAUGUAUCACAUCACAUUAUAAAAAAUGCUAUAAUAAUUAAUCAAAAUAAUUAUUAGGAAAAACACUACUCUUAUCAAACAAAUUAAGCCUCCCUUCCAAAUUUAAGUAGUGUGUGCUUCUUGUAAGUUGUAACCUCUUAUCACUUGGGCAGGAGGAGAACAUGGAACUGAAGCGGCAAAAGGCUAAGUCGGGUGAUGAAUAUUAUUGGACUGAUUAUGUCUCGCUCCCAUUUACCCAGAAUGUAAGUUGCUGAGUCGCUGUACCAUGUAACCAAUAGAGUCUAGACCCGCCAAAAUGAAGAAAGGGAACAUUCUUUUUUUUUUUUUUUUAAAGAAUUGCAAUAUUCAAGUAUCUUGUUCUUUUCUUCUUUUGGUCACUUCAGGUCAUCAGUGAAACUCUGCGAAUGGGCAAUAUCGUGAAUGCAGUUUGGAGGGAAGCAGUAAAAGACGUGAAAAUUAAAGGUAUGUAGCUCUCUUUACUUUUAUGGACGUGUCGUUUGCCAAAAGCAGGUUGUACACUACCCUUUUUUUUUUUUUCCCUUCACAAAUUCUCGUCAGGAAAAUGCUAAUUUAGGUUGUGGGGGUUCUUUUCCCAGGCCACUUGAUACCAAGAGGAUGGUGUGUCUUGACAUCCUUCAGUUCACUUCACAUGGACGAAGCAAACUAUGAAAACCCCUAUGAAUUUAAUCCCUGCAGAUGGGAGGUAUACGUGUCUUGUCCGAUUAUCUGUCUUGUUACCAGUUCAAUGACUUCCUCUUUACAACUUUCAAUUAUCAAUCAGAGCAUCAUUUUGAUGUCGCCCGUGCAAAAUGUCAACAUGGAGACGAAACAAAAAGAUUCUUUGGUCUGGAUACCAUUCUAAUCAACAUUUUUUUUUGGGCAUUGGUUGGUAGAAAACAGGAGCUUCGGUUAACAGCAACACAUUUACACCAUUUGGUGGUGGCCAGAGGCUGUGUCCCGGUUUAGAACUGUCGAGGCUCGAAAUUGCUAUUUUCCUUCAUCAUCUUGUUACAACAUACAGGUCAUUUUCUUCGUCUUCUUUCUUUCCUUUUUAUUAUUAUUUUUUUUAAAACUUCCUGUGACAAAUAGAUAGUUGAGACUUGAGAGAGUCACAUGCGGAUGCUACCCCUAAAACUUUUAGCAGUGGCACUAUGGUUUCUUAUUGCAUUAGGUGGCUAAGGUGGUGACGGGUGAAUACUGAAAGUAACGGCAGCUAACACGAUCUUUCAUUUUCUCCCUUGCAGAUGGGUGGCCGAAGAUGAUGACAUUACCUAUUUUCCAUUCGUCAGACUGAAACGGAAGCUGCCGAUCACCAUCACACCCCUAGUAAGCGCAUAAUGAAAGAGAGAUCAAAUGAUGAAAGAAAGGAAAAAAAAAAAAAAAAGACGGUUGGAUAACCAUAAACCUAAGGCAAGGGUCAUCCCCCGCAACCACAGGCCUUACAAGAUGAGACUAUAUCAAUUAUUACUACCUGUAGCACAUCUCCCCGAGAUUUUAAGCGUUUUGAUCAAUCUAAAUUUUACUGCAAUCCUAGAGCGUUGGAGUAAUGAUAUUUAUCUUCGUGACUUGUAAGACAAAUGGCAUAUGACUUCUCUAUUGUAAGUACAUAUCAUUGAGUUUGUUCCGGGGUCACUGUCUUUCUUUUGAUUGAAGAAGGGUUUUCUUCUCCCUGGGCCCUGAUAGAAAACUGAUUAGUUAAGCCUGCAAGUGGAGUGGGGUUAUGAUUUCUGACCUUUAUCAUCAGAGCCAUCAUGGCAUGAAAAUCUAUAUUUUCUUCUUCUUCUUUGAUAAGAAUGGAUGAAGGUGCAUGGUGGUCCUCUACCACGUCCAACAUGUGCUCUGCUGGUACAUCGACAGUGUCUGGUAAUCGAACGACGACAAUCCUGCAUCUCUCCCUUUUUUUUUUGGGUGAAAAAAGUCUCUUUUUUUUUUGGUACAAAAAAGUUUAAAUGAGUUCGAUUCCAAUUAUCAUCUUUGAUCAGGAUAUGCCUUGAAAUCAUAAGUCGCUUAUAAAAAUUUUUACAGAUCGUUUACCAACAGAAUUCUCUUAUUGAUAGUAAAAUACGAACACGCCCACGUUUCAUCUUUUGCAAACAUUGGUUUAAUGAUGUUAUAGCUUUAACCUUCAUCCCUGUCUACCCGAUAAACAAUACGUUGUAGGGCAUUUGCAUGAUUAUGCUCGUGCUUUAAUGCCUAGUACGGCCUAAAUUGCUGGAAACUUCAAACUACAGCUGACAUAGGUUAUUUUCAGCAGUCAAUACAAGAGUUAUUGUAGAUUAUUUUGGCUCAAUCGCUAAAUCUGUCUACUUUUUAUCCUGCCCUUUAGAUCUAAGAUUUGUAUGCGGACUGAUUGGAACAAAUAUAGGUCAAUGUAGGCCAAGAAAUUCCAGCUGAAUUGUAGACAGCCCGCAACUGCUAGUUCAAACGGGAAUCACUACAAGAAAACUGACUUUUCACGACGCCAGAAAUAUGCUGCAAAAAGUCCAAAAACCGCCGCGAAAACCUUUUUGCGGCACAAAUGUGACGGAAUUAAAUUGUGCCACAAAAGUAGCCGUUACAAAAGAAAACGACACAAUUUUUCAACAUGUCACAUGCAUUUGCAUCACUCUUUGCGACGCCAAUUUGAGUGUCACAACUCUACUUGCGGCACAAAAAAUGCGCUACAAAAUGUCCACAAUGUCAUGCGACAAAAACUUGCGUCGCAAAAAAGUCACCAAUAUAAAGACCAGAAAUCAAUUUUUUCAUGGUACAAUAAUUAUCAUGCUCAAACAUCCUAAAAUCGAAUAUUAUAACAAAAUAUAGUUCCACAAUACACUAGAAUAAAGUACCAUACAUUGUUUUAGUCAAAUUCUACAAACUUUAUCAUUUAAUAUUGUUCGCUCCAAUUACAAGAUGUUUCAUAUAUUCCAAAAUGUGCUUGAAUUCAAAAGUACAGCACUUCAUCAUACAUCUCUCAAAAACAUCUUCAUAUCUCCCAAUCCGCAUGCUUCCAAUGUACCAUCAAGUCCAGGGCUGCAAAGUGUAUUCUAUUAGUCCCCUGCUCAUAUAACCCCAGCCCAUUAAGCAUGAAGAAAACGUUAAUAUAACAAUAGAUACUGAAACGGAAUUUGUAAUUCAACCUUUUCACAGACAGGGACGGAGCCAGAAAUUUAUUUUUGGGGGGACUGAAGUGUAUUAAAAAAUUUUUUUUGUGACGAAAUAAAUAUAUUUAAUAAGUAAAAUUUAGAAUCAAUAAUUAUAAAAAUAAUAAAAACAUAUAAUUAUACAUACCCAAAAAUUUGUUAUUGAUUAACACUUGAAGUAUUGGUAGUUGUUGCACUCGAAUAAUUCAAUUCUUUUUUUUUUUAAGGUUGAGAACUAGAAAUAGUAAUUUAUUUUAACUUUUAAAUCUUGAGAACUAAAAGUGCAUUUUUUUUUCAGUUUGGUAAAAUAUGACGACUUUGUAAAGCUUAACACCUGCUUGAGAGGAAAAGUAAACACAGAUGGUUUACUCAGGAAUAGAAAAAUAAUGACAAGUUGAACAACAGAAAAGAACAUUACAAUGUACUAUGUGUCUAGCUUGUGUACAGAAUACAGUCUUGAUCCAAUUGUGAUCCAUGCCACUUAGACUAAGCAAUAACUGCUAAAACUUCAAAUUCAUUCACAAAAUGUAAUAAGGUCUCCAAAAGAGAGAAUGGGAAAGACUUUGAGAAGUUCCAUUUGCAGUGGGCAAAGACUUGACGUACUCAAACUAAACAAAGCUGGAUAUUUGGAACUUUCUUGACUUUAGGCUGCCCAUCCAGCAUUACUACUCAAUUCUGCACAGACUGGAAACCACCUCAAUUGCCAUAAAUUCCAUACAAAAGGUCAAUGUCCACUUUGGGGACCAGGCCAGUUAAGAAGCACCCAAAUAAUGAAAGCACCACACCCAUCCAUUAAUUUAACGUCGCGUUAUCAAGCUGGCAUAUUGCCCAUGAAUUCUUCAUCCUCUUAGCCAGGAACCUUCUUGUCUCGUUCUCACUCGGCCAAGUAUAAAAAGACAUUCCCAAUGCUGAUGUCCUCGCUCAAAUCCAAAGCUAUCUGAUCAUAUACUAGCAUAUAAAUUAACCCCCGCUUCAAUUCUUCUCUAGAAUUUCACCUUACGACUUUCAUACUAGGGAUUUCUUCCAGUUAGUAUUAUUACCAAAAUCUAAACCAAUGGCCGCCGGAAUCCCCUAUAUAUAGGGGGUUUUCCGGCGGCUUGGGGGGGGCUUAAGCCCCCACCAGCCCCCCCUUAAAUCCGUGGCUGUUCACAGAUACUGAAAAUUAAGACCACUUCUACUACAUUAUGUCCCAUAAAUAGCUGGCUAAAUCUUAACAAAAACAGCUCGUCUUCCCAAUCAUACAAAUACUCAAUGGAAAACUUGACAGAAUAGAGUUAUUUCCAGAAACUUUUCCAGUACCUCAAGCAAGUCGUUUGCAAGUAGUCCUGCUCCUUUUCUUCUUUGUAUGAUGGUUCUGGUAUAACAAAAGACUAGUCAAUUAAAUAUCAACAAGGAGCUCACGCACAAAUAGUCAUCAACAAGGAAGUCAUGCACAAUUCAAUAUCAACAAGGAACUCAGCAAAAUUGGUCUUCUAUAGAAGGACCAACUCAAAGUACGCAUACUAUACCUCAAGAAUAUCAGCAAUUGAAGAAACUUUUUUAUUCAUUUCACACUUGUUUAUUUCAGCAUCAUUUGUUCCAACUUCCUUGUACAUUUCAGCAUCAUUUGUUCCAACUUCCCUGUUCAUUCUAUCACCAACCUGUUACAUUAUCAACAAAGUGUGAAGAAAAGAAAAUCAGGCCAUAGCUGCUGAUAUUUCAGAGAGUUUGAACACAAAAUCGAAUUGUAUGAAUUAAUAUACAACCUCUAAUGAGUCCGAAAUUUGAGAUUGUUUUGCUGCAUUCAUUUCUCUUCUUUGGAGUGAUGCCAAGUCACAUGUGGAUGCCCUCUGGAAGAACAAAGAUCAAUAGUAACUAAAGCAAUAAAAAAAUUAGAAAAACUAUAAUAUUUAACCAAAUAGUUAUCCCAAACCAUUCUUGCUUCAAAUUGAGCAAUCAACUCCUCCUUAAAAUCUGCCAAUUUCGAAUUCAUUUCUUCUCGUAGUUCACCACGUAUGAUUUCCACUUUCUCAUUCACUGCAUCCUCAAAUGCUUUCUUUUGUCCAGCAUUCAUGUUAUCUGACAUCCUAUACACGUCUUUUGGAGUCGCACCUACCCCAUAAGUUCGAAGACGACCUGGUUUUUCAGGUCCAAGAAUAUUUUCAUAGAGUAUAUCUUUCACAAAAUUAUCAUCCCUGGAUGUCUCUGGCAGUUUUUGUAUUUCCUCAUUCAUAGUUGCCUAAAUUGAAAAACAGAAGAAAGAAUUAUUUAUGAAGUAAAACCAAUAAAAAGUGACUAAAAGCUAUUCUUACAAUUGUUUGUGAAGUCAACUCAUCCAUUUGUUUUCCUUGUCUUGAAUGAAUAAAAACGUCUAGUUUCGAAGGCUCUUUUCCAGUUUUAAUCCGAAGCUGCCACAUAUUCAAUGUACAAACUAAAGUGUUAAUAUUUCUAAAUAAGACUAUGUUCCAGAAAAAAUUGCUAGAAACAUAAGCAUUAGAAUUUAAUAUACCUCUUCCCUGAGGUUCACAUGAUCUUUUCGCCCUGUUCGAUGUGGCAUCUUUUGUUUUUUUCGAUUCUUGCUAUUAAUCUUGCUUUGCUUCUAAUUAUGUACAAAACAGAAAAAGGUAGUUAACAACACAUCAAAAUCAUAAUAGCACUAGAAUUUAAUUCAAAAGCAAAAGAGAUGUGACAAUAAAUACAUGCCUUGACAUCUUCUGAGCUCCAAUAAUCAACCAAAAUAGGCCAUUGAUCCUCCUCAACUCUUGCAGGACAGUGUGCUAAUAGCCAUGACCUGUGCCUCCUAUAAGGAGUGAAAUACAUGCUCUUGACUUUUGAUUUCCAAUUUCUCCACAAUUUGCUGACCCUUAUCAUUUGUACUUUCUUGCAUGUAUCAUCAAUAUUUGUAUUUCUCUAUCAAAAAUUACAAAACAAAAGUUUAAACAUUCACAAGCUACAAGAUUGUAUGAAAUAAAAAGAAAAAAAAUGUUGCUAACUUUGAUAGUGAGUCAAAAUACCUUAAUAUCUUCCCAAAAUCUCUCCUUAGAUCCUUCAGGCAUGGCCCUCCAAUCUGUGUACGUGAGUGGUAAUUUAUUACCAUCCUUUACUAAGAUUCCUACUUGACUUAUAUACUGUGUAGCAUUAGGACCAAUUACUUGGCCCCGUGCAUUCCAAACUAACUCCAAUUUCUUUCCACCACCCCAACCAGCACUUCGUCUGGCUAGUCCUCUACCACUAUUGUCUCCUGUGUACAAAAAACACAUACACAUACAAAAGAAAAAAUUGUGAUUCAUAUAAUUUUUUUUAUGAAUAUUAUACAAAGCUUAUAAUAAGGAAUGCUAGACUCAAAACUAUUUGUGGUAAUCUUUUCUUUUCCAACCGACUUUCUUCACUAGAAUCAUCAUCAUCAAAAGUACCAUCAAAGACAUCCUCUAUGUCUUCUGAAUCAUAUGAAGAACCUGAUCCAGCUUCAGAAUCAUUGUUAUCAAAGGAAUCUGGUUGCUCACGAUGGUCUACUAGUGGUUGAGAAUGAAAGCCUUGACCGAUAUGUGAAUUAGGAUGGGAAUUUAGUUGAGAAUCAGCCUUGGAGUUCAACUGAUGUGAAUUGGCUUUAGAGUUGAACUGAGAAGCAGCAAUAAAGCUAGAAGCUGAGUUUGAAUUUGAAUUGGAGUCAUGUGAUUUCGCUUGACAAUUAGGUCGAGAAACAGAGUUUGAGCUAGAUGUAGGGUCUAUGCGUAUUCCAGGCAUUGCCCCAAUGAAUUUAUGUGCUGGAGGCUUUGAAUAAUGACUGGGGCAAGUCUGAUAAGAUUGAGAGCUUGACUGUGAAACAGGGUUCAAACUAUUAGUGGACUCAAUAUGCGCUCCGGACAUUGGCCCAACAACUUUGUGGGGCCCCUUCUUACUUGGUGCCAUGGAAAACCUAUAAAAGCAGCUUCUGAUUUUUGAAGGCAAAGUUAAGUAAGAUGAUUAAUUUUACUGGCUUUUUUCAGAAACCAAUCACAUAAUUCAGCAAGAGAGUGUUGUAUCAUCUUACUUUUGGAGUUUAAGUUUCUAAAAUCUGCAAACACAAAGAACAUAUACAUAUUAAGGAACUAUAACCCAAUGAAACCAACAUUACCAACUUGCUAAUAUGAACAUAAGGAAUCAUAAAUUGAACAUAAGGUAAAUCCAGCAUUACCAACCUGCUAAAAAAAAAGUAGAAUGCAGGUUAUCAAGGAGACUAAUAUGAACAUAAGGAAUUAUAAAUUGACAUCCAAGGCAGUGAAAAUGAUCCCACAAUUAAUAUUUUUCAUACUAAUCAGUAACUUCAUCUAAUAUUGGCAUAUCUAAACUUCAUCUAACAAAAUGUUAGGAUUAUAUUCCAAAAUUAGAGUCAAUCAUCAGCCUUGUCUCCUUGUUGGGCUUUAUCAAAAAAAUCAUCAUCAUCACUUGUAUCAUCAAUCGUAUUGUCAAUCCCAAGAUUAUCCUCAUCAGAGAAGAAUCCAUCAUCAACUUCAGCAACGUGUGCCUUGGAUUUUGUAGUUUGUGCAUCAAGUAUAACUCCAUCAACACCUUCCCUAACCCAUGAAACAUUACUAUCCUCAGAAUUAUUGUUAUUAACAUGUUGCCAAGCAGAAUGCUCAUCCUGGAUAUCUUCACAUAUGUUAAUUUCUGGAUCAAUAAUGAAAAGAUCUCGAGGGGUCAUCUUGACAACUAUAUUCCAUUCAGGUUCCAAUGCAUCCCGAGCAUACCAAGCUUGCUGUGCUUGAGAGGCCAGGAUGAAAGGCUCAUCAUUCUUCGUGUUUUGCUUGUACAAUAUAUGAUCAAAGUUAACAAGUGUGAAGUUGUGUUCAUCUUGUUUCAUUCCAAUGACAUUAUCAACCCAAUCACACUUGAACAUCACAAAUUUAAUGUCAUUUGAGUAUCUCAACUCAACAAUAUCCACUAAGACCCCAUAGUAUUCUAAAAUUCCAGAUAUAGGGUUCUUAUCCUUUGUACUAGCGAAACUAUUGGCACUAGCAUUCACAAAUACACCACUAUUUUGAGUUUGCCUUCUCAUCUCACGCUUCUUAGUAUGGAAACGAAAACCAUUAACAAUGUAACCAGAAUAGCUUUUUGCCCACUUAUCAGGACCAGCAGCCAAAUAAGCAAUUUCUUUAUAAUAAUCAUGGCAACUAUUAGAUUUUUCCAAAUCUGCAACCUACAAGUUUUGAACAAAAACUGUUAUUGUAUGUUAACUCUAGAGAAUAUUAAAUAUAUGAAAAUGAAGCUCAAUUAAAUUCACUACUGAAUUUAAAACUUACAUGCUUCUUAAACCACUUGUAAAAUGUUUCACUAUGAAUUUUCUCCCUUUCAUAGUUUGACAUGCGUGGUUUUUCCAGUUUUAGCAAAUGCUUAUGGUCCCUACAUUAGUCAUUAAAUACUUUAAUGAAAGCAAUAAUUCAUGAGUUAUUGAUUAAGUUUGAUAAACUGUGAACUUACCUGCGAAAAGGAUCAACAGUUUCAAGAUUUCCAAGAACAUAACGAUGAGCUUGAACCCAAGAGACAUCAUCUAAAUAGAUGACCUCUUCUUUUCCUAAGGGACGGCCAAUCUGUCUAUUUAAAUAUUCACCUUCAUAGUUCCUAGGUGGGCGAUUCAACUUUGAUUCAAUAUUGUCCAAGUACAUGGAACAGAAUGUCAUACAUUCUUCCGCCAAGUAGCCCUCUGCUAUUGAACCUUCAGGGUGACUUCGCUCCGUACAUAAUUUUUCAAAGUACACAGAUACCUAUGCAUAGAAUUUAUAUUAAUAUCGGUGGUGAUUUUUCAAUGUACAUAGAUUAAGUUGAUAAUCUUUUACCUCUCAAUAGGAUACAUAGACCGAAAUUGAAAUGGUCCACCAAGUUUCGCCUCUUCAGGCAAGUGAACAAGCAAAUGCUCCAUGAUAUUGAAAAAUGGAGGUGGAAACAUCUUCUCAAGUUCACAAAGGGCCAGUGGAGUACGGUCCUCCAAAGUUUCACAAUCUGCUACAGUAAGCACUUUCGAGUAUAAUUGCCUAAAUAUAUCUCGUAACUCAAUGAUAAUUCUGCAAACAUGUUUAGGCAAUAUUCUUCUCACAGCAAUGGAUAACAAUUGUUGCAUUAAUAUGUGACAAUCAUGACUCUUUAACCCAGAGAUUUGUCGUUCUUUAAUAUUCACACACCUCGAAAUGUUUGAUGCAUAACCAUCAGGGACCUUGACAGUUUUUAGCACAUUACAAAAAAUUUCUUUUUCAUCUUUGCUCAUUGUGAAGCAUGCAGGUGGAAGAAACACUUUGUCACCCUUAGAUUGUGGGUGAAGUGCCUUUCUUAUCCCCAUUUCUUUUAGAUCAUAUCGAGCAUUAAUGUCAUCAUUUGUCUUGCCCAUCCCCAACAGUGUCCACAAGAGAUUCUCCAAGAAAUUCUUCUCAAUAUGCAUUAUAUCCAGAUUAUGUGGAAGCAAAUUAUCCACCCAAUACGGUAACUGAAAGAAUAUAUUCAAUCUUUUCCAAUUAUACCUACAUAUGGGACUUUGUUCAGAGUCAUUAUUAUCUUGAAUGGGUUAAAUCCAUCCGCUGCAAGUCUAACACGAACAUUGCGAGGAUCACUAGCAAAGCUUGGGUGCCGGUCAUUAAAAUGCUUCCAAGCUAAAGAGUCUGCCGGAUGCCUCAAUUUUCCAUCCUUGAUGCACUCCUCUUCAUGCCAUUUCAUUAAUGAAGCAGUCUUUGAUGACAUGAACAGCCUUUGGAGACGUGGUUUCAAAGGAAAAUAGCGAACAAGCUUUGCUGGAACUUUGUUAGCUUGUUCACUUGAAUCAUCGGAUUGUUUUACAAUUUGCUUAUACCUAGGAGUUCCACACUUUCUGCAAAAGGUUUCAUGUUCUGUCUCCUUCCAAUAAAUCAAGCAAUCAUUGGGGCAUGCAUGAAUUUUAUGGUAGCUAAGACCCAAGUCUUUAACAAUCUUCCAACCAUCACGAUAAGAGCUUGGAAAUAAUUCAUUCUCAGGAAAAACUUCCUUGAGAAGCUCCAGUAAUAUUGUCAUUGAGUUGUUGCUCCAUCGACAAAGAGACUUGACAUGCAACAACUUGAUGACAAAUGAUAGAAGAGUAAAAUUUUUACAUCCAGGGUAUAACUCUGUAUCGGCAUGCUUCAGCAACUUAAAAAACUUAUUAGUCUCUUCAUCACAGGCUCCUCUAAGUUCUUCUAAAUUUAUGUUAGAAUUCUCUUCAAGUGUUCUUCCAAGUGUUUCGUGUAUCAAUUCAUUCAUGUCAUCAUUUUCAAUGCGCCUAAACACUCCAUUGUUCAUAUUUUCUUGAUUGAAGUCCCAUGGAUCUUCACCAUGAUAAAUCCAAUUUGUAUAAGUGGUCAAAAACCCUUCAUUGUUACAUGUGCACGCACAGUUUCUUCCUUUCUUCGUUUUGAGUUUUUACAUCGCCUACAUGGGCAAUAUAUUCUACUCCCAACCUCUUUCUUUUUGUAGGCAAAUUUAAGGAAGUCACUCAGACACUUUUCAAAGUACGGAUUAUUGACUCGGUCUUUAAUAAAGAUCCAAGACCUAUCAUCCAUUCUACAAGAAACAAGAUUGAGAAGGCAAGAAAAGAGACCUUAUAAACAGAAUUGAAAAAUAGCAAAUUUAUUAACAUGCAAAAAAAAUAAAAAAUAAAGUGCAGCAUGUGCAUCCCAGUUUGCUAUGCUCAUAGUGGAAUGCGAUGUUAACAGUUAACCCAAUUUCUCAAUGCCAAAAGAAUGUGGUGAAUUUAUGUCAAUAUGCAAACCAGUGUUCUGUUUACAAGAAAAAGAAACAUAGAUAAAUCAGGGGAGCUAGAUUGUCUUACAAAUUCCUAAUUGCAAGAAACACUUACAUGAAGAACUUAGUGAAGGCUGCUUCAAUGGGCCCUCUGAGAGAGGCACUUACUCAGGGAUUUGAAAUCACAAAGCUGAAAAAGGAGGAUAUGAGGCCCGUAACAGUGAAGGUAAUUUACAGCACAUAGAGAAAAUUAAAGAACAGAACCUAUCUAGGAAUACAUAAAUCUCGCUGCACUGCCUCCUUGUACAGUUUAAAAAUGGAACUUUAAUAACCUGAAGGAUGAAAGGAAUAAUAUCUUUUUGUGGUUUUGGUUUUCUAUAGGACUUUGAGAAUGCACUUCAGGAGGUUAGGCCUCUUCUCACAAUCUUGUUUUUCAAGUGCAUCCGAUAAACAUAGUUUGCUGCUGCAAUAAAAAUUUACCAAUAAACUGUGCCCAACCAUUUGGAAAAUCACAGUCAUGAAGCAUGCAAGUCUAGUCCAAGGCACUCAUUUUACUAGCCCACUAACCUGAGAGUAUAACAGUCAUUCCUCUGUUAGUGCCUAUUACAAUCUACUGCUGAUUGUUCAGUGAUUUUCAGAAGAGUAACAUCCUCUGUCUUUCACAUCCAACCUUGAUUGACUUCAGAUAAAUGCCAUAGAAGGAAAUUUUGUUAUGACGUUACAUAAACGCAACAUGCAAGCUCUACUUCCAGAGCAAACCAGAUAAAGAUGCACUAGCAUCUGUGCCAACCUAUUUGGAAAAUCAUGUCAAGCGUGCAAAUCUAGUCCAUGGCACGCAUUUUACUAGUACAGAAACCAAGAGUAAAAUCUACUGUUGAUUGUUAAGUGAUUUCCAGAUGAGUAAUAUCCUUGUCUUUCUCAUCCAAUCUAGAUUAACUGCAGAUAAAUUCCAUAGAAGAAACAUUCGUUAUGACAUUACAUAGUCAGAGCAGACAAGAAAAGAUACAAUAGCAUAUGCUAAGAAACAUGAUCCGAACUCGAAACCCUAACAAGUCUCUAGAUGUAAAAACAUCGAUUCAUUAAAAAAAAAGAAAAAAAGAUAGCAAUAUUACCAGUUGGAGCGAGACAGAGGAAAAGGAGUGAGUAGAGUAGAUAGAUCUGCAAUCAAAAGUUCUGUAGGAAAAAUAGCUUGGAUUUGGAGUGCGGCGGAGGAUUCCAAAGAAAAAGAGAUCGUUGUGUGCUAAUGCGUGCGAGGAGGACUGAUUUUGGGGCCGGAAGAGCGGCUGCCCUGCCGCUGGUGCUAGGUGGACGCGGAUCGAGUUGGCCCAGAUUUGAGCUGGGGAAUAUGACGAGUAGGGACUGGCGUUCUCCUUCACCUUUUACUUCAUCGAUAAGGAAAAGCGAAUAGGAAGACUUGCUACUUUCUGGAAUACAUUCUAUUAUUAUCGAAAAAUAAGGGAAUGGAUCUAGCUCAUGUGAAGGCACCCUGAACUUAUUAUCAAGAAAGGACAUGUGACCUGAAAAUAUUUGAAACAAAUAUAAUUUAUUUCAGGGUGCCUUUACUAAAAGAUAAACCCCUUCCUGCUUUUGGGGGCUUAUCGAUACCUUUUUACAAGGGAUCAAUACGUGGAUUGUGCUAGGAAACUAUCUUUUAUGGGUUUUAUUAAAACUAUGUCAUUUUUAUGUAAAAAUUAGGAACCGUUGUGAAAUUUGCAGCACAAAUUGAAAUUUGCUGCUUAUUUACCGCACUUUCUCCUUGUGCCACAGCAAAAGCGUUGCAAAAAGCCCGUUUUCUUGUAGUGAAUAUCAUGUCAUUGAAACUGCAGACCAUCUACUAAUUCUUCAACCAACCACACAUUACAAUAAUUCAUUUGUGUUAGUACAAGGUUCGAAGAUGAAAUACCAAUCCGAUUUAGUAUCGUUUUUCUUUCUGUGAGUAAUUAGUGAGACAUAGUUAAAUUGAGCAUUAUCGGUAGGCAUAAGGAUCAUGAUGUUGCUUGCAUUGUGCACCUUUUUGGGUAGCAACUUACAAACAUAAUAACUUGAUUCCUUCCCUUUAACUGAAAACAGUACAUUAUUUGAUGUUCAUGCCAACCGAUCUCCAUUAACCAUGUUGAUUUCCAGUGUCAUAGCCGAGUUAAAGUCAGAGGUUUUCCUUCCUUUCCCCCCUUUGUUCCUCUUUCCCUACGGUGCCUCAAGUCUCAAAUCAGGGCAAAGCAUUCCACGGCUCCAUAAAAUCCCCCUUUUCGUCUAGAUGCCAAUACCAUGUAUGCAAGCGCUAUUAUCCAAUUCAAAUGACACUAGCACCCCUUGUAAUGCAUAUGUGCACAUGCCCAUUGCCUAUAACUCCUGAUGGGGGAAUUCAAGCAUUUCGUUGCAAAAGUAGACCAUGAAUAAGCUUUUAACUCAAUGCGUUUCACCGCACUGAAUCCCAGCUCAAUUCUUUACCAGGCAUAAUAGAAGCUAUCUUCCCAUAAUCUAAAAAUUCAACAAUGUAACAGCAACAUAAUUUGAAAACUUCAGCAAUCCACUUGAGCUCACUAGGAUUGCCUAUAAGGAUGGAUGGGACAAGCUUGAAAAGGAAUGGUCCAAAGUUUUACUAAGCCAUAGCAGUGGGGUAUAUCAAGAAUUUGAGUAUGAAGUUUUACAAUCCUGUGCAAGAGAAGCUAAUAACUAUUCCGUUAAUAUGUGAUAUUUUAAGAUUCACACUUUUUAGUGAAUAAGAAAUUUCCAUUAACAAGGAGGCAACAUAUGUUUACUGCAUUUUUUAGGGAACAACAAUUUCUAAAAUGACGGAGACAAUAGAUUUUUACAGAAUUUUUUAAUACACUUGCAGGAAGAUCACUGGAGACGACGAGCAACAUGCUCUUUGAAUUAUAAAUAAGAGCUUGUACUAGCCGUUGAAAAUCCAAAACAAGGGUAAAAAGAAAGAAAAGGACAACAGAUGUCAAAAUAAAGGAGUCAUGAACUACAACUAUAGUAGGUAGUGUGUAAAGUAAAGCUUACACUGAACAGAUAAAUGCAAUUUCAACUUUCAUCUUCUUCCCGGCACAAAAACUACAAAAUGCUAGAAUGUCAAGCCAUUGUUGCCUUCUUCUCUUCCUCAAUCUGCUGAAGCUCUACCAACCUUUGUGCCCAUGCUCUUUCCCUUGCUACUGCAGCCAUUUUCCGCUCCACCCUCUUUAUCAUUUUCUUUCUUUUGGCCUCUUGUAACUGAGCUUUACGCUUCUUCUUUUCAGCCUGUCCAUGAUUAAGAAUAUCAUAAAAGGGAAAUGCAAACGUCAACAAUAUUAUGCCUUAGCCAGUACAGUAAGUUAUUUUUUCUAAGUAAUAAAUAAAAAAUUCAGUGAAAACCACACAAGUUUUGGCAGAAUCUCAAAAUAGCCAAACCUGAUAAAAUUUACAACAUUAAGACAGAUUAUAGAGCAGAAAAGAGAAGAACCAUUUCAAAUGACAACAGUCCAUUAGAUCACAAAUGAGAUUAUAAGGCCUAAAGAUGUCUGCAAGCACCAUCAGCUAACUAUAGAAUUUCGUGAAGCAGCAAAUUUUCACUGUCAUCAAUCAAAAGCCAGCUUUAAUCACCAGAUCCUAUUUGUAACCCACUCGAGAGCAAAGAGAACAAGAUAGUUUGUUGCGCAUAAACUUGUUCAAGAGAAACAGUUUAACAAGGCAUUUCUCUUGAAUUAGUUCUUUCCCAUCUAUUUUCCCAAUCCAGAAUAAUUUAAUCAGGUUACCUUGAUGAACAUCAUGAAAAUGUUCACACAUUGUCAUCAUAAUUAAAUACAUCAUUUUACACAGACAUUGCAUUUUACAAGUUCCAUAUCGGAUUUCAGUUAAUCCGUACUCCUAGUUAGGCCAGAAUAUAAAAUAGUCACCCACAAAAAAGAUCAGAUUUGGUUAGAAGAUUGAACGCAGAAAACCAUAUAUCAAGCAGAUUAACAAACUUAAUUGAGCUCCAAACAAAAAAAAAAGUUACUGAUUACCAAGAAAAUGAAGCUUAAGACUUUACCAGUAUAAACGCACGGUGCAGCUUAAUCCGCUUUUUCUCAUUUCUUCGCUUCACACUUCCUUCAUUGGGUUGUUUUCCAGCUAUUGGUUCUCCAGGUACAUAUUUCACCCAAGCAUAAGGCCCUAAUAUCCGCAAAUAAAAUUCACCCAAAAAGCAUCAAAAUUUCAGUUAGCUUUUAAAUUACGAGGUGUACAUUUUCUUAUCCCCAAAAUAGCACCAAUUUGUAAUUAAAAUUUGAAACUAAAACUUAAACCCUAAACCCUAGGAAUGGGGAAGAUGAAAAUGUGACCUGGGGGUUUUAAUUGAGCUCUUUUACGAUGAGGCUUGUCACUGGGGCGUCGUUUGGGGUAUCGGGUGUCCGUUAAGCUGUGGAAAGCGGAAGAUGACGGAUUGAAUGGAAGAUUCCGGUGGAAGGAGCCCAAGUGGUGGCGGAAAUGGAGCUCAGAUGCCGGAAAGGGAGAGGAGAUGGCCGCGAUUCGUUGGGGAGCAAGAGCGAAGGUUGUACGGGUUGACAAGAGAGUCCGCGAUACGGGUCGAAUUAUGGAUCGUAGGGCUCCGAGACCCAUGAUUUUACGCCUGAGCGGAGUAAAGUUUUACGAGGUUGGUGCUGUUCUCUAUAGCAGAUUUGACGGCUACCUUGCUUCUUAGUUUGCGGGAGCCAGCAGAAGACGACGUCGUUAAGAUGCUCUUCCCAAACUAACGUUAGAAGGUUACGACUUAAGAAACAUAAAUGAAUAAAAUAAAAUAACAAUAUAAAUAAAAUAUUUUGGAUAGGAGCUUAAUUGAAAUAUUACUUGGAAUAAUUACAAUAGUACUUUAUAAAUUGUCAUGUAUGAGAGAUAAAAUGACGCGUUGAGAAAUUAUUUGUAAUGCGAGUAAAUAAUAGUUUGACACAUAAUUGAUAAGUUUUGUACUAUAAAUGGUCUCACAAACCGAAUUUUUACCUCUAAGGAUUAACACACAGUUUACUAAGACACAGGGUAAGGGCUCGAUUAUAGCUCUAUGUUUUGCAAGAUCCAGAUUAAUUUUUGCUCCUCAAAGCCUAGUCAGGAUGCUAUUCAAUGUUUGUUGCUGCUUGAAAAGAGAAUAUUAAAACCUGGAUUCCUUUAGCUCGCAGAGACGAAGCCAAAUACUUCUCAUGCACACAACUAUUUAAUCCCAGAAAAAUGUCAGCUUGGGACUUUGCAAAUUGCAAUUUCAGAACAAUCGCAUAGUCUUUUAUGAAUGCAGGAAGAUGCAAUGUUUAUCCUGUGGAACUUUCGUAUGGUAUCAAACCCCUGGGAUCCAAAGUACUCAAUGACAUCUAGAACUUGGAUGUCAACCGCAGCACAAGUAGUUUAACGAAAGGAGUUCAGAUCCAUCAUGGGUACUUGAAACAAUAUAUAAUAGUAGUUCAGACGCCAACUAUGAGGAGUGAAAUUUUUUUUUUUUUUUUUUUAAAAAAAGGGGUCAGUUCAGCAGUGAUUAUCACAGCCCUCUGCUCCAACUUAGUUUGGAGUCAACUCGUAUUUAAUAAAAGUCGUUAUCAAUUUGUCAUAGUAUUUUGCAUUGUUUGCAUCCUUGACCUCUGCUUGAUCAUGAAAAUGUAUACCAGCUUGAUUAAACACGGAGAGCAAAUGCAGCAAUUCCUCAUUUGAUAGCUUUGAAGGCCUCUUGCUCUCCACUCCUCCAGAUCUAAUGAUUUCCACGACUUUCUCUUUAAACGAGCUCAUCCCUUUCUUAUAGCCCAUUGCCAAAUUCGUCUCCAUUUCAUUUUUGUCAUCUUCAUGUUCAUCUUCACUUUCUGCAUUCAGCUCAACUUCCUUUUCAUCAUCACCAUGGAAACUCCCAUCAGUUUGCGACAGCUUCAUCAGCUCCAUCAACUUCCUCUUCUUCUUAAAUAUCGCACCGAGUGUCUUAUUUUUCUUGCUAAAGCACAUCCGUGUAAACGCCCACCAUUCCAUCAAAUCAACACUUGGAACGUCCUCUUUAGGCCAGAUCUUGAUCACCGAAGAAUCAAUCUUAGGAACAGGCAAAAAGUCCCUCUUGCUUACGUCCAUAACAAACUCCACGUCUGCCACCAGCUUCACAUUCGCCGCUAACCGGUUAUACUCUGGUUCACCAGGAUCGGCUAACAGCCUCCUAGCAAACUCUUUCUGAAGUAAAAGUGUUGCACUCCUGAACUUACUCCCGCCAAACACGAACUUCGCUACCAAACGCGAGGAUAUCCCAUAGGGAAUAUUAGCUACCACGAGAUCAAAUUGUGGAAAAUCAACCUUCAGUGCGUCAUCACGUAUUACCUAAACAGAAAAUAGCAUGAAAUCAGCUUAAAAAAAACUCCUCUGAGGCAUUACAUCAAACAGCUGAUCAUUGUAUCUCACAGUCAACCGGUCUUCAAAUCCUCGCUCAGCGACUUUCUUGUGAAGAAUUUCGACCAUGCGCUUGUCGAUUUCGAUAGCAUUAACUUUCUCCGCAACUUCAAGCAGCUUCAAAGUCAGAUUUCCGGUGCCGGGUCCGAUUUCUAAAACGGUGUCAUUGGGUUUUAUAUUGGAUUUCCUGACAAUAGUAUCGAGGACUCGCGGGUUAGUGAGGAGAUGUUGUCCCCGGCUUUUGAAUAGCUGUAAAUGUUUCUCUGAAACUUUAACGUCGCUUCCGAGAUUGUUAUCGUAGUCAUCCUCGUCAUCUUCUUUAUCCGAGUCUCUGAUGUUGAAACGACGGCUUGAUUUCGAGCGAAUUUGUUGGAUGAGAAAGCUUCUCCUGAUUAUAGCUGCAGAAAAUUUGCUAGGAAGGGACUUGCAACGGUGAAGCAUUUCAGGGAUAGUUUUCCCCCAAGUAUUCGAUGGGUUUUCUUUUUUUUUUUUUUUCCAGAUUUGACCGUUUAAGUUGGAAAAGCGGGCGGGGGUGGCGGGUGGAGGACGAGUUGGCGGGGAAGAUGCAAAGGCUUUCGCAUUUUAUCUUUAGCUUGUGAGAUGGGCCAAAAAAACUGAUGCAGAUAAGCCCAAUAGACGGGAGAAUUGUUGACGUCAUUCAGCAUAAAUUGGCGGACCUUUAAUUCUUGGAAAGGUUAAUGGGCCAUCAGGCCAAAAACUCUUAAUGCGUGCUUAUAAAUUUUUUAGUUUGAUAAUAUUUCUCUCUCUCCCUUUUUUUUCCGGAUAUUGGAUCCGGAACUUUUUACUUACAAUUUUUCUCACCUUAUCAUCUAAUUCAACCCUCCUCCGACUUAAUAAUCUUGAUUUUGGAAGAAACUAUGAGCUGAAACCCAUGGACUAAAACAUUAGGCACAUUUGUAAUGGUAGGAGAAUAAUAAGGACAUUUUUCGAGCGCAAACUUGUGCAUUGGCAUAGCUCAAACGCACAAACAACUUGAGCUUACGAAGAAAAAAAACACACACACACACACACACAAGCAAAUGUAAAAGGAUACAUGAAUCUAAUUCGAAAUUAGAUGUUAGAUAAACUUAAGUGCUAUAUAAGCGGACUUCUUCGGUUGGCACUCCACAAAACCAAUAACGCUAGCCUAGCAUGGCUUGGAAUAGUCUCCCCAUUAAAAGUUACUAAAACAAAACAAAUAAUCUUGUGAAUCACUGUGGUAUUUGCCUAACAAUAGAUCUUGGAAAAUAUCAUAGAAAAUCUGAGAAAGCCUUUGAUUUAGGAGGUUGCUUGGUUGCUUUGAUAUGCAGAUAACUUGGACACCUGCUGUCGGUGGCACAAUAGGGUCUGGAUCUCCAUCAGUACUGAUUGUGGUGGUUGGUCGAGAAAUGCUGGCCCAACUUUUAUCUUGUCAAUGGUCCCAGGAGGCCAUGAUAUAAGGUUUUGACAAUGAAAAGCAUUCAAGGGUUCGUGCAUUGGUCCAAAUAUUGCUCUCUCUCUGUUGAAGCAAACUAGUAGGAAACUCGAACACUUAUCAUCUAAAGAGAAAAAAGAAAAUGAACCAUUUCAUCAGGUAUAGAAUCUCCUUUCGGGUUUCCCAUUUCCCCGUGUAAGCCUUGGAGUCUCUUCUAAACAAAACUAAAAAUAUAUAAAGGAAAAGUAUUAACCAUUUGUUUAGAUUUAGCCGUUGGGUGACACUCUAUGAGGAUCAUGAAGGAUUGAGACACUCUACUGUGGUCUUUCUUGGGUUGGCUUUUCAUUGACACGAGAUAUCAUUAAGCUGACCCUAAUUAAGAUGGUUGUUCAGCUGUACAUGUACAAGUGGGGCACAUAAACUCGCCUCAAUUAUGUUUUGCUUCACAAUCAUGUUGUCUAAGAUUUCAAUUUCACACAGUAGCCCAUCAAUCCGAUUGAAGAAGGAUCUUAGGAAAAUUGGUGCAUUUCCAAUGAAUGAGUUUUUUUUUUUUCUUCUUCCCCCCCCCCCCGGAGAAAUAGUGACAAGGUAGGAAGAAGCUCCAAGCCUCAGGAGUGAAAGCAAAAUUUGGGGUCAAUACAAGCUGACUCACUUGACAAGGACGGAUCAUUUUUUUACAAAAAGGUCGCGUGUUCGAAUUUUCCUGUCGAUGUAAGAACUGUAUUGGUGGGCGAUCUGUAAAUAAAGCAAAUUUUGGGAUGGAGGGGGGAAGUUUCAUAUGGUGAGUAUGAUGAUCGCAAAAAAUUUUAUUAGUGCAAUGACAACUUGGUCAGUUCAUUUCGAAUUUGAUAAAAAAAAAAUAAUGCUCAGGGCUUUGUUUUGAGAUUCUCGAAUCUCGAUUAUUGUAAAAGUAAAUGAAUAAGUAAUAGCACGGGCAAAAGUUGAGACGGGUCCCUCCAAAAGUGUAGGAGACUGUCAAGGAAGCAAUCACUUUGCAAGGAAACACAAAUCUAAAACAGGAAUACGAGGUAAUGAAUGUGCCUUGAGAACGAAGGCAAGGCAAAAAUAAAUUGACAGUCUCCCAAGGAAUCAAGUGCCUUUGGGGUUCGUUUGUUUAUUCUGCUUGGCACUAAGCUAUUAUACCAUACCCCGGAAAGGCUGUACUUAGAACUUCAAUGUUCUUGUCCUUUUAAGCAGGCUCAACGGGCUCCAUAUGCUUCUUUUUUCGCUGAUUUUCUACACAUCUACGUUGUUGAUUGAUAUAUCAUCGCAUGCUACUUUUGCAAUGGGGCAUUUUCAGGGGGAUGAAAAUUAACCAGCUACAAAAAAAGAGAACAUAAAUUAAAGCCAUUUCGCUUAGGAUACUUUUUUAUCUAAUCCAGUUGAGCGAAGCCGAAUCAUGGAACGUAGAUUAGGACCUUAGUUAUGUUCGUAUGACUUCAUCCUCUCCCCCAACCAAAAUGAACAUUGGAAACAUGUAAAGAUUAUCCCCCGCCCGCAAACCCCCAAAAAAAAAAAAAUUUAAAAAAGGAGAGUGAACUCACGCUCCAAUAUGUUUAUACCUCGGAAGGAAUAUUAUAUUACCCAUGUUAAAAAGAGGGAGAGAAUUCCAGCAGUAACAGUAACAGAAGAAAAACGAUUUUGUCCGCUUUUACCACCACCGACGCUUAACGGAACCGGUAUCUCGAGGGGGAAAAAGCUAAAGAAUACAACAACGGUCAGAAACGGCACACAACGUUGACGACAGGGUUGGCGGCAAUUAUUUACGGCACAUGCCCUUUAGUUUUUCAGUGGUCCCCACUACACGACCACCAUCCGUCUUUAAUCUUCUUUAGACCUUAGACGACAUCCUUCAUCCUAACAAAAGAUCCCACAUCCCAAAAAAAAAUCUCGUAGACUCGUUCCCCGGUUGACAGCCAAUUUUAUAUUGACUCAUAUAGACACUGAUGAAUAUUUUCCCCAACCCCCAAAAAAAAAAAAAGAAGGAUGAAGUUUGAGCAAGCUGGUGAGGAAUUAAUUUUUAACUACUUGUAAAUUUUUUAGCAUUUGAUAUGAUUUGAUAUGUUUAAAAAGCUUAUGGUCUUCUAAAUCAUCAUACGACUUAAAACAAGAAUUACUAAAAAGCAACAACAUAUAUCAUCACGUUACGCGGUCAUGGUGGACUGGACAAAUUGUUUAUAUGCGCUGUACCAUGCAAGAAAGUGAAUCGUACCUCAUUAGCAAUUGCUAUUACUGUGGAGUUCACUUAAUUAUGUUUCCUUUUUCUCCUAUCUGCAAAUUUUGGACUUGAUUUUCUGGAAUACAUAAAAAAGUGUCAUAGAACAACGAGAAGGUGGAUUUUCAGAACCUUUUCUUAAUUUUUUCUUGGUAAUGUUCGAUCAAUAACUUGAUUGCCUUCGCAACCAGUGGUUUUCAUACAACUCAACAAAAUUCUGAACUAGGGGACACAUCGUCUCUCAAAGAAAAUGACCCCGGCCCUUAGGUCCUGACGCGUUAGGCCUUCAUGUUUCUUUCGAAAGCAAGAUUCUUGAAUUAUCCUUUAAAAGUUGGCCAGAUCCAUCUCAGAGAGGACAAUGACACGGAGUAAUAAUAUGAGUUAGCCUUACCUACUCCAUUUGGCUGCCAAAUGUUUCUCCUUGUUUGUCCACACGAUCUCUCUACCAUUUGACAUUUCUUGUACAUGUGUGCCGUACAAAGCCAUUGUACAAUGGCACUUUCGAGCGAUAAUCUGUUUAUUUUACCAAAGUAAAAGCAAGAGGGAUUUGGAAUCUGCACUAAAAAUGUCCAAAGCACAAGAAUAGCGUAGAAGAGAAAACAAGAAAGGAUUCGUCAGAGGUAUGGUGAUGAGAUUGGAUAAGGGGCCAGACAGAAUUGUUGUAUUGCUUGGACCAUGGUGCUUUGUUUAAAUUUUUGUUUUUUUGGAAAGAUUGGACCAUUUGUGCUGUGUUGUUAAUUAGGCGGAAGUUGCGUAAGAAAGACAUUAGCACAUGCUACUUUACAAGUGCCUAAAUGCAAUCAUGCAAACGAAACUUGUCCCAUGCAUGCAAAAAACCAUUAUAAUGGUAGUAUAAAGAAACCACAAUCAAUGCUUUCUAGAAUGUGGGUUGGUGGGGGGGGGGGGGGUACCGACCUGCUGAAAAGGUUUAACCACAAUGAAUGAUCUCUGACUAGUUUUAGCUUUCUUUGGUAGAAGAUCUCUGAUUGAUUAGUUGAAAUCCAAUAAUGAACAUUAAGAAUGAUGAGUGGAACCUGGCCUAUACAGAUUCCGUCUAUUGAUAUGUACUGAUUUUUCUUCAAGAAAGCUAGUAGUGCAAAAUUGCCAUUACAGGAGGACUGAUGGCUGAAAGAGAACUCAUAAAUUAAAAUGAACCAAAUCAUACCUAUAACUUUUCUUCUUUUUUUUUUUCCGGAUCUGGAGGGGUAUUCUGAAAUCACCCAAACUAAUUUCUCCAGAUUGGACAGAGUUUCACCCCAAAAAUGCCCAAUAACGAUAGCACGUGGGGGUCAAACUUGAGAUCUUGCUGUAACUAUAGACGAUCAGUCCCAACCGAACUAUUCAUGAGGCUAAAUUGUACCUAUAAUUUGAUUGAAUUUAAAAUUCCUUAUUGCAAGAAAUGCGAUGAGGGUUUCCGCUAUCAACCAUUACAAUUUUCACACACACACACAACGAACGAAUUGAUUUGAUCAUAUUAUUAGCCCCAUGCCGAUUGAAUAUAUAGGCCAUAAGUAUAAUACUUAUAUGUAUGCACCAAAAUAUACAAAAGGAACUCUUUCUUGAGAGUAAAUUGUAGGGCCUCUCCCAAACCCCAAUUGCCAUAUGCAAGCGGGCCAAACAUGAGUUCAUAAUGUCAUUGUAACUACCAGACUAUUAACUUUUAACUUAGUUCCUCCUGCGGGGAAAAAGGAGUUAGUUACUAUAAACUUAUAGCAGUGCACUUUCAGUUAAGGAGACAGGAUGAUGGAGACACCUGAAUCAUCUACUGCCAUUGCAGGCAGGUCAGUGUGUGUUGUAGCGCAGGCCAAGGGACAGUGGUUAUGAUUUCGAAGCCAAGCCUUCAUUACUCUGAUCAUUAUCUAAUUUAUAUUCAUUCAGACGGCAUAAACAUCGGAGAAACACGAAUGCCUGUUGCCGUUUAGAUUAAAUCUAGUAGUUUAUGGGUUCACCUGAAUUUAAUUCCAAGCUGUCAAGACAUGAAUCUCCAAACAACAUAAUUAUUGUGUGUGUGUGUGUGUGUGUUUUUUUUUUUUUUUUUUUUUUGGGGUUUGCCGUUAAUUUAGGCCUAGUUGAGGGGUCACAAUACCUGUGAAUUUUGCUCAAUUCACUGGGACUUGGUUUUUUAGUGAUCCUUACAUUAGUGUUUUAUUUUUUUUCUUGGGUGGUUUUUGACCUGUAACUCGGUCAAGCUCCCAAGCACAAGCACAACAUAUUAUUGUGUGUGGGAGAGGCUAAGUGCAUAAAUACCGGAAAAAAUGCGGUGGUGUUUUAUGUUUAUGGUGGCUUACAAGUAGGAUUGCAGGAGUUGGUGGAGAAACAGAUGCAGCAAGUCACGGCGAGGGGCAAAAGAGGAGAGGAUCACAGGACCCAUAUUCUCAGCGUUCCCGCUUCCCAUUUUAGGGCAUAUGUCCGUUUUAAUUAGUCACCAACCUUCCGUCCAUCGCGCCGUUGAAAGCUUAGAAAAGCGCAAGAACGAAAUGUGCAACCCCCCCCCCCCCCCCAAAAAAAAAAAAUGAAGGAACCAACCUAGUUUACUACUCCUAUUGCUUUGAACCCAAAAAAGCGCUUUUUUUUUUUUUUUGUGGGCACAAGCAAAAAAGUGUUAACUACGGUCUAAAGCAGGAGCACCAUAAAGAACUGCACUAAGUCACCAGCUGCGCGGCAUCGGGCAUCCCGUGCUUAAAUUAAUGUCCUUAUUGACUGUUGCUCAGAAGAUUUAGGGUACAUUAUUGUUUAUGUCAUAUUAUAUCGUUAAAAAUUGGUAAAGAAGACCAUGGUCCCUCCAAAUUACUAAUUCACUAAUGUUCUUUUGACCGUGGACUACUCUCUAGUCUCUACUAGCUACCCAGCUCAAUUUUGCUACGCAUGCAUUUUUGGGGCAUAUUUUGCUCGAAAUGCUACUAUAAAAUGAUGAAUUACUCGUAUAUUCCUUUAAUUUCCGGAAGUAUAUUUGCAAAUUGCAAUAUUUGGUACUACCAUAACUUAGUCGUUGCACAAGCAUCACGAGGAAAUCACAGAAAACGCGACAUGAAACUUUGCACGUUAAGUACUAUUGUUGUUAAACUUGUUAUGUUACUUUUAAUUGAUGUGAAUAAAAUGCACUAAGGAGAAAAGAAAGUGGCUGGUUUAGUGCUUUGUCUUUUUUUUUUUUUUUGCUGACGGAGUAGGUGUCCGGGCCUUUGGCUCGACUAAUCCCACUCCAUUCCGGGAGAGAAGGUCUCACUCCACUCCGAAUACGGUAGUAAAGGGGCUCGAAC